GCGACCAGCGAAAAUGAAAGCUAACAUCAAUAGAUGAGCUUCAGAUGCCAAAUUAUGUGGGCGUUAUCUUCUACUAUAGAGACAAUGCCAGGAACCUCGGAGUCGAUAUCUCUCAAAGGCUUCACCAGAUGGAGGAGUCACUUUCCAAAACUCUAACCCUCUUUUAUCCUAUGGCAGAGAGAUAUAUUGAGGAUGACGACGGUUGUUUUAUCGACUGUAAUGACCUUGGAGUGGAGUUCGUCCAUGCCAAAGUGGAUGGCCAUAUUGAUUAGCUUCUCCAUAGAGACCCCGGCAUGGAUUUGCUCGAAUAUUUGUCGCAAUUCCCGAACAACCUAGUAGGCAAUCCACUAGUGGUGAUUCAAGUGAAUACGUUCGAGUGUGGCGGAAUAGCAAUUGGCUUGCGCUCUACACACAGGAUCAGCGACAUGUACACCAUGGCCAUUUUCGUUAACUCGUGGGCCACCGCUUGCCGAGGUAACAUAGAUGUUAUAGUCUGUCCAAGUUUCGAGUUGUCGUCUCUAUUCCCAAUGAAAGUGUCGGCCGUUGCGAAUUGGCUUCCGCCACGGAUUAUUGGCAGCAAGGAAUUCACGGUGUCUAGGUUCAAGUUCAGCGGUGAUGUUGUAUCGAAGUUGAGAGCCCUAGCUAGGGAUGAUGCAAAGGAUUCAAUGGCCAACAACUUCCAGCCUUCGAGGGUGGAGGUUGUUUCGGCACUAAUAAGUAAGGCUCUCGUCAAGAUUGAUCGAUCUAGACAGGGCAAAGAAAGGCCUUUCGCAGUUUGGAUGACGUUUAACUUGCGCGAUAAAGUCAAACUAAAGAUACCCGCAAAUUCUUGUGGCAAUUUCUUCAGCGUGAUUUCUGGGCGCUCCGAUCAUCCCACGGCCGGCAAAACGAAUUCGGAGUUCAAUGAGAUGGUGAACAUAAUCCACAACAUGAUAUCAGACGCUAAAACGAAAUAUAGAACAAUAGUAAACAAGGAGGAGUUCUGCUCGACGGUGGUGAAUUCUAUAGCCAAAAUUGUCAAAGUCGCGUCCUCAAGCGAAGUGUUUACGAUUUCUUUUAGUAGCUGGUGCCGUUUCGGGCUAUAUGAGAUCGACUUCGGGUGGGGAAGGCCGGUUCCCGUCAGCAACAUAUCAUUGAAUCUCAGAUCGGUCUUUCUUAUCGACGAUGAAGAGGGCAAAGGAAUUGAUGCAUGGACAACCACCACUGGAGAUGAGAUGAUUCUUCUUAAACAAGAUCCGGAUAUUCUGGCAUUCACUUCCUAGAUGGAGGUGGAGAGAGUAGCACAAAUAUUGGAUCUGCGAAGUCAUCGUAUCUUACUAUAAUGUAGACCAGGAAAAUGAAAAUGGACUUGGUCUAGAGUAUUUGUCACAUCUGUUUCUUUUCUUUAAGAAGGAUGGUUCUUGUGGACAAUGUUAAUCAACUUAUUAAAUACCUUAGAGCGAACUCCUCUAUCAUGUUCAAUUUCCUCAGGCUGACUCCCUCAAUCCAUCAUACUAGAGCGAUCUGAGAAGAACGAUUAGGGUCAUAUUCUAUCCUUUCUACAAUGCCCAUAGGACAUGCUUGCUAUAAGCGCUAGUAGGACACGUACGGUUGUAGUCUUUGUCACUGGAUUGAAAGUUUCAUCAUAGUCCAAACCGUACUACUGUGAGAAUUCUCAUGUCACUAGGUGAGCCUUAUCUCUUUCGAUUGUUUAAGAGUUGAUGUAAUGGCAUACGAUGGUAUGAUAGUGGAUGAAAGUUCAUUCAUUCAAUGUUUCGAGUGGGUACAUAUAAUAAAUAAAGGAGUGAGACCCUCUAAAAUUUUGUGAAUGAAUUGACACUUUAAAUUUUACUUUCUCAAAAUGAAUGGUGUAUCAAAACAUCAAUUCAUGAUUCAGAUUAACCCGGAAUACUCAACUUACCAAACUGCCCUUGCCUUUGGUGGAAAAUCACAUACCUACCAAAAAGUUAGCUUCCUUCUCUUUAUUUUUUAUUUUUUAUUUUUUUGGUUCAAAAGAAGAUUGUGUUCAUUUCUCAAAAGGACACAUGAGAAGUAAUAAAUUUUAUGACAAAGAAAUUGAAGGAGAGCAAAGCCUAGAAAACUACAAAACAAAGCCAAAUCUAGAAAUGAGGAGGAUUAAGAGAGCACCAAUAAAGUUAAGCACACAAUCGAUGGUGGAUCACUGGAUCUCGAAUCAUUAUUAAUGAUAACAUACAUCAGAAAUUCAUUCUCCAAUAAUUAUGACAUUACUAGUUAGCGGUAUGCGUCUAAAUUCAACUGUCUUUACAUCAUCUCCCUACGGAGACAACCAAAACAGGUUGAGCAAACAAACACACAUCUAAAAAGACGCUCAAAUCCUUAUUGUAAAAGUAUAAAUAAAUUUUAAAAUUUUCAAAAAGUACAAUUAAGUCAUAAAACUUAUCAUGAAAGUAUAAUUGAGUUCUAAAAUUUUCAAAAAAAAUAUUAUCAAAUCAUAAAAGUUAUUAUAUUAGUCUAAUUAAAUCCUUCCGUUGAUUAACUUUUUUUGAAAAUUUUAAGACUUAGUUGUACUUUUAUGAUAAAUUUUAGGAUUUAAUUAUACUUUUCUAAUUUUUUUUUGAAUUUCGUGUGCACUUAUCCCUUCUUUUAAUUAGAAGGAAUUCUCUUCCAUUUUCUUUUUAGACUCUUCUUUCAUCUUCAAGAAAAAAAAAAAAGGCGUAUAGAAGAACAUACUAGGGGUGUGCAAAAGAACUGGAACCCGCCCAGAUCGCCCGGAACUAGACCGAAACCGGUGGUUCUUAAGGGAACCGAUCCGGUUCCCGAUUCCAAUUUAUGGGAACCGGUGGGUACAGGUCCGGUUCCCGGUUCCAAUUUAUGGGAACCGGUGGGUACAGGUCCGGUUCCCGGUUCCAUAGGCGGAUCCACCCACCCGGACCGAAUCGGACUGGUUAUAUUAUAAUAAUAUAUUAGUUUUUAUUAUUUAAAAAAUUCGAAAUUAACAAAUCUAAAAUUAGGACUCCAAUUACCAUUUUGUCUCAAUUCACUACUCUCCUACUUCAUCUCAUCUCUCUUAGUUCAAAAUCUCCCCAAACUCCCUCUUCCUCUCCAAUUCACUUUCAGAUUUACUCAUCUCCCUUCGAGUCUUAGUCUGAACUCGGCAAAAUAGUGAAUUGAUUCUCUUUCCCCACCUCAAACUUGAACUCUCUCUCCAUGUUGUUGUCAUCCUUGUCAUCACCUCCGCAUUCACUAUCACUAUUGUCCUCUUUGUUGUUGGGCUCGUCCCGCUUCUACCUCCCCUCUUCCUCCUCCCCCUCCUCAGCCCCCCCCCCCUCAAUCGUCCUCAUUUUUUGGGAUAGGGGCAAACUCCAGGUCUAAGAAUGGCUCAUCGUCCCCAUUACCUCCUCAUUGUUUGUCUCGAGGGAGGAGCAGGAACGGCGGAGGCGGUGGCGAAAAUGGUGGCGAUGGUCAAGAUGAAAGUAGCACGAAGGUUGCGACCGCCGUCACCACGACACUAGUACUUGAGGAGAAUAAAGUUACCAUGGUUGGGAGAGCCAGAAUGAGUAGAUGUGAGGAGGGCGAAAAGGGGAAGGCGCGGAGGUUGAACCAGUUCUAUGGAUCCACCAAGGAAUCAGACCAGAUUGGCGAUCCGGUUCCCGAAUAGAUCCAUGCAACUAGCGGGUAGUUCCCAGUUCCAAUUUUUCGGAAUCGGUUCUUAGCGGGUGGUUCCCGGUUCUAAGUCGGGAACCGCCCACCCGGACCAUGCACACCCUUAGAACACACUACAUACAUAGAUGCCAUUUAUGUAAUGCACGGCCACUUUGUACCCUUUUCUACUCCCAUGGAAGUUGGAGAGGCUUCUCGCCUUCUAGUUCUAAUAAAUCAUGAAAGAGCAUUGAAUUCACAUAUGAAACGGAGAUACUUAGCUACUCAACUUUUCAUAACAUGUUUACCUAUAUGGGGGCAAUGAUUUUACCAAUGUUCAUCCGAAUUGAAUUAUGACAACUUUUAGAGUUGGUGUAAUUGGUUGGAGUGUUAGGGAUUUUGGUUCAACAGCUAGAGGUCAUUUGUUCAAAUUUCACGAAUUACAUACAAAUAAUAAUUUGAGUGUCUAGGCAACUUACAAGGCUUCAAGGCCUAGACUUAAUUGAUUAAUACCUCGCCGUGUAUUUUAUGGAUGUCAAAGUAGACAUGCCUCCAUGCUUGUGUCCUUGGCUUAUCAAAGUCAUUCUCAUACAACCCGAAUCUGCAUCAGCCACUACAAGCAAUUGCGUACUCUUCGUCUGAGGACUUUUUGUUGUGAAUAUAGACAAGCGAAUAAGAUAAAAUAGUUAGAAUGAAGGAAAGAAAAUUUGAUACUAAAUUUAUGUGAUUCUAUGUUCAUGGAAAAAGCAACAUGGAAUUUUAUUAUAGAAACAAACGAUAUACUAGAAAUUAUAAUAACUCGAAUAUUGAAAUAUUCAAUUAGUAUAUUUUAAUCCUCAAUUACACUCAAAUUCAUAUAGUAUGUAGCCCUUUUAUAAUUUCUAAUGAAACCUUAUUUUAGGAAUUAAAUAAAUUUUACUCAUAAAAAUUUAACUAGUUAAAUCAUUUGGGUGUAAUUGCAACGGGAGAUUUUUCCCUCUGUCGAGAGUUCCCACAGCUUGCUUCAGGAAAGCUCUAAGAGCUCCAUCCAUUGUAUUGUUGCGACUUUCUUGUUCUUUCUUUUCAAGAGCUCUGCAUUAAAUGCAGCACGUGAGGCUCCACUUAUUCUUUCGACGGCCACAACAGAAGAAAAUAGCGAAGUAGAGAAACAAAAGAAGUUAACGAAAGAGGACAAAUAAAGCCCACAAUUUUCUACUUUGACAAACCCUCUCUCUCUCUCUCAUGAUGGUCUUCCCUGCUUUUUGACUUCCUCUUCUUCCACUAUCUUCAUUUUCAGUCACAUGGCUGCAGAGAUGAGUUGAACACAACAAAAGAAGCCUCUUCACGCUUUCGGCUCAUAAAUGAAAUCCACAUGUAAUAUUCUUCUUCCGAUAAUUUCGGCUGAUCAAUUCACAUAUGCGUUGGCCCAAAAAAAAUAAAUUCACAUAUGCCAAUAAAUUGACUCACACGUGAUCGAGUUCCCUUAAUCUCAUCAGUCCGAACUGUAGAUAUAUUUCCUACGGUUUUGGAGAAAUCGGUGAAAGAAUUGCCCACAGUUGAGCAGAACUCCUCCCCGUCUACUGCGGCGGCAUCUUUUUUUGAGAUAAGUGCUAUAGAAGUCCUAAAACUUAUCACGAAAAUACAAUUGAGUCAUUAAACUUGCAAAAAGUGUAAUAAAGUUCUAAAACUUAUCCAAUUAUUUCAAUUUAAUCCUAAAGUUAACACCAUUGACUUUUUUUAACGGAAAAUGCUGACGUAGCGCGGACGUGAUAUUUUAAAUAAUUUUUCAUUUUCCAUGUGGCUUUUUAAAUUAUUUUUAUUCAAUUUAAAAAAAUAGAUUUAAAAACUAAAAAAGAAAAGUUAAAAUUUAUUUUUAAAAAUUGUUAAAAAAAAAAAAGGCAGCUCCUUCCUUGCUACCGCCGCUGCCGCCGUCGCUCAUCGCCAGUCGCCGGCCCCUCCGACGAUGGGCAGUGGCUACCAUUUUUUUUUCUUUUGUUUUGAACUGUUUUGCUUUUUAAAUAAAUUUUAAAUUUUCUUUUCUAAUUUUAAAUCUAAUUUAAAUAAAAAUUAAAAAAAGUCACAUGGAAAAUAAAAUUUAAUUUUAAUGCCACGUCAACGUUUUCCAUUAAAAAAGUCAACGGUAUUAACUUUAAGACUCGAUUGAAACAAUUUAAAAAGUUUUAGGAUUUGAUUGUAUUUUUUGUAAGUUUUAAGACUCAAUUGCAUUUUCGUGAUAAGUAUUAGGAUUUCUAUAGCACUUAUCCCUAUUUUUUUUGGUGUCUAAUAUCAUGUUGCGUAUUACCUUCACCAUUCCAUCGAACUCCAACUUGCUUUUCCCAGCUGCAGAUUGCCCGGGUCGCCCAAACAUUAUGGCGAAUAGAAUGCCGCAAGAAUUUGCAGGUAUCGCUAGAUUGAUUUCUCACGCAAGUUAACAGUCAUACAAAUCAUAAAAUUCCUUUGGUCGCCGUGUUUAUUUCGAUCAAUAUCGACGAGAGCCCUACUUAUUAGCGCCGAAACAACAUCCACCCUCGAAGUCUUGGAAUCGUUGGCCAUCAGAUCCUUUGCAGCAUCUGUAGCUGGGGCUUUCAGCUUCAAAAUAGCAUUACUGCUUGUUGGGAAUGACUGAUCCCCGAAAACCGGAUUCGACACCGAAUCGAACCCCUAAAUCAAUGCGGAAGACGAAGCCCGGGAAAACACGUAUCACCGAUCGUAAAGCACACCACGGAUUCGAGCGUACCUUGUUAGCCACAGAUUAAGCACCGACGCCGUUAGAGGAAGAGAAACUUGAUCCUGUUCAAUCCGGUGAAGCAAAUUGGCCUUCGCGCCUCACUGUUUUCCUUUUGCUUUUGAAGAAAAACGAGAGAGAGAGGGAGUGUACGUUGAGAGAAAAACUUAUGUCUUUUUUCUAAAGUAAAACGGUGUAUUUUUCUCUCUCUCUCUCCUCCCUUUUAUACCUCUCUCCUUCCACGAGCCCUAUUCCCGUGGGCCGGGCUUUCUGGGCCCAACUUGGGCGGACGGGCCUUAAGCCCAAUACUAAUAAAGCCUUCAUCUCCCACUUGCACAUGGUGGGCCGAAUAGGAUUCUCUUUACCUCUUUUCAACAUUCAUACCGGUGAAUAAUCCGCGCGACCAGCAUACUUUGAGAGCUCGUUGCUAUACAUCUGUUAGGAAUAUAUAGCAGCUCAUAAUGGGCGUCACACUCCGAGUAGACUUAGUAUACAGUACCCUAGAUCGAUCGAUCACAUUCAUAUCUCUCUUGAUCUCCUUUAAACAAUGAUAUAUAUAUUGUAUUCACAAUUAUAAUUAUCACAAAGACAAUCAUAAUUGGUCAACCAAUGAAUACAAAAACUACAAUGUGAUUCUCCAAAAUCGAUCUUCCUCUUUCCUUCAAACUCUCAAUUUCAGUUCAGCUUGCUUUUCUAGAAAUGUCCCAUUAGAUCGAAUCAACUCAUGACCAUUGGCAACAUCCUAAAAUAGCAAACACUAAAUAGAAACCUUGAGAAUAAGUAAAAGUCAUGAGGGCACUAAAAUUGAGGAACUCUUUUCUUCAAGAGUCUCACGUGUCAUAAAAGUUGAGAUCUAAACUUUUUGACACUCUUAUUGGUCGGCUCAUGCAUACGUAGUAUGAAAUACGUAUUACGGUAUUAACUCCUUUCCCAUGGAGCGUAUGUCUACACCUUUCAAUACCGUACAGAUGAUAGUCCAGACAUACUCAAUGUCUAACUUGAGUUCACGUAUCUACUCAUUUACAAAAUUCAUCAGAACUCACAUCUGGCAUCUUAGACAGAUAAAGUAAAAUAUGUGGGGUAUUUUACUUUCGGACAUAGUAAGUAUUAUGUCCUCAUCUUAACACUCAUUUAAGGCGACAUACGUAUUUUAAGCUUGAGCUCUCGAUUAUCACCUAGAUAAUAAGCUUAAAAACAGUCUCAUCUCUAUUUAUCACACAGUAAAUAGAGGCGAUUACCCGUGUGAGUGGGCUAAUCUUUUAUCUGUCCGACAUACUUCUCAACUUAAAAUAAUGCACUGAGUAUUAAGAUGCAUAAAGAUCAUACAAAAAUUCAUAGGCAUUAAUCAAUGAAAAACAAAAUUUCAUAAAUGUGAACAACUCAGGGAAAUUACAAUUCAGUACAUCAAACUCUACGCAAUCCUAGAGAUUUUACAUGACCACAAAACACAUCUCUAGAUAUUGGCUUUGUCAUAGGAUUUGCUACCAUUCUAUGCGUAGAUAUGUACUGUAAGUUCACAUCCUUUCGUGCAACCAUAUCUUUCACAAAGUUAUACUUGGUAUCUAUAUGUUUGGUCUUGCCAUGAUACUUUGGAUCUUUGGUGUAUGCUAUAGCUGCUUGGUUAUCACAGUUAACCAAUAAUUGAUUUGCAACUUUCUCAAUAACACCUAAAUGAUCCAAGAAUCUCUUAAGCCAAACUGCUUCUUGUACUACUGCUGAUAAUGCCACGAACUCAGCUUCCAUCGUGGAUAAGGCUAUGCAUGUUUGCUUCUUACUACUCCAUGAUAUGGCGCCAUUGCUCAGUAAGAAAGCAAAUCCUGAGGUAGAUUUCCUUUCAUCUAAAUCUCCUCCCCAAUCAGCAUCUGAAUAGCCUUCAAGUCGCAGAUCCUUUCCUUGGUAAUUCAACUUGUAAUCAGUAGUUCCCUUCAGAUACCUCAGUAUUCUCUUAACGGCCUUCCAAUGUGCUGGACCAGGAUUGGAUUGGUAUCUACUCACCAUUCCAACUGCAAAACAUAUGUCGGGUCUUGUACACAUCAUAGCGUACAUCAAGCUCCCAACAGCACUUGCAUAAGGAACAUGUUUCAUUUGUUCCUUCUCUUGUGGAGUCCUUGGACACAGUCUAUGGCUCAAUCCUUCACCUUUUGCAAUAGGAGUGUCUAUGGGUUUACAAUCCUGCAUACGAAAUCGUUCAAGAACUUUGUUUAUAUAAGUUUCUUGCGAAAGAGACAACGAUCUCUUCGAACGAUCUCUUGAAAUCUUAACUCCAAGAAUGUAUGCAGCCUCACCCAUAUCCUUCAUCUCAAAGUUGGAAGACAACCAACUCUUGACGGUCUUAACAAACUUCAUAUUGCUUCCGGCAAUUAGUAUAUCAUCAACAUAUAAUGAUAUGAUCACAAAUUGAUCCUUGGAUCUUUUGAUAUAUACACAAUGAUCCUCAUCAAUCAUUGUAAAAUCAUAUGCCAUUAUAGCAUUAUGAAAACGUAUAUACCAUUGUCUUGAUGACUGCUUGAGGCCAUAUAUCGAUCUCAAAAGUCGACAUACCUUUUCUUCUUGGCCUUUCACUAUGAAACCAACAGGUUGUUCCAUAUAUAUUUCUUCCUCUAAUUCUCUAUUGAGGAAAGCAGUCUUUACAUCCAUUUGAUAUAAUUCAAGAUCCAGACUAGCCACUAUUGCCAGAAUAAUGCGAAUUGAGGUAAAUCUCACUACAGGAGAAAACAUAUCUUCAUAAUCAAUUCCUUCCUGUUGAUUAUACCCCUUCGCCACAAGGCGAGCCUUAUGCCUUUCUAUCGAGCCAUCAGCCUUCUGCUUUAUUUUGAGAACCCAUUUGUUCCCAAUAGCUCUGCGACCUUUUGGAAGAUCAACCAGUUCCUAGACUUGGUUUGAUUUCAUUGACUCAAUUUCCUCUUCCAUUGCAUUGAUCCAUUUUUCCUUACUAGGGCAAUUUAGAGCCUCAUUAAUAUUUCUUGGCUCAUCCUCAUCUUGUGGAGCAACCAUAAAAGUUUCCCCUUCAAUGCCAAAACGUCGACGGGGAAUACUUUGGCGACUUGUUCGCCGUAUGGGAGAUUGCACACUUUGCACAUCAUUUCCCAUCAUGCUCCCACUUGGAUUAGGCAAUGAUGAUGUCGUCUUAUCAAGUGGUUGCAAUUGAGAAUGAGUUGAAUUCAAUUCAUCACUUCUCAUAUUACUCCCACUUGGACGAACUCCACUAACAUCUUAUCUGAUCCAAGGUCUCAAAUAAGGAACAAUCUUCCCCUAUUUCGCCCUUCUUAGGAAAUUCAUCAUCUAAGAAUGUGACAUCUCGUGAUUCAAACUCAGUUAUACUCCCACUUUCCUGCUCACCUAUGAACACAUAUCCUUUAGAGUGUUCCGAGUAUCUUAUGAAAAUACUCUUCUUUCCUCUGGGACCCAAUUUCCCAAACUUGUGAGAGGACUCAUGUGUGUAGGCAGCACAACCCCAUGGCUUAAGAAAACUUAAGUCUGGUUUUCUACCUGUCCAUAACUCAUAUGGAGUGGAAGUAACUGAUUUGGAAGGCACACGGUUAAGUAUAUAUGCAGCAGUUAACAACACAUCACUCCAAAAGGUAAUAGGUAAGUUAGCAUGCGCCAUCAUGGACCUAACCAUUUCCAGUAGGGUUCUGUUUCUUCUCUCCGCAACACCAUUUUGUUGAGGAGUAUAUGGAAUAGACAACUGUCUUUCUAUUCCUUUUUCAUCACAUAAUUUUCUGAACUCAUCAAAUAAAUAUUCUCGACCUCGAUCGGAUCUCAAUGCUUUUAUUUUCUUGUCUAAUUGAUUCUCUACCAGGUUCAUAAACCUUUUAAAACAACUUAUUGCUUCAGAUUUGUGAGAAAUCAAAUAGACAUAUCCGAAUCGAGUAUAAUCAUCAAUAAAAGCGAUGAAAUAAACAGCCCCAUGCCUUCCUUUCACAUUCAUUGGACCACAGACAUCAGAAUGGAUUAAAUGCAGAGGAAAUUCAUCUCUUUUUCCUUUUCCAAAUGGUUUUCUUGUCGUUUUCCCUUCUAGGCAAUGCUUACAUAUGGACAAAUCGACUUUUUCAAUAUUGCCCAACAAGCCCUAUUUGGCUAGUCUAUUCAUACGCUGUUGGCCAAUGUGACCAAGUCUAGCAUGCCACACAUUCACAUCAUUAUCAUAUUUAUUAGGAGACGUGAGAAGGGAAUAACAAACAUUAAUAUUAACAUAAUCAAUAUCUAAUACAAUAAAACCAUCCAGAAAAUAACCACAACCAUAGUAAUUUGUAUCCAAAAACAAAUUCACACCUCUAUUACAGAAGUUCAUAUUAAAACCUAAUUUAACCAACACUAAUACAGACACUAAAUUCCGACGAAUCUUCGGAGCAUACAGCACAUCAUGAAGGAACAAAGUGCGUCCACAAUGCAUAUUCAGUUGGCAUGUGCCAAUUCCUUUCACUUCAGCUCUGGAGUUGUUUCCCACAUAGAUCCACUUAGUUCCAGUUGGUACUCGUCGGAAUUCCACAAAGGAUCCUCUAUCCUUCGCUACAUGGUCCGUCGCUCCUGAAUCCACAGUCCAGAAAGGAUUAGACUCAGUUAAGAAUACAAAACUCGACACAAAAGUGAAGUUCUGAAAAAUACAAGGGGUGCAUACCUUCUUUGGCUCACGACAGUCGCGAGCAUAGUGACCCUUCUUGUCACAGUUGUAGCAUUUCACCCUUGCAAGCUUUUUCAUGCGGGGACGCUUCCCUCUUUCAUGUUGGUUAAACUUGGGUUUCUUCCCUGAAGGACCUGCUUCUUCCUUGCCUUUUCCCUUAUCAAACCAGUUAGGGCGCUUGCGCUUGGAGCUCGAAGCUCCAUUUGAGCUAGAACUAGCAUGAUAAAGUUCAGCAUCCGGCUUAGCCACCAACAAGCGGUCCUCUUCCAGCUCAAGAUGAUGCAUUGCAUCCUCAAAGGUUUUGAUAUUUUCAUUAUGAGUCAGGUGCACCUUCAUAUGCUCCCAACUCUGAGGCAAGGAACGAAUCACUGCUUGCACUUGCUGCUUAUCUGUGANNNNNNNNNNNNNNNNNNNNNNNNNNNNNNNNNNNNNNNNNNNNNNNNNNNNNNNNNNNNNNNNNNNNNNNNNNNNNNNNNNNNNNNNNNNNNNNNNNNNNNNNNNNNNNNNNNNNNNNNNNNNNNNNNNNNNNNNNNNNNNNNNNNNNNNNNNUGGCUCCCACAUUUCCUUAGCAUUGUCAAAACGCCGAAACUCUCGCAUGACGUCAUUUUCCAUGCUGCUCAACAACGUGAUGCGAGCUAGAGAGUUCAUUCUUUUCCACGCAGAAAAAGCUUCUUUGUCUCUUUUGUGCUGUGCAGUGGUUCCCUCUUCAGGUUCUACCAUGGUCAUGACAAGAGCCUCAAGUGCUUCUUGCUCUUCCAGCACAUACUGGAUUUUCAUUUGCCAAAUUUCAUAGUUGUCUCCAUUGAGCUUUUCACCUUUGUUCAGCUUGGCAACUAUGCUUUUUGUGGCUGAAGCCAUUGAUCUGAACAAAUCAGACAAAUAUGCACGAAUUAUUAAUGCCUAUCAUUUAUGCAUCCCUAUUUACAUAGACCCAUCAUAUUAAUGAAUAAUUUCAAGUAAGGUUUCAGAAUCAAAAGGUCACUAUGUUUCCAAUCAUCCUCCAAAAUCCUAACUUAAAACUAUCAUCAAUAUAAUUGUCUUAUGCAAAAUCAAUUCUAUGAAGCUACAAAAACUUCUAAAACUACCCACAGCUAAUUACCCACAGCAACCAGCAAUAACAGAAAAGCAAUAUAUAAUAGAACAUCCAAUAAAAACAAUAAUGCUUUCAAUUAACACAAUUAGGUAGUAAUCAUUACAUAAUAUGUCCACAAAUCACACUUAACAUAUAUCAGCCAAUACAACUAACACCAAGUCAGCACACGAACUGGGAAAGAUCCUCUUUUGUUCAAUUUCUUGAUCUUUUCCCUUGAAACAAUACAAUAAUAUUCAUUUACAAAAUCCAUCACAAUUUUCUUAUAGGAAGAAGCUCCGUUGACAUCCCAUAUGCGAUUCAACACAUCUUGCCAUUCAAGUGGAAGAGUGUUUAUGAAAAAUCGCACCAUCUCCGACUGUGACAUAGGACGACCAUUCCAUAUGACCUGUUGAAUUUUCCCAUUGACUUCAAGGACAUGAUCAAUUAAGUCACCUCUCUCCCAUCGAUGAUCAGUCAGCUCAACUAUCAACUUAGACAGCCUAUCCUUUUCUUCAUCGGUAAUUGCGCGAAUAGGUGUGCGCAACCUCAAGGGAGGCAUUGUUCCUGCAACAAAUGCAGAACAAAUAAGGGAUCACAUUAUAAUCCACAUAGACUUAAUUGAAAAAGAAACAUAUAUAUAUAUAUUUUUUUUUUGGUCAACGGUCAACGGUCGUCGGUCAACGGUCAACGGUGGUCAACGGUCGUCGGAUGUCGGACCGGUCGGACCGGACAGGCCGGUCGGACCGGUCGGGCUGGCGGGCCCGGCUCAGGCGAACCGACGGCACAUGCCGCGCGUGUGCGCCGGCUGACGUCACGCAGACGUCAUCCGGCACGUGCCACGCGCGUGCCGGGUCUCGCGCCGGUCGGGUCGCCGCUGGUGACCGCCUGGCGAAUCGUCGCCGUGCUGACGUCAUCGAUGACGUCACCCUAACGGUUAUUGACCGUUGGGUGACGUCAUGCUGACGUCUGCACGCGUCGGUCCGCGGACCGAUGUGUGCCGGCUUGCCGGCCGGCGGUGCGCACGAGCCGCACGCGUUGGGCGAGCCAGCGCUUCCGGGCGCGUCACGCCCACGCGCAGCCACUUCUGGCCGCGCGUGUGGGCGCGUGUGGCGUCUCCCGGCGGCGCACGACACAUUGCCAGACUCGUCUCGACGUCGCCUUUCUUCCCAUGUAUUCAGAAAACAGUUUCGACUUACGAAAACUCAGUAAAAUGGCCGAAGAACGCUCGGGUGUCGGGAUUUCUCGCCCCGAUCCGUACGGCCGAAACACUUUCGCGAAAAAUCAAUCAAAAAUCAUCAAACAAGUCGGGAAAACGUGAACUAGGGCUCUGAUACCAAUGUUGAGAAUGACUGAUCCUCGAAAACUGGAUUCGACACCGAAUCGAACCCUUAAAUCAAUGCGGAUGACGAAGCCCGGGAAAACACGUAUCGCCGAUCGUAAAGCACACCAUGGAUUCGAGCGUACCUUGUUAGCCACAGAUUAAGCACCGACGCCGUUAGAGGAAGAGAAACUUGAUCCUGUUCAAUCCGGUGAAGCAAAUUGGCCUUCGCGCCUCACUGUUUUCCUUUUGCUUUUCAAGAAAAACGAGAGAGAGAGAGGGAGUGUACUUUGAGAGAAAAACUUACGUCUUUUUUCUAAAGUAAAACGGUGUGUUUUUCUCUCUCUCUCCUCCCUUUUAUACCUCUCUCCUUCCACGGGCCCUAUUCCCGUGAGCCGGGCUUUCUAGGUCCAACUUGGGCGGACGGGCCUUAAGCCCAAUACUAAUAAAGCCUUCACUGCUAAACCUUAACCUAGUCAUGACGAAUUCCUUUGUGCCAAUAGUCCGUGGUGGAGGCCAAUUUGGAACUGCCGCCUCUUUCAUAUGGAAUAGAGAUGACAACUCGAAACUCGGACAAAUUGCCAUGUCUAUGGUCCCUCGGCAAGCGGCUGCCCACGAAUGAAUGAACAUGGCCAUGGUGGAGAUGUCGCCAAUCUUGCGUGUAAAGCGCAGGCCAAUCACUAAUCUACCACACUCGAACGUUUUCACUUGAAUCGCGACUAACGAAUUGCCCACCACGUUGGUCGGGAAUGUCGACAAAUGAUCAAGCAAAUCCAUGUCGGGGUCUCCAUGGAGAAGCUUGUCCAUUUGGCCAUCCACUUUGGCGUGGAUGAACUCGACUCCAGGGUCAUUGCACUCGAUGAAACAGCCAUCGUCCUCGACAUAUCUCCGUGCCAUAGGAUAAAAGAGCUGUGGGGUUUUGAAAAGUGACUCCUCCAUUUGGCCAAGCCUCUGAGGAAUAUCAACUCUGUGAUUCUCAGCAUUAUCUCUAUAGGAGAAGAUAAUGCCCGUAUAAUUUGGCAUUUGAAUCUCAUCCACUGAUGAGAGCUUCAAUUUUUGCCGGUUGUUUGGCGUCGGUACCGACGGCUUGACCAACUUCUUCCAUUGUACUUCCACGUUCAUGCUUGGACUGCCUCCCAAGAUAUGUGCGGAAGUACAGCUAUGGAAGUAAUUUGGAGGAUCAAGGAUGGUUGAAUAUGGUAGUUAUGUGCGAGUUGUGCCCAGUGCAAUGCUUGUUUUCUAAGCAGUAUAACCAAUCAUUAAAAAAAAAAAUAUUUUCCAAAUCAUAAGUUUUCUGUGAAACAAAUGAAUGAGAUUUUGUGGGACCACAGCCAACUCUUCUACAAACUUAAACUAUUAGAUAAAGUCAUUGUUUAUUAUAUAAAUAUUCUAGCCCUCUCCUUCAUGUGUAGGCUAGACUUUGGACGUAGCCUAAAGCGUGAAUAUAUUCGAUUGUGGAAGCCAAUAGGGACAAGGAAGAUUCAAACUUGAGACUUUCUAACUCUAAUAUUGGUGUUGGGUUGUCUUAGGUUUCUCUUACUCAAGCUAGCUUAAAUGUGAAACUUUUCUUCACACUUAUAAUGAUCACAAGAUAAAAUCCGACAAUCUCCUCCGGGUUGGAGCAAGAACAACUCAUAUCUCUCCUAUGUGACUGUUGGGUCCAAACUUAUUGACAAUUUGGGCUCUGAUACCAUGAAUUCGAUGAUGACAUGUCUAGAUAUAAAUAGGUGGGUAUAUGCUAGAAGUGUAAGAGAUAAAUACAUCCUAAACUUAUCUUCUAUAACUAGUUGACAGUUCACAUCACAUAUUUAUUGAGCACCUAGUGACCGUGAGGGGCAAGGUUGACCUCACCGGCCAUUGCCUCUAGCCUGUGACCAAGAUCCAGCGAUUGGUUAGAGGAAGAAGGGAAGGGAAAAAAAAGAAGAGAAAAUAAUAAAUAUUUUUUUAAUUAUUUAAAUAUUAUUUAAAAAGGUCAACAUCAGAGCUGGUUGCUCCACAUAAGAUGACUGACAACACAUGUCAGUGAUUUCUAACCUAAAUUUAUCGAAUAUACUAAAAUGGCACAAUGCAAAAGAUUUAUUACUCAAAUGGCAAAAAUAGAAAAAGGAUUAAGAUUGAAUGCGCACAAUUGUUUUUUUUUUAUAUAAUUUUCUCCUAGGAUUGCUGUACCUUAGCGGGCGAUGAUACGAUGGGCUAAGGGGAUGUGUAUCAAACGAAAUAGAAGAGGUGAUUAAAAAAAAAAGGAAAUAGGGAAAAGAAAAGAGCCAAUAAAAGACCGGAUAACAUCUCACCUGUGCAAAUUUAAUUUGUCGAUAUUCCAUCCUCUAUUAAGUAGGAGUAAAUUAUAGACAGAAAUUUAUUGUCUUAAAUUCAAAAUGUAAAAUCACAUGAUUAAAGAUAAAUUUCGGGAUUAAUUGAGCUAAGCCUUUAAAAGAACAGGAAACAUUUGCUAUUGCAGAUUUGUCUCUCUGUAUACGUACCGUGGUAAAAUUUGCUGGUUAGAUAUUCCAGAUUUGCACCCUUUUCUACUGCUAGGAAAGUCGGAGAGUGUUCUAGUUCUGAUAACCAUGAAAAAUGAUUGAACUGGCUUAUUAAAUAGAGAUACUUAGCUCUUUGACCUUUCAUAAAAUGUUUAGUUUAGGAACCGGACGUCACGUGUUUAAAUCUCACCAAUUAUAUACGAAUUAUAAUUUGGGUCAGAGUCACUUCAUGAGUCAAAAGUUUGGACUUAAUUAAUUUUAUAGAUGUGCAUAGUAUUUUACAGACCUCCAAAUAAACGGGCCGUGGCCCUUGUGCCCCUAUCUUAUAAAAUAAGUGAAACAAGACGGUCUUAACUAACUUUGUACUACAAGAAGUGUCGUGUUUUUGGGGAUAAAUUGAUUGCACGAGAAACCAAACAAGUCGAGAUCAACUGUAUUAGACAUCAUAGAGAGUGAGAACAGCAAAAGACCAUGUUGCCCCUUGAAUUAUUUACGAGACAAGCUUCUCGAGAAUGCUUCAUAUACCAUGAUAGACAAUUGCUGUAAUUUUAAAUAUCCUCGCGUGCGUAACAUAAUCAUCGCUUUAUAAACCUGAGCAACAUAAUCCUCAAACCUAAAUUCUAUAGUCUUGAUUAGGGGUGAGCAUGGUUUCAAAAUAAAAUUGGAAACUUGAGUAUAGGAUCGGUGAUAACCGUUUUAGUUCCAAGUUCUAGAACGUGUAGGGUAGGUUUUAGAUUACAAAAAUUGGAAAACGUAUUCCAACAAUUAGGUUCUUGAUUUGAAGCUUAGAACUUGAAACAAGUCUUUGUGUUUUUCUUGGUCUAUGUCUUCGAGCUAUUUUGCGGCAUUCAAUGACAUUUAAUGAUAAGUGUGUAAUCUGAAGCCACCAGUCUAAACUUCCAUUAUGGGUUAUAACUAUGACUAAGAUUUUUACUUUGUUAAUAUUUCAAAAUCUUUGUAUGUCUAAAUAUGAAUUGUGAUCAAUGAAUUAUAGCAAGUGAUGAUCAUUAGAAGUGACGAUUCACUAUAAUUAUUUAAUGAAGAGUAUAAGUAGAACCGGGUAGAUCUUGGAACUUAUGACAUCAUAGUUUCCAAGGUCCCGAAUAUGUGGAUAGGUUUUAGAUUUCAAAAAUUAGGAAACAUGUUCCAAUUGAUGGAUUUUAGGUUUCAAGUCGAAUAUAGACGAAACCUGAAACCAUUCAUCUCUAAUCUUGAAAUUGAAGUUGAGCACCAAUACCUAGGUGACAAUACUUUUGUAUCAGUUGCUUGGCAGGAUAAGAGAGCAUUCCAUUGCAUGCUCCAUGGCCGUAGCAGGUUGGAGUCAAGAAAUCAUCCCGCUCAUUCUAAUAAUUGAAGCCGGAGUUCGAUGUAUUAUUGACCAUAUCUUGAAGGAGAUCAGUGACGGCGUCUUUGUACGCUCAGGUUGCACCCGCGUCUUCAAUGCAGAUUUUUUGUACCAAUGUUUCAUCAGGAGCAUCUUUUAUAACGUUAAAUGAACGAAACAGUGCAAUUGGUGUAGCUGCAAUUUUGUGGAAUGGAGCCAUGGGUCUCUUACCUCGUUCUCUUGACAAUACUCAUCCUAUACUGCCCCUCAAAUUGAGGGUCGUAUCCAAGGAAAAUAAGCUUCUCGUAGGUUUCUCCACUCUUUAAAUUUUUUUUUCUGCGAUUUGUUUGGUGAACAAGUUUACUCCUAGAAGUUACCAACAGUCAAGAAUGUAAUAAAUAGUUGAGUUCUUGUUUUAGCAGUAGUUUAGAACCUUUGCCUCAUCAAUUUGGGAAGCCAUCGUCAUCUUAUUUAAGCUCCGUUUAUUUGAUGAAAUAUAUUUUUCUCAUUUUGUAACAUUUGGAUAGUUUAGGAAAAUGAGCUAAUGAGAAAAAAAUUUCCCUAUUCAAUAGAAAAACUAUGUUUAAAUUUAGGAAUGAUUUACCUUAAAAAAAAAAUCAUUUUUCAAAAUAUUAUUAGAAACUCUAUGUUCAAGAAUAGGAACCCUAAAGCUUGUUCUUGAGCCCUUGGCUGCGGACCUAAGUCUAAACCUGGGGCCGAGUCCACCAAAGUCCAUCAAGGCCAAGCUCGGGACGAAAGACACUAGAUUUGAAACCUUGAUGCUCGAGCCCGAGUUCCAUAGAGGUUAAGUUUGAGACACCAGCCCUAGUAGUUGAGCCUAGGGAUCCAAUACCAUUGCUUAGCUCCCUAGCACCCCAACUCAAGUCCACGAAGGUCGAGCCCAUAAAUACAUUUUGAAUACAAUUGAUUUUUUUUUUUUUACUGACAAAAAGCCGUGGUGAAAAAUAUGAACCCUAAAGCUCGAGUCCAUCGAGGUUGGGCCAGGACUUCAAUGCCUAUGCUCGGAUCCUUGAUACCCAUGCUCAAUUCCAUAGACCCAAGCAUGAGACCUUGAAGCUUGUCCUAUAGUCCCCGACACUUGGGUCCAUUGAGACCGAUCACAAGCUCAAUGCCUAUGCUUAUGCUCGGGAACCAAGUAUCCAUGCCCAAGUCAGGGUCCAUUGAGGCCCUAGUGCUUGUACUCAAUUUCCCAACCACCCAUGGGCAAGCCACUAACACCUUAAUGAGAUAUGUCUAUUAACUAAACAAUAGAAAAUAUUUUUCAAUUCACUUUUCAGAUUGCAGCCAAAUAUCAGAAAAAUUUUGUCAUUUUUCAGGAAACAUUUUCUAAAAAUGUCAGAUUUUUUUCGUGAAACAAACUUAGUGUUGAUAGUGAGUAUGUUUUCUGCCGUCCUCUUAGCACAUUUUGUUUCGAAUUGUGACUUCUUCUUAAUCAGCCUCUUCCAAAGAUAUACUAGAAUUGUUAGUCAUAUGUCCUUAGCAUUUUUCCUUCAUUUUGGGCGAGUGUAUUUACAAGAUGCAUAUUUGCAUGCUAUGUUUCUCCUCGACUUUCCCUUCAAAAGGUUCUUUGCAAAAGCCGCUUAACUCCAAGCUCCAUUUUCAUUCAAAAACUCAUUAAUAGUUGACAGCAAAAUACACUUUUGUAUUCCUAUGCUUGAUGGGAAGACUUUUGCACGAGUGACCCAAAUCUUUGCUGGCGAUAACAUCGUUUUACUCCUAUUUUGAUGGGUACAUGUACUUAAAAAAAAAAAAAAUUAUAAGCAGCAUACAAGAGGUUAGCGGUGACCUCCUACGUCUUACGCGGUUCCUUACCAACUUAAAAUAGGUUAGGGACAACUCUAUGUUAUUACUAACAAAUAAGAAUUGAGAAUCAGUGUUGUGAUCGGUAAUUUGGGAGAGUCCAUGCAAAGAGCAAAGCCACCUCGUGUGAGAGGAUUAUCCGAGCUCGCAUAACAAUCCGAUGAUCUGCUCAAGGUCCUCUUCUAGAGGAUCGUGACACACGCAUAGCAUGUUUGCUCACUCAAACAACUACAAUUGGACCAAUAUGUUUUUCAAAUUCAACAGGGUAAAAAUAACAGGAGCGCCAUAACUUUCAUUAUGAUGCAUAAGUGAGUGAUAAUGUGAGCGCUGUAUGAAAUUUAUGACAUUUUUAGUGUACUUACCCUCAUAUCAAACAAAAGUAUCUCCAUUGGAGUGCCUAGCUAGCUGGUACGUAUCAGGGAAAUAUCCUCACCAUCUACAAUGUUAUCCACUCAAAUGUUUAGUUUAGCCAUGGAAUCAGAGCUAAAGACAAAGGCUAGAGAUCCCACAAGAAUAUGACUUGGAUUUGAUUUGUUAGUAUUUGAAGGGGUGUCUAAAUAACUUGGCACUUUUUAUUUUUUGCUUAAUUUAAAUCUCGAGAUAGGACGUACUUCAGCUUUUUCUUGGUUCAUAACUCCCCAAACUUUCACGACAUACCAAUUUUGACACGUGGGAUUUUACAGGAUUUUUUUUAAAAUUAAGGUGACAUUUUAUAAUUUGGCCAGAAAACAAAAUUUUAUUUUUAUUUUUGCUGAAGCAUAGACAUAGAUGUCCAGAUUAUUGAGCCGUAACAACUUAGAGGCAGUUUAUUUACUAUUACAUCCUUUAGAUUAUUAUGGAUAAAAUCAAUUAUCUGAAAUGUGAUUAAGAUUUUCUCUAGGUUUUCAACGUUUUUCAACUAUUAAUUUUUUUUUAGUAGAUAAACGUCGUCUUUAGAAAAACUAAAAAGCAAGUUAAAUGAUCUUAUUAUUGUUCAUAGAAAAAAUUAAAAAAGCACGAGUCCAAACGGCACUUUAUUUGUGCACUAUAAAAAUGUCAUUGACAAUAAUGAUAACAGUUGAAGUUGAUUUGCUCAGUACUUAAAAUUCUUUUAUAAUCACUUACAUGUGUCUCUAUCUUGUUCAAACACAUGGUACUAUGUUGUCUUAUCUGGAUUUAUUCACCAAAUGACACAUGAGGCUCAUGGGAAUUCACAUGGACCUCAAAUAAUUGAAAAUUGCAAGAUAGUGCAGUCAUUCACCUAUGCUAUAUUCACAACAUAUUGAUAAAAACCCAUGUCAAUUUACCACAAAUUAUGAUAAGUCUAUAAAUUUUGAUGUAAAUGUGACACGGAUGUGCCGAUUUAGGGUAAAUAUUGUAGGAUGUAGAAGUUUGGGAUUUUUAUAACAUAAAAAUUAAUUUGAGAUAAAUGAAAUAUAAAUGCACUAGUUUGGAUUAAAAUGGUAUGAAUAUACUAGUUUGUGAUUUUUGGGUAAAUAUAGCAUACAUGUACCAAUUUGAGGUUUUUGACGGCAUUAAUCGUAAUAAUAAUAAGCAUCAGCUGGUGCUAGGCUUUUCUUUAAUGCUACCACCAAAUUUUUUUAAUAGUUUCCAUAUAAAUAUUCUAUAUAUAUUUAUUACAACCCAAAAUGAAGUAAAAAAAAAAGUCAUCGCCAAGUGUAGUGCAAUGUUAGUGCAAAAAAAAAAUCAAAUAUUGUAAUUAAAUUAAUGUGAAAUCAAUAGAGAAAUAAAAAAAUAAAUAAUAAAGAACACUGAAGAUUUACUUAAUUCCAUCCAAUUGUCAAUCCAUACUCCACAAGGAGAGUUAUGAGCAAAUAAUUCAGUAAUAAUCGAAAAAUUAAAGUUAUAAUCGGUCAUACACUUGGUGCUUUCCUCACCAACAUUAAACCUAAAAAUGCGAUAUUUACAAAUAAAUAAAUUAACUAGUUGUGAUGAUCAAAGCACAAGUCAUCGCGCCCGGCUAAAAUCAAGCUCCGAACGCUUGGCCCUAGUUUCGCCCUUUUGCGGCUUUCUCUCUUCCUAAGGGGUCUCUUUUUCUUGUACGGAUCUUUUCCCUACGCUUUUCACGGUCAGAAAUGGGCAACAAUAAAUGAUGAAGAACUAGACCUACUAUUAGCGAAAACAUAGAACCACCGACCAACAAGAAAACAAACCUAAUUCGACUUAAGGGCAUGAUAAAUGAUGAAGAACUAGACCUACUUUUAAUGAAAAUAUAGAACCACCGACCAACAGGAAAACAAACCUAAUUCGACUAAAGGGCAUGAUAAAUGAUGAACUAGACCUACUUUUAGCGAAAACAUAGAACCACCGACCAACAGGAAAACAAACCUAAUUCGACUAAAGGGUAUCCCGGAUUCUGACAAAUCAAAAUAUUUCAGCUAACUCGGAUCCCAUACAUGAGUCAAACUCAAUACAUAAUUUAAUAAAAUAGAUAUACCAAGAAAGAAUGUUGCUCAUCAAAAUAACUGCAAUAAGAAGAGCUCGAUGUGUGAUCAGUCAUGUCUUGGAGAAGAUCAUUGAUGCCUCGACCCCCAUUCUUCUAUAUUAGCCUUCUUUCCCUUUGCUACUCUUUCUUUAUUAUGCUCACAAUACAAGAGCCUUAGAUGCACAUACAAAAGACCUCUAGUUAUAUUGGUUUCCUUUGCUCAUACAAAAAGAAAAUGUCGUUCUCUCCUCAUUAGAUAAAGACGCUAGAGUUUAGUCUUAACCUAAAUCGUGGAAAUAUGUAACUGGUAAAAUAGGUGCUCGAAAGAUCUUGAUUUAUAUGAAAUUUUGUGAUAUCACUUUCGAUUGUUCUAAAAAUUUAACUUAUUAAUGUCGUGACCUAAAUUUCGGGUGUACUACCUAAAACUAGGUUAAUGGACUACUAAGUUUUCAACUUAGCUCGGGCUCUCCCAAGCCCAUACUAAUUCGCGACUUAAGGUUCAAGUAUUUAACAUGCAAAUGAUUAAUAUCUAGGAGUCGCCACUAAUCAGUUCACAGUAGGUCGAUUAGACACCUAAGUAAAAUAAUGGGAGAUUUAUUUUACUCCUACGAACCAGAGACUAAGGGUAUAGGGACUUGGUUACACUAGAUUACUCUAAUGCCCUUUCGGUACUAUUUCUUUUUUAAUUUUCAAAAACGUUUUUUGGAGGCAGCUGAUUUAUUUUAACAUAAAUUACUAUCAUGCAAAUGUGGUGACCACACGGGUGCUCAUCCAUUAUUAAAACAUUCAAAUAGGAAUAAUAAAUAAAUAAAUUGCAUCACAUGAAGCAAGCAAUCAUUUUUUGGGUUUUCUUAAAAAUUAGAAUUCUUUUUAGAAAAAUGCAUUUUAAAACUAAAUGACUUAAUCUUAUUAAUAUGCAAAUCCUAAUUAAAUGGGUCUAUUAUGCAAACUAAUUAACAUGCACCUCAUGACCUAAUUUCACUAAUAAAAAAAUUCUGAUUAAAUGAUCCUAUUAUGCGAACUAGUUAACAUGCACCUAGUAUUUUUGUAUUUUUUUUAUUGAAACUUUAGAAUUUAUGAAAUCCCUACUUAAUCUAUCUAAAAAGGGAUAAUUUUCUAAUUUAUUCUAAGGAUUAAUUUAACUUAAACCCUAUCCUAUCUUAGAAAACUAUUUAUUGAAAAAUGAGAUAAUUAAAAUGUGCGAACACUAUCUAAAACCCUAAAGAAUUUACUUAGGUUCAACCCUAACUUAUUUCUAAAAAUGCAAUCCUAAAAAUGUAAUCCUAAGAAAAAUCUAAGUUAUUAAACCUACAUGUUUGAUUUACUAAACCUAUAUGCUCAUGCAGAAUUUUGAUUUUUGAUUUUAUGAAUUUUUUUAGUUUUUUUUAAAAGAUAAGUAAUUAUUAAAUAAAUAUUAAAUCUAAGCUAUGAACAAAAUAAAGGAUUAAAAUAAUUGAAAAAAUAACAUGUUGUCUCACAGGUCAAAUCAACUCACAAGUCAAAUUAACGAUUAUCCUAACUCUAAUUAUCACGACAAAGAGAUCAAAAUAAUUAAAAAUCUGAUCCGAAGUCUUACGGAUCAAAUUAAUAAUUAUAAUGAUUUAAAAAUUUAAAUUCUACCAAAAAUAGCCCAAAAUUAAUAUAAUUAAAAAAUAAUCCGAUCUCUCGGAUUAAAUUAAUUAUUACAAUAAUUCUAGACAAAAUCCUAGCGGAUAAUGCCUACAAACUGCACAAAUAUUAACAUUCAAUAUUACAAUUUAAGCCAUUACAACUAAACAUGAUAAAUAAAAUAAUAAUAAUAAACUACCUUGAUUUUUUUUUUUUAAAUAAAAAAGGGGCCGGAGCACGGGCGAUUUGGGCAGUGACGAUGCUGGUGCUCGGAGGUGAGGCAGGUGCCACGGACGGGCGGAGGCGCGGCUUGCUGAACGGCGAGGGUGCGGGAUCGCGGCGGGUGAGGAGCGGACGCACGGCGAUGAGCGGCGCGGAGGCAACGCGGGCUGCUGGCGCGGCAGCGUCGGGCUCCGAGGUCAGGUGCGGGGGCGACGCGGGCAGCGGCACUGCGGAGACGAGCUGCUGAGGCGGAAGGGUUCAGUCAGGUGAGUAGCAGUCGGCGGUGGUGCGGGCUGCUGAGCUGUAGCGACGGAGUCAAGCUCUGGCGCAGGGACAGCGGGUUGCUGGUGUCGGAUGAACAGAGGCGCGCAGUGACGGGCGCUGCAGAUCGCGGAUGAAGCGUGGCGACGCGGGGCCUGGUGAAGCGGCAGCGGCGCUCGUGGAGUCGGUGCGACGCGAGCGCGGGUAGGGGCGUCCACGCGAAGAAGACGAACAGUUGCUGCUGCUUUUUCUUAUUUUUUCUUUUUUUCUCUGGCCACACGUCACUUCUCUGCACUUUUUCUCUUUCUUUUGCUGACUUUUCCCCUUCUUUUCUUCUGCAGGUUGUCAGAAGGGAAAAAAAGAAAAAGACCCUUGGAUGAGAAAAUGGGGUUUCCUCUCUUUUAUUUAUUUUUUCUCACUUUCACGAAUUCUCAGCUCUUUUCACGAAAAUUUUUUAGCCGAUUCUUCCCCCUCAAACCUUGUGCAGGUCAACUCCUUUUAAUAAUGAUUCCGCACGACCACUUUCUAUGGUAAAUUUCAAACUUUCAUCUUCUGUUACAUUAAAUUAAAUAUGCAAAUUGGAUCAUGAUUUUGCAAUUAGCUUGAUUUUACACCGAUUCCUUCCAUUUUAUCAAAAUCCUUAAUCUUUGUUCAUUUGAUUUUAAAAUUGUUACUGCAUUUAACAAAAUCCGGACAUUCAUCAGAAUUCCAUAUUUCCUUGCAUACUUACAUCAAAUCAAUUUCCCCCAUUUUCAUUUUUUUAUUUGUUCAAAAUGCAAUUUUAUUUUUCCAAAAUUAGGUGUCAACAAUUAAAUAAAUGUACGAUUUAUUAUCUAAAUAUUUCAGUAAAUUAAUGUCCAUUGGACCACACUUUCCGCUCAUUUCCAUCUGGCAGUUUCUGAUUUGGUGGUUUUCUCGGAUUUUUUCACCAAGUCGCGAUCCCAAAGUCCACACAAGUCAAUGUCUGGACUCCAUGCCUAGCAACGAAAGCUGUUGGACAGCUCCAAAUGGGGCCUCCAUGCACCGAAACAUCAGGACCGCACCCGUGACCACAAGCGUCUCGUCAUCAUUUAACGUUGUCUGUUCUCGUAUCGAUUGCGACUUCGUGAAAUUUCCAAGAAACGGGGAAGCGUGACUCUCGUUUCCGAGAUAUUUUUACGCGGUUUUAUUAUCCGUGCAAAGAGAGGCAAGGGUUGGAGCGCUCUAUAAAACCACUGGAGAACUCGUAUUCAUUAUCCUCGUUUCUACACAUAUCUCGAGAGGCAAUCCAAGCAUGAAGGUGGAAAUACAGUGGAAGAAGCUGGUCAAGCCGUCAGUGCUGACACCGAGCGACCAGCGAAAAUAGAUGAGCUUCAGAUGCCAAAUUAUGUGGGCGUUAUCUUCUACUAUAGAGAUAAUGCCGGGAACCCCAAAGUCGAUAUCUCUCAAAGGCUUCACCAGAUGGAGGAGUCACUUUCCAAAACACUAACCCUCUUUUAUCCUAUGGCAGGGAGAUACAUCGAGGACGACGAUGGUUGUUUUAUCGAUUGUAACGACCUUGGAGUGGAGUUCGUCCAUGCCAAAGUGGAUGGCCAGAUUGAUUAGCUUCUCCAUAGAGACCCCGACAUGGAUUUGCUCGAAUAUUUGUCGCAAUUCCCGAACAACCUAGUAGGCAAUCCACUAGUGGUGAUUCAAGUGAAUACGUUCGAGUGCGGCGGAAUAGCAAUUGGCUUGCGCUCUACACACAGGAUCAGCGACGUGUGCACCAUAGCCAUAUUCAUUAAUUCGUGGGCCACCGCUUGCCGAGGUAAUGUAGAUGUUACAGUCUGUCCAAGUUUCGAGUUGUCGUCUCUAUUCCCAAUGAAAGUGUCGGCCGUUGCGAAUUGGCCUCCGCCACGGAGUACUGGCAGCAAGGAAUUCACGGUGUCUAGGUUCAGGUUCAGCGGUGAUGCUAUAUCGAAGCUGAGAGCCCUAGCAAGGGAUGAUGCAAAGGAUUCAAUGCCCAACAACUUCCAGCCUUCGAGGGUGGAGGUUGUUUCGGCACUAAUAAGUAAGGCUCUCGUCAAGAUUGAUCGAUGUGGACAGGGCGAUGAAAGGCCUAUCGCAGUUUAUAUGACGUUUAACUUGCGCGAUAAAGUCAAACUAAAGAUACCCGCAAAUUCUUGUGGCAAUUUCUUCAGCGUGAUUUCUGGGCGCUCCGAUCAACCCGCGGCCAGCAAAAGGAAUCCGGAGUUCAAUGAGAUGGUGAAUAUAAUCCACAAUAUAAUAUCGGACGCUAAAACGAAAUAUGCAACAAUAGUAAACAAGCAGGAGUUCUGCUCGACGGUGGGGAAUUCUAUAGCCGAAUUUGUCAAAGUCGCGUCCUCAAACGAAGUGCAUACGAUAUUUUUUAGUAGAUGGUGCCGUUUCGGGCUAUUUGAGAUUGACUUCGGGUGGGGAAGGCCGGUUCUCGUCAGCAACAUAUCAUUGAAUCUCAGAUCGUCCUUUCUUAUCGACGAUGAAGAGGGCAAAGGAAUUGAUGCAUGGACAACCACCACUGGAGAUGUAAUGAUUCUUCUUAAACAAGAUCCGGAUAUACUGGCAUUCACUUCCAAGUUGGAGGUGGAGAGGUUGCACGAAUAUGUAAUCUGAGAAGUCAUUGUAUCUUACUAUAAUGUAGAGCAGGAAAAAGAAAAUGGACUUGGUCUGUAGUAUUUGUUACAUCUAUUUCAUUUCUUUAAGAAGGAUGGUUCUUGUGGACAAUGUUAAUCAACUUAUUGAAUACCUUAGAGCGAACUCCUCUAUCGUGUUCGAUUUCCUCAGGCUGACCUGUCACACCCCAAAUCUCGAGCAUGCGUAUAUCCAUCGGUGGUCGAUAAAAUUGUGACGUCCCAAGACGCGUCGCCAACCCGUUAAUUUUAAGGCACAUGUGGAAGCAAAAUAAAAACCCCUAACAGUAAACAGUAUGAGAUAAAAAAAACAGGACAACAAAUUCACAAACAAAACACAUUUUUAUAAACAAACUAGUCUAUUUAUGAAAAGAUCGGCUCUCCAAAAGAACUUAUCCUACAACCCACUAAUCGGACAUAUUCGCCGAUCCUUCGGACUCCACUUCAAUAGGCUCUGGGGGCUUCGGGUCCUCCACAACCCCAUCAAGAGGGUCAGCUGCACCCUCACCCAGAGCGGCGUUGACCGCAAUAGCGGAGAUAUCAAAACCCUGAAGGGGACCAUCCCAUUAUCCAUUGAACCCAUGGCGAAAUCAUGCCCUAAAUUGAUGAGGUACCCUCUGAGGUAGGCCCUCAUCGACCUAGAUAGUGGUCACUACGAGCUCAUAGACCCAAUGACUUCCGGGGACAAGGACAUCCGUGCUCCACUCAGUAACCCCUCAAGGCUGACCAAAACGAACUGGAGGUACCGCCAUCUAAGGACCUAAAAAUGUUAAGCCCAUGAUGGGGUGAGACAAUAUCUUAGUAAGUUUACUCCCUAAACCCCUAUUUAGGAAGAAAAUACGCAUAGAGGUAAUCUAACCACACAUCACAUAAGACUUACCUUGCCUCAGUUCAUUCCUGUACAUCAGUACAAUUCAUAUCGCAUAUAAUUGCAUUAAAAGCACUCAUCAAUCGGGACGUCUGAACUUAUAACCCAAACGAUUACAUGGGUUCUGAUUAUAAGGCCAAAUCGUUAUUACCCGUCACAUUCCGUGCCACACAAUUUUCUCCUAUAAUCAGGCGUGUCAAUUCAAUCAAUCAUGCGUCCUAAUUGAUUACGACCCAAUGGCCACGAUAAAAUCAACAGUCAGCGGUCUUCCGGUGUAGCUGGGCAUCGUCUCGCACCAUUGAGCACGGCAACGUCUAUACAUAGACGGCAUUUCAUUAGGAAGCAUCGGUCCAGCCUCCAUUACGACUGACAUUUGUUGACUUGGGGCAUCCCAUGUACAGCAUCGUCCGGCUUAACAGCUUGUGACGGAUUUUCAUAGCCAUCACACGAUCAUUCAACCUUGGGCAAGGACAUCAUGCAUUGCACUCAAAUGUCUCAAUUAAAAUAUUGAAUUUGGCAUAUUUUCUUCAUAUUAAAAACACUCAGUAAAAAUAACCGUGUGUGGGUACAUGGUUAGAUCGAACUAAAAAAAUUGAUAUUCUUCCUUUUAAAAUCUCACUAUUUAAUAUAGUAUUUAAAAGCAUUUUCGGUGUCAAAACCCGACACCCGGUAUUUUCUAAUUAAAUACCAAAAUUUCACAAUUUUGAAAUAAUAACUCAAAAUCACAAUCAUCACUCAAAUUGUACAAAUUAACAUUCAAUUGCAUAAACUAAACACACCAUUGCAAUCAGCACGAAAUUCCGGUCACUGACUAUCCUAGUAUAAUUUUAAAAAAAUAUUAAAUAAUUAAAUAAAUAACAAAAAUAAUUAAAUAAAUGCAAUUUAACCAAAUAAAUACAAACCCAGGCCGGAAACACUAAUUUAACCACCUAACCGGGCCUAAAAAAUUAAUGCACCUAUCCACAUAAAUAUUACAAUCUAUUUAGCUCUUAAUCAAUCUAUUCUAACAACCUAACAAUCAUAAUUAAGCAAUUAAAUCACUAAUCCAAACUAACUAAUCACCUAAAUCAUACUUAGCCUAAUCUAAUUACCUACUAAACGUCAUUAACUCCAUAAACAGAGUUUAGCAAGUAAACUCAUUGGAUUAGCGAACCGGUGAGUCCACGGCGACGGCGACAUAGAGGCGAGGGGAACAUGAGCUUGCGGCGACACCAAGCGAGGCCCAGAAGAGACCUAAAACGGGCCACGAAGCCCGACAACCCUUGUUGCCUUCGAUUUUUCCAAGGACCGAAGGGGCUGGGCUAAGCGGCGGGUUGGCUGGAAACAGCCACAAGGGCGGCAAAUGGCAGCAACGAGACAAGGUGGUGGCUCCGGCGGCUUGGAUGGCUUGGACAGCAACCAUGGCGAGCUCGAGGACUUGUGAGCAAACGCGAGAUAACGGCCUAGGCUCGCGGGGGAUGGCGAGCAGGCGUGGGACGAGUCGGAUGUGAGCGGGAGGCUGGCAACGGCUUGGGAGGAUGACUGCUGCUUGGACAAGCGGCACGGGUGGUUGAUGGCGUGAGGUCCUGAUUUCUCUGGUUUUCUUGAGCUCACAACACUUCAACAAUGGAGAAAGGGGCAACAAGGAGGAGGAAGAAGAGAGCUCAGCUGAAAGGGUGCCUAAAAUGCCUUUAAAGUCUCUUCAAAAUUUCCAAACACUCAUCACAUGCUCAGCCAUUAGCCACUCCAAAGCUUCUCCAAGAACUAUCCCAAGGUGGCUGAAAUGUUGUUCCCUCCUUGGCCUAAGAAUUUUGUAACAUUUCUCCUCAAAUUUCAUUCAAUUCCUCUCCAAAAUAACCCAAUUGAUGCCCCAAAAAUUCAGCCAAGGUGUCCACACUUAAUUCCGCACUUUUCCUUGCUAAAUAAUCCAACUUGAUGGCCAAAUGUGCAACAAAAAACGGUCUUCAAAUUUUCCCGGUCAAAAAUAGCCGUACUUAGAAUUUUUGUCGAAAACUCGAGUUUACAGAAAAAAAAUUUGGAGGAUGAGUCGACGUUCCUAAAAUAAAUUGUGACAUGACAAAACUUUCAAUUUCCGAAAUCGGGUUCAAUUUCACGGUUAAUUUCAAUUGGACGCGAAUUUAACGUGACCUAACCUACCGGGUAGCUUUUAGGAACUUUUAGCGCAUUUGACCCGUGGUCGAUUAUUUUCGAGCCACAUUGUACUUCUUCGACACAUUGACGACUUUCGGUUGUCGUGAAAAUCUCGAUGUUUUAAAUACGGACACAGGGUACAUAAAUGACAAAUAAAUCGGUCUAGUCCGUUCGAUGAGAAUUUUUCAAUUAGGUGAUAUCACCCACUCUUUAAUCACAUGCCUCUAUCGAAAUGACCUAUCUCUGGUCUCUGAUCGAUUGUGACAGUGCCGUAUUGACCCUUGCAGAUUAGCAUAGUCAAGCAGUCGAUUUCUGGUUGAAUUCUCAAGUCUAUUGUGUUUAAAUUCCUUAACGACUUCACCUGAUAAAUUAGUUAUCUCAUGAGUGAUCAGUUCAAAGAAAAAGACUAUAGGCGUGUCGAUGAAAAGCCCAACUCAUUUAAUUGAAAACAUAAUUAGAAAAUCUGGAUGUCACAACUCUUCCCCUCUUAUAAAAAUUUCAUCCUCAAAAUUUAAACUAUUAAAAAUCUUUAAACAAAAAGGUGGGGGUAUUGUCGUCUCAUCAAGUCUUCACUUUCCUAGGUUGCUCAUUUUGUCUCGAGGUGUUGCCAUACCACUUUGACUAAUGGGAUUAUCCUGGUGCAUAGAACCUACUCCUUCCAAUCCAUAAUCUGAACUGGUCUCUCCAUAGAUGACACUCUAUCGUCCACAUCUAACUCUUCAAAAUUCAGCAUGUGGGUCGAGUCAGGCUCGUACUUUCUCAACAUCGACACGUGGAAGACGUUGUGCACUUGUGCUAGUCUCGACGGCAACGCAAGACGAUAUGCUAGAGUCCCUAUCAUUUCCAGAAUUUCAAAGGGACCUACGUACCUCAGACUCAACUUCCCUUUCUUACCGAAGCGCGAAGUAUCCCUCAUCAGUGACACCUUCAAAAAGACGUGCUCACCAACUUAGAAUUCUAAAGGUCUUCGAGGCUUAUAUGCAUAGCUUUUCUAGUGACUCUGAGCGGUCUUUAACAUGUCCCUGAUAACUGCAACUACAUCCACUGAUUGCUGAACCAACUCUGGGCAUGUGAUCUUCUGUUCUCCAACUUAAUCCAACACACUGGCGUUUUGCACGCUCUGCCAUACAACGCUUCAAAAUGUACCAUACGAAUACUCUCCCGGUAGCUGUUGUUGUAGGCAAACUCGACGAGAUGAAGCUGUUCCUCCUAGCUUCCCUUGAAAUCCAACAUGCAAGCUCGCAGCAAGUCUUUGAGGGUUUGAAUUGUCCUCUCAGACUAACAUCUGUUUGAGGAUGAUAAGCCGUACUAUACUGCAGUUUCGUUCUUAAGGCAGUUUGCAAAUUUUUCCAAAAAAUAGCUAUAAAUCUUGGGUCUCUAUCAAAUGUAAUUGUCAUCUACACUCCAUGCAAACAAACAAUCUGACGCACGUACAAUUUUGCAUAUCUUACUAAAGCAAGGUCAUUCCAUAUGGCAAUAAAGUGAGCCGACUUCGUUAAUCUAUCGACCGCAACCCAAAUGAAUUCAUUACCUCUCUGACUCCUUGGUAAGCUCAUGACAAAGUGCAUUAUGAUGUAUUCCCAUUUCCACUCGGUAAUCUUGAGAGGUUACAAAAGUCCUCCCAACUUACAAUGUUGUGUCUUUACUUGCUGACACGUCAGACACUUGGCGACAUUCUUGGCGAUAUCCGCUUUCAUAUCGGUCCACCAAUAGUGUUGACAUAGAUUCUGAUACAUUUUCGUACUACCUCGAUGAAUGAUGUAACUAUUACGAUGAGUUUCUGACAAAAUCUCUUAAGCGCUACAUCGUUAGGGACACAAUCGUCCUUGGAACCUUAGUGUUCUGUCUUCAGAAAUUUGAAAGUCAACCUUUCUCUUUUCGGUAUCCUCUUGUAGGAUCUUCUUAAUCUCUGGGUCUGUCAACUGAAGUGUUUUGAUCAUUAUCUGCACUUACGGUUCAAUUCUAAGGAUGGCCAUAAGAUUUGAAAGGUGGCCUACCUCAAAUUUGAAAACCGAAUCUCAAGCUCUUUCGAGUAAGACCCACGCUUUAAACAUCAUCUGCACAACUGAAGACUUCAAAUUCAACGCAUCUGCGACCUUAUUAGCCUUUCUAGGAUGAUACAAGAUGUCGCAAUCAUAGUCCUUGAGAAGUUCCAUCCGGCAACGCUAUCUCAUAUUCAACUCCUUCUAAGAGAAUAGGUACUUGAGACUUUGAUGGUUUGUAAAGAUCUGCAAUCUUUCUCCGCACAAAUAAUGUCUCAAAAUAUUUAGAGCAAAAAUAAUCGCUGCGAAUUCCAAGUCAUGCGUUGGAUAAUUCAGCUCAUCAGAUCUCAACUGACGGGACGCAUAUGCAACAGCUCUGCCAUGCUGCAUUAACACACAACUCAGUUCUCUAAACAACGUAUCAUUGUAGAUCUCGUACCCUCUAAGACCAGAUGGUAUGGUCAACACUAGUGCGGUAGUCAGCUUCUGUUUAAGCUCUUGGAAACUACACUUGCACUUAUCUAUCCACACAAAUUUCUCUUCCUUCUUCAGCAGUCAAGUCAAAGGCGAGGCUAACUCUGAAAAUCCUUCCAUGAACCGUUUGUAAGACCCUGCCAAUCCCAAAAAGCUUUUGAUCUCCGUCACUGUCGUCGGUCUUAGCCAGUUGAUAACUGUUUCGAUCUUGGUCGGGUCCACAGAGAUUCCUUCACUUGAAAUCACGUGACCUAGGAAUGCCACACUAGUCAACCAAAACUCGUACUUACUGAACUUGGCGUACAGUUCAUGAUUCCUUAGUGUUUGAAGCAUCAUCCUCAAAUGUCUUUCGUGCUCCUCAAGACUUCUCGAGUACACUAGGAUAUCAUCGAUGAAAACGAUCACAAACUGAUCCAAUACUGCUUGAACACCCUGUUCAUCAGAUCCAUAAAAGUGACUGGGACGUUCGUCAAACCAAACGGCAUUAUAGUGAACUUAUAAUUGCCGUAUCGCGUACGAAAUGCUGACUUCGGUAUGUCCUCAUUUUUUAUCCACAGUUGAUGAUAUCCUGUCCUCAAGUCGAUCUUAGAAAAUAUCGAUACUCCUUGCAGCUGAUCAAACAAGUCGUCGAUCCUUAGCAGCGAGUACUUGUUCUUAAUUGUCACCUAAUUGAGUUGACAAUAGUCAAUGCAUAGACACAAUGAACCAUCUUUCUUUUUCACAAAUAGAACCAGUGCUCCCUAAGAUGAUGCACUAGGGCGUAUGAAUCCCUUAUCUAACAACUCCUACAUCUGCACCUUCAGUUCUUUCAACUCUAAGAACGUCAUCCAGUAAGGAGCCUUAAAGAUUGGCUCUGUCCUAGGGAUCACGAACUCUAUCUCCCUUUCUAAAGACAGACCUGGUAAUUCCUUCGGAAACACAUUUGGAAACUCCUAAACCACUGCGAUAUCUUCAAUCUUUAAUCUUCAACUCCUUAACUGUCAUAUCCACGAUAGUCACCAAGUAACCUUAACAACCCCAAUCUAACAAAUGGGUUGUCUCAAGCGACGAGAUUAAAGUAAUCGAGGGUCCUCCUCAACUCUAAAUAAACUCGAAUUUCACCCGCUGACGGGUUAAACUGAAUUACUUUACGAUAGCAGUCCAUCUUAACUUGUUGCUUGGUGAGCUAGUCCAUGCAAAUUAUCACAUGAAAAUCAUACAUGGUUAAGACUAUCAAAUCUAUCCUCCCUUCUCGCUCACCAAUCACUAACUUGCAACCAAGACAGCCUACUGCAGCUAACACUUUAUCCUUUAAUGGUGUAGAUAUACUAACCACUGACUCUAACAUUUCAAGACUCAAUCCUACUAGCUUAACAAAUUGCUCAGCAAUACACAAAUGAGUUGUGCUAAGGUCAAAUAAAGCAUAAGCAGCAUGAUCAUUUAGCGAGAUUGUACUUGUGAUCACAUCAAGCGAGUCCUCUGGUGACGGUGUACACCUUGCCCUAAGUUGAAGGUUUGUUCUGUCUACCCUGCUAUGCAUUCUGCAACACAAAACCUUUAUUCUGACCCAUCAGCGGCAGUGGCAGCAACUACUGCGAUCCCAUCGGUUUGCAGGGAUAAUCUCUAACUCGGUGGCCCUAUUGUCCACACCCAUAGCAAGCACCCAUCCUAGAAUGGCACAGAGCCUAUCCAUGUCGCUUCCACAGAAGCGACAUACUCCACUAAGGCUUAGCGCUGACUUACCUAUCCCACAUUUCCUAUUAGGUGGAAUAGAGUACCUUCCUCCGGUCAUGGGCUUCUUCCCAAACCAGUUUCCAUCUCUGUUCGAAUUGAAUCUCGACCCAGAAGUGGUUACUUGCUCAAUCAGGUUCAUCUCUAUUAAUUGGGCCCAACCAUAUAGCUCGUUGUAAUCUUUUAGGUUGAAUGGCACUAGCGGUUUCUUCAACUCCAGCCGGAGGCAUUCCUGAACCUCUUAACUCUAUCAAUUGGAUCCUCUAUCAACCUUGGGGCGUACUGCGAUAGCUCUGCAAACUUGGCCUCGUAUUGGUCCACAUUCAUUGAACCCUGAUGAAGGCACUGAAAUUCCUCCAUCUUUUGUUCCCUUGCACUAUCAGAGAAGUACUUGCCAUUGAACACUGCAACGAAGGCGUUCCACUCCAAAACCACACCAUCUGGGAACACUACUCCUCCGGUGGCCAUCCACUAAGUGCUUGCGUUACCUUGAUGCUAAUAGACUGCAAGGAUGACCUUCUCUUCCCUUGUGCACCUCAAUAGUGCAAAGGGCUUUUCCAAGUCCUAAAUCUAGAGGGCUGCAGCCUUGGGAUCUUUAACACUUGUGAACCUCGGCAAGUUCAGCUUUAGGAACUGCUCUAUGAGCUUAUUCAUUGCCCUCUCAACAACCACGUUCCUAAGUUGAACUUUGGCAAGUGCGGUAGCAACGGCAUCAGCAGCGGUGGCANNNNNNNNNNNNNNNNNNNNNNNNNNNNNNNNNNNNNNNNNNNNNNNNNNNNNNNNNNNNNNNNNNNNNNNNNNNNNNNNNNNNNNNNNNNNNNNNNNNNUGAUGGUGGUAAUGGCGAUGGCCUUGGUUCUGGCCCUGCUGCCCCAUCAAAGUUCCCAGCGUCUCAAGCGCUUGAAUGAUCCCAUCAAUUCUAGGAUCACCAAAUGCUGCUACCCCAGAACUGAUCGGCGGUGGCGCUAAACCAUUUGCCUUGGUAUGAGCCUGUACUCUACCUCUACUACCACGGGUAUCGACCUUAGUCAGCAUCCUACCCCGAGUCACAACUCCUAUAGUCAUCUUUCUAGGCGUCCUCAGCUCUUGAUCACUCAUUAUGUAGACUUUCUACAUAACAUGUUCCUAAUUUCAUACAGAAUUAGAAACUGAGUGAUCCUUACAAAACAAUGUACCAAACAGCUAUUAAUCACAUGCAUCAAUAUAAAAUAAAGGUCGUUCCUACUAAUUAUCCCAUAACCCAUUGCACCUUAUCACUCUAACCGCUAACCAACUCUAAUACCACUUCGAACGAGGAUGUCACGCCCCAAACCUCUAGCGCACACACAUCCCUUAGUGGUCGAUAAAAUUGUGAUAUCCUAGGAUGUGUCGUGACCCGUUCAUUUUAAGGCACAUGCGGAAGCGAAAUAAAAACCCCCGACAACAAAUAUCAUGGGAUAGAAAAGUAGGACAACAAAUUCACAAACAAAACACACUUUUAUAAACAAACUAGUUUGUUGACAAAAAGAUCGGCUCUAAAAAGGAAGUUGUCCAAUGACCCACUAGUCGAACAUAUUCGCCGAUCCUUUGGACUCCACUUCAACAGGCUCCAGGGUCUUCGGGUCCUCUCAAGAGGAUUAGCUGCACCCUCGCUCAGAGCGGCAUUGACCGCAACGGCAAGGAUAUCAAAAUCCUGAAGGAGACCAUCCAUAUAUCCAUUGAUCCCAUGACGAAACCACGCCCUAAAUUGAUGAGGUACUCUCUGAGGUAGGCCCUCAUCAACCUAGAUAGUGGUCACUACAAGCUUAUAGACCUAGUGACUCCCGGGGGUAGGGACGUCUAUGCUCCACUCAGUAACCCCCUAAGGCUGACUAAAACAAAUUAGAGGUACCGCCAUCUAAGGACCUGAAAAGGUUAAGCCCACAACGGGGUGAGACAAUGUCUCACCAAGUUUACUCCCUAUACCCCGCUUUAGGAAAAAAUACGCCCAGAGGUAAUCUAACCACACAUCACAUAAUAUUUACCUCACCUCAAUUCCUUCCUAUACGUCAACACAGUUCAUAUCGCAUAUAAUUGCAUUAAAAGCACUCAUCAAUUGGGACGUCUCAACUUAUAACCAAACAAUUACAAGGGGUCUCGAUUAUAAGGCCAAAUCGUUAUGACACGUCCCAUUCCAUGCCACACAAUUUUGUUCCAUAAUCAUGUGCAUCAAUUCAAUCAAUCGUGCAUCCCAAUUGAUUAUGACCUAACAGCCACGGCCGACUCAAUAGUCAGUGGUCUUCCGGCGUAGCCGGGUAUCAUCUCGCACCAUCGAGCACGGCAACAUCUAUUCCUAAAUGGCAUUCCACUAGGGGGCAUUGGUCCAGUCUCCACUGUGACCGACAUCGGUUGACUCGGGGUAUCCCAUAUAGGAGCAUCAUCCGACUUAACAACUCGUGAUGAAUUCUCAUAGCCAUCUCAACCCGGCCAAGGACACCGUGCAUUGCACUCAAAUGUCUCAAUUAAAAUAGUGAACUUGGCCUAUUUUCUUCAUAUUAAAAACACUCAGUGAAAAUAAUCGUGUGUGGGUACACGGUUAGAUCGAAUCAAAAAAAUUGAUAUCAUUCCUUUUAAAAUCUCACUAUUUAAUAUAGUAUUUAUAUUCAUUUUCGAUGUCAAACUCGACACACGGUAUUUUCUAAUUAAAUACCAAAAUUUCACAAUUUUGAAAUAAUAACUCAAAAUCACAAUCAUCACUUAAGUUGCACAAAUUAAUAUUCAAUUGCAUAAACUAAGCACACUAUUGCAAUCAACACGAAAUUCCGGUCACCGGUUAUCCCGGUAUAAUUUCGGAAAAAUAUUAAAUAAUUAAAUAAAUAGAAAAAAUAAUUAAAUAAAUGCGAUUUAAUCCAAUAAAUACAAACCUAAGCCAGAAACACUAAUUUAACCACCUAAACGGGCCUAAAAAAUUAAUGCACCUAUCCAUAUAAAUAGUACAAUUUAUUUGGCCCUUAAUCAAUCUAUUAUAACCACCUAACAAUCAUGAUUAAGCAAUUAAAUCACUAAUGCAAACUAACUAACCAUAUAAACCAUACUUAACCUUAUCUAAUUACCUACUAAACAUCAUUAAACUCCUUAUGUAGAGCUUAGCAAGUAAACUCAUCGGAUUAGCGAAGCGAUGAGUCAACCGCGACGUCGAUGCCAAGGGAGGCAGAACACAAGCCUGCGGCGACACCAAAUGAGGCCUGAAAGAUACCUAAAAUGGGCCUUCAAUUCGGUCCAAGGACCAAAGGGGCUGGGUCGAGCGACGGCUUAGCUGGAAACAACCACAUGGGCAACGGACGGUAGUGGUGGGACAAGGCGGUGGCUUUGACGGCUUCGACGGUGACCAGGGCAAGCUCGAGGACCUGCGAGCAGACGCGAGACAGCGGCUUGGGCUUGCGGGGGACGGUGAGCAAGCGCGGGAUGAGUGGGACGCGAGCGAGAGGCUAGUGACGACUCAAGUGGAUGACUGCUGCUUGAACGGGCGGUACGGGCGGUCGACAACAUGAGGGGUUGGUUUCUUUGGUUUUCUUGAGCUCACAACACUUCAACAAUGGAGAAAAAUGGUAGCAAGGAGGAGGAAGAGAGAGGUCAGCAAAAGGGGGGCUCAAAAUGCCUCUAAAGUCUCCUCAAAAUAUCCAAACACUCAUCACCAAUGCCCCACCAUGCUCAGCCAUUAUCCACACCAAAACUUGUCCAAGAAGUCUCCCAAGGUGGCUGAAAUGUUUUUUUUUUUUUUUUUUUUGGUAAGGUCAAGGUGGCUAAAAUGUUGCUCUCCCCUUGGCUACCAAUUUUGUACAUUUCCCUCAAAUUUCAUUCAAUUCCUCUCCAAAAUAACCCAAUUGAUGCCCCAAAAAAUUCAGCCAAGGUGUCCACACUUAAUUCCACAAUUUUCCUUGCCAAAUAAUCCAACUUAACGGCCAAAUGUGCAACCAAAAACGGCCCUCAAAUUUUCCCGGUCCAAAAUAACCCUGCUUUGAAUUUUUUUUGAAAACUCGGGUUUGUAGAAAAUUUUCGGAGGAUAAGUCGACGUUCCUAAAAUAAAUUGGACAUGAUAGAACUUUCAAUUUCUGAAAUCGGGUUCAAUUUCACGGUUAAUUUCAACCGAACACAAUUUUAGCGUGACCUAAUCUACCGGAUAGCUUUUAGGAAUUUUUAGCACAUUUGACCCAUGGUCGAUUAUUUUCGAGCCACAUUGUACCUCUUCGACACAUUGACGAUUCUCGGUUGUCGUGAAAAUCUUGAGGUUUCAAAUACGGACAUAGGGUACAUAAAUGACAGAAAAAUUGAUCUAGCGCCGUUUAACAAGAAUUUUGCAAUUAAGUGGAAUCACCCACUCUUUAAUCACAUGCCUCUGUUAAGUUAACAUAUCUCCGAUCUCUAAUCGAUUUUAAUAGUGCCAUAUUGACCCUUGCAAAUUAACACGGUCGAGCAGCUGAUUUCUGGUCGAAUUGUCAAAUCUAUUGCAUUUAGAUUCUUUAACGGCUUUACCCGAUAGAUUAAUUAUCUCGUGAGUAAUCAACUCAAAAAAAAAAAAAAAAAGACUAUAGGCGCGUCGAUGAAAAGCUCAACUCAUUCAAUCGAAAAUAGAAUCAGAAAAUUAAGAUGUCACAUGACCCCCUCAAUCCAUCGUACAAGAGUGUGAUCCGAGAAAAAUGAUUAGGGUCAUAUUCUAUCCUUUCUACAAUGCCCAUAGGACUUAUUUGCUGUAAGUGCUAGCAAGACAUGUACGGGUGUAAUCUUUGUCAGUGGAUUGAAAGUUUCAUCAUUGUCCAAAACCAUAUCGCUGUGAGAACCCAAUUUGGAAUGCACAGAGAUCUAAACAAUUUGGAAUUCCAGCAAAUCACAAACUUCAACAAACAUGUAAUCUAGCCAUUUCAUGCAUCUACACAUCAAUUUCCAGCACUUUCAAGCCAUAUUCAACCUUGUUCAUCAUCAUUCAACAAAUUUCCAACAAGAUUGAACCUUACUCAUCCAUGAUCCAUCAUCACUAUCCUAAACAUUCAUUUAAGCAUGCUUUGAUCACAAUCAAGUUCAAUCCUGAACAUGAUUUUCUAACAUUCAUCGCUUGAAUCAACUGUGGUCAUCGAAGAUUGAACAGCAAAAUAGGCAAAAUGAGAUUUGUCGGAAGCUACCUAUGAAGCUCCUGCAUCACACUCUUACUAAAAUCAACGAAAUCAAUCAAUCAAAGCUUGUUCUAAAAAAACGUGUGGCUCAUCAUCAUGUUACACAAUAUAAACAAAUUGACAAAGCAGUGUCGAAAUUGACAUCAAAUAAGUUAUUGACAUGCUUAGCCAAAGAGGGGUUGAUUUUUCCUACGCAUGCAAUCUAUUGAAAAUUUAAUGAAAUUGAACUAAUUCUAGAACUAGUUUUCUAUUUGAUUUUUGAAAUGUCCUCACAUCCUAGUUCAGCAAUGAUCAUGAAUUGAUAUGAUCAACCUCGAGCGUCAUUGGAUGAUCCUCGGAGCAAACAACAAAAAAUUAGGAGAACCUAACUUGUGAAUGAAGGUAGGCUAGUAAUCAAGGAAAGUUAGCUUGAUCGGUGGGCUUGCAACAAGGAAUCAAGGUGGUGUCGACCACCAUGACGCUAUGGAAGAGCCAAGGGAGACCAUCACACAAGGACGUUAAGGCUAGAUGAUUAGAGUGAGGCUGACGACCAGUGAGAACAAGAGUGUCGCAACUUAAAUUUUGGAUGCACCACCUAAGUUUAGGCUAAUGAACUACUAAGUCUUUAAACUUAGCUCGGGCUCUCCCAAGACCAUACCAAUUCACGACUUAGGUUCAAAUAUUUAGCAUGCAAAAGAUUAUUAGCCAAGAGUCGCCACUAAUCAGUUUGCAGUUGGUCAAUUAGACACUUAAGUAAAAUAAUGGGAGAAUUAUUUUUACUCCUAUGAACCAGAGACUUUAGGUAUGGGGACUUGGUUACAGUAGAUUUUCUAAUGCCCUUUCGGUAUCAUUUCUUUUUAUUUUAAAAAAAAUGUUUUUGCAAGCAGUUUGGAUUGAUUUUAAAUCUAUUUCCCUAACAUAUGAGGUGAUCAUACGGGUGCGCAAACCACCAAUUUAACACCCAAGAAAACAAUGAAUAAAUUACGGAACUUACCUCGUAGCAACGAAAUCUUCUGCAUUGUUAGAUCAGAAUUCACAUCAACAACUUUAGAUAUGAUUUCUAAUUAACACGCAAUUUCUUUUUGUUUUUAUAUAAUUAAUGAGAAUAUGCUUUAUGCAAUGCAAUAUAACUAAAUGACCUAAUUCUAAUGACAGGCAAUUGCUAAUUAAAUGGACCUAGCAACAAUCACUAAAUGACAUAUAUUUCAUGAAUCUAAUUUUAUAUGACAUGCGUAUGACAUUUUUAUUUAUUUUUUCUUAAAAAAAAAGAAUGCAAUCUAUCCUAGAGAUUGAAACUAAUUUAUCCUAAGACAUUUUUUUUUUGUAUAUUUUUUUCAUGAAAUUCGAAAUUAGGAAAACUGUGAAAAUUGUCUAACUAAAUUAAGAUUCUAUUCAACUUGUAUUAAGGAUUAGAUCAAACUAAAUCCUAAUUUAAACCAAAAUAUUAUCUUAACUUAGCAAUCUCUAACCUAAGAUGCAAUCUAUCUAAAUCAAUCUAAACUGAAAAUGAAUUUUAUCCUAAUGUGGAAUGACAUGCAAAUGAUGCCCUAAUUCUACAUGACGUAUGCAUGAUGAUUUUUUUAUUUAAUUUUUUUUAUUAAUCUCGUAUUAAAAAAAUGUCAAAUAAUUAAACAUGCAAUUUAAGCUAAUGAAACAAAAAUCCAACAUCCUAGAUUUAUUUUUUUAUUUCGAAAAUUCAUGAUAAAUAAAAUGCUUAGUCUAAAUAUGGAAAUAACCCUAAAGCAUGCAAUAUUCUAACUCAAACAUAUUUCAAGAUAAAUAAAGCAAUCAAGACAAGAUAGACCAUUCAAAAUCAUCAAAGAUAUCACACACCAUUCAGAUUAAGGGAUGAUAUUUCACUAGUAAAAUCGAUAAAUUGAUCUUAAGCUUUAAAGAUCAAAAUAUCAAUUUUAUUCUUGCCUGAUUAAUUAUUUCAUCUAAAGCCAUAUGAAAUAAAAAAAACCCAGGCACAGUUAUGAAUUAGGCAAUAAAUCCUAAUUGGGAGAUAUGCCUAUCAUUCAAAUAUGCUUAAUGGAUAUUAGAUAAACAAAUUAGGGGAUAAAAUAUUCAAUGAAACCGAGUAAAGAGUAUUACCUAAUUGUGACAAUAACUUUCCAAAUUUGAGCGGGCAAUGGAUCACGAACGGUGACCAAUGGUGGUUUGCAAUGCUCGAUGGUACGAGCAAAGGCGUGCAGCGAGCGACACAGUGGGGCGAGUGAUUGGCAGCAACGAGGACGCCCACGAUGGAUCACAGUGGACCGCUCGUCUAAAGUCGAAGACGGCGUGGUGACUCCGCAGAGAGGAAGCNNNNNNNNNNNNNNNNNNNNNNNNNNNNNNNNNNNNNNNNNNNNNNNNNNNNNNNNNNNNNNNNNNNNNNNNNNNNNNNNNNNNNNNNNNNNNNNNNNNNGAUUUACACAUGCAUCACAAUUCAUGGUCAUACAUACAACAAUGUCUUAUCAUACAUACAACAAUGUAUAAUUAUUUAUUAAUAAAUUCAAUAGAAUUUAUGGCCAAUAAAAUAAUCCAUUUUAUUUUAUUAUUUUAUUAUUUAUUUAUUUAUAAUAAAUAAAUAUUAAAUUCAAUAUCCAUAAAUUCCCAAAAUUAUAAAAUUCAAGCAAUCAUUGAAAAAAGCAAUAGGAUGACAAUUUCAUGCAAAAUUCAUGGCCAAAUUGAAUUUCACACAAUUUCACGAUUUCUACAAAAUAGCACAUAAUAUGCGGAUAAUAACCAGAAUGCACAGUUUCCGAAUAAAUUCGAUUAAAAUAUCCAUACGGCCUCCAAAAAUUAUGAAAUUUUACAGAGUGAUAGCCAAGACAUUUUAGUACAACUUUCAUGAAGAACUCCAAGCCAUAUUCUUUUUAGAUUAUUUUAUACAACCUCACGAAGCUUCUGGAUCCAUUACCGCAUCGUCCAGUGAACACAUCUCCGAAAUAUUGAGAUUUAACCUACCUAUUCUCUUUCGUUUCCUCUGAAAUUUGGAUAUGUUAUACAUCAAGGUAUCCUCUACAAGUUUCAUGAAGAGAUCCAAGGUUGUAGCCUAUGCAUCGUCCAGUGAACAAACGACAGCGUACGGCAGACGGACACGGCGGACGAACGGCGGCUCCUCCUUGGCUCCGCCUCCUUCCUCUCUCGGCCUCUCCCUCUUUCUCUCGAAAUCUCUCUCUCUCUCGCACCCUCUCUCUCGGCCAAAAGAAAUCCGGCCACCUUCUCUCUCUCCUCUCCUCUUAUACCCCCUAGAGCCCAUCAUUGCUAAUGAUUACAUGCCACUUAAUUGGACCAAUGCAUGGCAUCCUAGUCUAGGCCAAUGCAUGAGGGCCUUGUGCCACUUGUCCAAUUGAAUUUUGAAUUUGGGCUUCUUGGGCUUGGGCCAUCUAUGGCCGGCGACUACUCCUCUCUUGGGCCUCUAUUGGGCCGGCUAGCUUGGCCCAUCAAGCUUAGGCCAAAUGGGUUUAAGGCCCAUUUGAAAAUUAACCCCCUUUUUCCCUUUUUUUUUUUUUUGAAUUCCUUUCUAUAAUUAUUUCCAAAUUCAAAUUUUAUCUUGGCCAAAGUCUUGGGGCAUCUUGGUUAUUGAAAUUUAAUUUAUAAGGCACAUGGCCAAGCAUAAAUUAUUAAUCUAUCGAAUUUUGAAUUUUCACAACCAUAAGCACAAAUCAUCUAAUUAAAAGACUAAUGGCUAAAACAUAAGCCAUGGAAAUUCUAUCAUCUAAUUAAAGACUUUAACACACCUUAUGGCUUGGCUUUGAAUUUUGGGAUGCCACAAUUCUCCCCUCCUUAGAGAAUUUCAUCCUCGAAAUUCAAACACCACUCGCGCCUUCUUUAAACAAAUAGGGGUACUUUUCCUUUAUCUGAUCCUCACUUUCCCAUGUGGCUUCUUCCAUAUCAUGAUGUCGCCAUAACACCUUAACCAAUGGGAUCUUCUUAGUCCUAAGAAUUUGCUCUUUUCGAUCCAAUAUCUGCACAGGCUCUUCAAUGUACCUUACUUUCUCAUCCAUUUUGAUGGCUUCAUGAUCGAGUAUAUGACCAGGAUCCGACUGGUACUUCCUCAACAUCGAUACAUGAAACACAUCGUGCAGAUUUUCUAACUUAGGAGGUAACGCUAAACGAUAAGCUACAUCCCCUAUCCUCUCAAGAAUUCAAAAGGUCCAACAAACCUANNNNNNNNNNNNNNNNNNNNNNNNNNNNNNNNNNNNNNNNNNNNNNNNNNNNNNNNNNNNNNNNNNNNNNNNNNNNNNNNNNNNNNNNNNNNNNNNNNNNNNNNNNNNNNNNNNNNNNNNNNNNNNNNNNNNNNNNNNNNNNNNNNNNNNNNNNNNNNNNNNNNNNNNNNNNNNNNNNNNNNNNNNNNNNNNNNNNNNNNNNNNNNNNNNNNNNNNNNNNNNNNNNNNNNNNNNNNNNNNNNNNNNNNNNNNNNNNNNNNNNNNNNNNNNNNNNNNNNNNNNNNNNNNNNNNNNNNNNNNNNNNNNNNNNNNNNNNNNNNNNNNNNNNNNNNNNNNNNNNNNNNNNNNNNNNNNNNNNNNNNNNNNNNNNNNNNNNNNNNNNNNNNNNNNNNNNNNNNNNNNNNNNNNNNNNNNNNNNNNNNNNGAUGAAAAGCAGUACUAAACUAAAGCUUAGAUCCUAAUGCAACUUGAAGAACUUUUCCAAAAAUUCGAAGUAAACCUUGAAUCUCGAUCUGAAGUAAUGGUCACUGGAACACCAUGUAAGCGUACCACUUGACUUACAUACAUGUCCGCAUACUUAUCCAUUGGGUAGUCCAUGCGAAUCGCUAAGAAAUGAGCCGACUUAGUCAAACGAUCCACUAUCACCCAAAUUGAAUCAUGACUCCUUGAUGUCCUUGGCAAUCCUUGCACAAAGUCCAUCGUUAUAUGUUCCCAUUUCCAUUCUGGAAUGUCUAAUGGUCUCAAAAGUCCUGCGGGUUUACGAUGCUCCGCUUUCACUUGCUGACAUGUCAAACAUUGAGAUACGUACUUAGCCGUAUCUGCCUUCAUACCAUUCCACCAAAAUUGCUGACGCAAAUUUCUAUACAUCUUUGUACUACAUGGGUGGAUACUAUAAUUACUCUUAUGUGCCUCCGACAGAAUUUCCUUCCUCAACUCCUCAUUGUCGGGAACACAAAGUUGUCCUUGACAUCUUACUAUUCCAUCAUCAGAGAUCUGAAAUUCUGAUCUUUUCCCUAAAGAUACAACAUCUUUCACUUUCAAAAUCUCUAGGUCAGAUUCUUGUAGGAUUUUAAUUCUCUGGAUAAUCUCCGGCUCAAUCCUUACUACACUAAGCAUGCCAGUAAGACAAUCCAUUUCCAAUUUAAACUGUGAAUUUGCCACAGAUUCCAACAAUUCCCAUUCUGCCAUCCUCAAACUAGCCAUUUCUACGGCCGACUUUCGACUAAGAGUAUCUGCUACUCUAUUUGCUUUUCCUGGGUGAUAUCUUAUCUCACAAUCAUAGUCCUUCAACAACUCCAUCCACCUCAUUUGUCUCAUGUUCAACUCCUUUUGUGAGAACAGAUACUUCAAACUCUUAUGAUCCUUAUAGAUCUCAAACUUUUCCCCAUACAAAUAGUGUCUCCAUAUCUUCAAGGCAAACACUAUAGCUGCUAGCCCUAAAUCAUGUGUCGGGUAAUUUAGCUCAUGGGGUUUCAAUUGUCUGGAUGCAUAGGCUACAACCUUGCCAUGCUGCAUCAACACACAUCCUAGUCCUUUGUGAGAAGCAUCACUAUACAUCGUAAAACCAUCAAGUCCAGUAGGUAUAGUUAGAAUUGGAGCUGAAGUCAAUUUCCUUUUGAGCUCCUGAAAACUCCUUUCACAUUCUCCAUUCCAUUCAAAUUUCACAUUCUUUCGGGUCAACUUAGUUAAAGGCCUUGCCAGUCGUGAAAAUCCUUCGAUGAACCUUCUAUAAUAGCCAGCCAGUCCUAAGAAACUUCGUAUUUCAGUAGGUGUCGUCGGUCUCGGCCAAUUUACUACCAUUUCAACUUUUGCUGGGUCUACUGCAAUUCCCUUUCCUGACACCACAUGUCCUAAAAAUAUUAUCCGAUCCAACCAGAAUUCACACUUACUAAACUUAGCAUACAACUUAUGCUCUCUCAGAGUUUGUAAAACUAUUCUCAAAUGCUGCUCAUGCUCUUUAGGCCCUUUUGAAUAUAUCAGAAUAUCAUCAAUAAACACAAUCACAAAUUGGUCCAAGUAAGGCUAAAAUAUCCUAUUCAUCAAAUCCAUAAAUGCAGCAGGGGCGUUAGUCAAUCCAAAUGGCAUAACAAGGAACUCAUAGUGUCCAUAACGAGUUCUAAACGCAGUCUUAGGAAUGUCCUCCUUCUUAAUUCUCAACUGAUGAUAUCCCGACCUCAAAUCAAUCUUAGAAAAGACCGAACUUCCCUGAAGUUGAUCAAAUAAAUCAUCAAUUCUAGGCAAAGGGUACUUAUUCUUAAUAGUCACCUGAUUCAACUGCCUAUAGUCAAUACACAAGCGCAUCGACCCAUCCUUCUUUUUCACAAACAAAACCGGUGCACCCCAAGGUGAAGCACUUGGUCUAAUAAAUCCUUUAUCAAGCAAUUCUUGCAGUUGCACUUUCAAUUCCUUCAAUUCAACUAAGGCCAUUCUAUACGGGGCUUUUGAUAUAGGUCCUGUUCCAGGCAUUAAUUCAAUUUCAAAUUCAAUCUCCCGCUCUGGCGGCAAUCCAGGCAAUUCCUCAGGAAAUACAUCUUGAAACUCGUUAACUACACGAACUUCCUCAAGAUUAGGCUCAUUCCUUGCAUAAUCUCUAACUAUGGCUAGGUACCCAUGACAUCCUUUGUCAAGUAACUUACAAGCUUCUACUGCCGAAAUAAGCGCUACAGGAAAAUGGGUCUGACCUCCUAAAAAUUCACAACUAGACUGAUUAGGUAAAACGAAUUGAAUCACCCUUCUAUAACAAUCCAUUCUAGCCCGAUACUUACAAAGCCAGUCCAUUCCUAUAAUAACGUCAAAAUCAUACAUAGCCAUUACAAUCAAGUCUAUUUCCAUAUCCUUUCCCCCUAUUGAUAUCUUACAAUUUCCACACACCAGCGUAGACAUACCAUAUCCUUUAAAGUUUUGGAAACACAAAGAGGCGUCUCAAGCGGCAUAACUUCNNNNNNNNNNNNNNNNNNNNNNNNNNNNNNNNNNNNNNNNNNNNNNNNNNNNNNNNNNNNNNNNNNNNNNNNNNNNNNNNNNNNNNNNNNNNNNNNNNNNNNNNNNNNNNNNNNNNNNNNNNNNNNNNNNNNNNNNNNNNNNNNNNNNNNNNNNNNNNNNNNNNNNNNNNNNNNNNNNNNNNNNNNNNNNNNNNNNNNNNNNNNNNNNNNNNNNNNNNNNNNNNNNNNNNNNNNNNNNNNNNNNNNNNNNNNNNNNNNNNNNNNNNNNNNNNNNNNNNNNNNNNNNNNNNNNNNNNNNNNNNNNNNNNNNNNNNNNNNNNNNNNNNNNNNNNNNNNNNNNNNNNNNNNNNNNNNNNNNNNNNNNNNNNNNNNNNNNNNNNNNNNNNNNNNNNNNNNNNNNNNNNNNNNNNNNNNNNNNNNNNNNNNNNNNNNNNNNNNNNNNNNNNNNNNNNNNNNNNNNNNNNNNNNNNNNNNNNNNNNNNNNNNNNNNNNNNNNNNNNNNNNNNNNNNNNNNNNNNNNNNNNNNNNNNNNNNNNNNNNNNNNNNNNNNNNNNNNNNNNNNNNNNNNNNNNNNNNNNNNNNNNNNNNNNNNNNNNNNNNNNNNNNNNNNNNNNNNNNNNNNNNNNNNNNNNNNNNNNNNNNNNNNNNNNNNNNNNNNNNNNNNNNNNNNNNNNNNNNNNNNNNNNNNNNNNNNNNNNNNNNNNNNNNNNNNNNNNNNNNNNNNNNNNNNNNNNNNNNNNNNNNNNNNNNNNNNNNNNNNNNNNNNNNNNNNNNNNNNNNNNNNNNNNNNNNNNNNNNNNNNNNNNNNNNNNNNNNNNNNNNNNNNNNNNNNNNNNNNNNNNNNNNNNNNNNNNNNNNNNNNNNNNNNNNNNNNNNNNNNNNNNNNNNNNNNNNNNNNNNNNNNNNNNNNNNNNNNNNNNNNNNNNNNNNNNNNNNNNNNNNNNNNNNNNNNNNNNNNNNNNNNNNNNNNNNNNNNNNNNNNNNNNNNNNNNNNNNNNNNNNNNNNNNNNNNNNNNNNNNNNNNNNNNNNNNNNNNNNNNNNNNNNNNNNNNNNNNNNNNNNNNNNNNNNNNNNNNNNNNNNNNNNNNNNNNNNNNNNNNNNNNNNNNNNNNNNNNNNNNNNNNNNNNNNNNNNNNNNNNNNNNNNNNNNNNNNNNNNNNNNNNNNNNNNNNNNNNNNNNNNNNNNNNNNNNNNNNNNNNNNNNNNNNNNNNNNNNNNNNNNNNNNNNNNNNNNNNNNNNNNNNNNNNNNNNNNNNNNNNNNNNNNNNNNNNNNNNNNNNNNNNNNNNNNNNNNNNNNNNNNNNNNNNNNNNNNNNNNNNNNNNNNNNNNNNNNNNNNNNNNNNNNNNNNNNNNNNNNNNNNNNNNNNNNNNNNNNNNNNNNNNNNNNNNNNNNNNNNNNNNNNNNNNNNNNNNNNNNNNNNNNNNNNNNNNNNNNNNNNNNNNNNNNNNNNNNNNNNNNNNNNNNNNNNNNNNNNNNNNNNNNNNNNNNNNNNNNNNNNNNNNNNNNNNNNNNNNNNNNNNNNNNNNNNNNNNNNNNNNNNNNNNNNNNNNNNNNNNNNNNNNNNNNNNNNNNNNNNNNNNNNNNNNNNNNNNNNNNNNNNNNNNNNNNNNNNNNNNNNNNNNNNNNNNNNNNNNNNNNNNNNNNNNNNNNNNNNNNNNNNNNNNNNNNNNNNNNNNNNNNNNNNNNNNNNNNNNNNNNNNNNNNNNNNNNNNNNNNNNNNNNNNNNNNNNNNNNNNNNNNNNNNNNNNNNNNNNNNNNNNNNNNNNNNNNNNNNNNNNNNNNNNNNNNNNNNNNNNNNNNNNNNNNNNNNNNNNNNNNNNNNNNNNNNNNNNNNNNNNNNNNNNNNNNNNNNNNNNNNNNNNNNNNNNNNNNNNNNNNNNNNNNNNNNNNNNNNNNNNNNNNNNNNNNNNNNNNNNNNNNNNNNNNNNNNNNNNNNNNNNNNNNNNNNNNNNNNNNNNNNNNNNNNNNNNNNNNNNNNNNNNNNNNNNNNNNNNNNNNNNNNNNNNNNNNNNNNNNNNNNNNNNNNNNNNNNNNNNNNNNNNNNNNNNNNNNNNNNNNNNNNNNNNNNNNNNNNNNNNNNNNNNNNNNNNNNNNNNNNNNNNNNNNNNNNNNNNNNNNNNNNNNNNNNNNNNNNNNNNNNNNNNNNNNNNNNNNNNNNNNNNNNNNNNNNNNNNNNNNNNNNNNNNNNNNNNNNNNNNNNNNNNNNNNNNNNNNNNNNNNNNNNNNNNNNNNNNNNNNNNNNNNNNNNNNNNNNNNNNNNNNNNNNNNNNNNNNNNNNNNNNNNNNNNNNNNNNNNNNNNNNNNNNNNNNNNNNNNNNNNNNNNNNNNNNNNNNNNNNNNNNNNNNNNNNNNNNNNNNNNNNNNNNNNNNNNNNNNNNNNNNNNNNNNNNNNNNNNNNNNNNNNNNNNNNNNNNNNNNNNNNNNNNNNNNNNNNNNNNNNNNNNNNNNNNNNNNNNNNNNNNNNNNNNNNNNNNNNNNNNNNNNNNNNNNNNNNNNNNNNNNNNNNNNNNNNNNNNNNNNNNNNNNNNNNNNNNNNNNNNNNNNNNNNNNNNNNNNNNNNNNNNNNNNNNNNNNNNNNNNNNNNNNNNNNNNNNNNNNNNNNNNNNNNNNNNNNNNNNNNNNNNNNNNNNNNNNNNNNNNNNNNNNNNNNNNNNNNNNNNNNNNNNNNNNNNNNNNNNNNNNNNNNNNNNNNNNNNNNNNNNNNNNNNNNNNNNNNNNNNNNNNNNNNNNNNNNNNNNNNNNNNNNNNNNNNNNNNNNNNNNNNNNNNNNNNNNNNNNNNNNNNNNNNNNNNNNNNNNNNNNNNNNNNNNNNNNNNNNNNNNNNNNNNNNNNNNNNNNNNNNNNNNNNNNNNNNNNNNNNNNNNNNNNNNNNNNNNNNNNNNNNNNNNNNNNNNNNNNNNNNNNNNNNNNNNNNNNNNNNNNNNNNNNNNNNNNNNNNNNNNNNNNNNNNNNNNNNNNNNNNNNNNNNNNNNNNNNNNNNNNNNNNNNNNNNNNNNNNNNNNNNNNNNNNNNNNNNNNNNNNNNNNNNNNNNNNNNNNNNNNNNNNNNNNNNNNNNNNNNNNNNNNNNNNNNNNNNNNNNNNNNNNNNNNNNNNNNNNNNNNNNNNNNNNNNNNNNNNNNNNNNNNNNNNNNNNNNNNNNNNNNNNNNNNNNNNNNNNNNNNNNNNNNNNNNNNNNNNNNNNNNNNNNNNNNNNNNNNNNNNNNNNNNNNNNNNNNNNNNNNNNNNNNNNNNNNNNNNNNNNNNNNNNNNNNNNNNNNNNNNNNNNNNNNNNNNNNNNNNNNNNNNNNNNNNNNNNNNNNNNNNNNNNNNNNNNNNNNNNNNNNNNNNNNNNNNNNNNNNNNNNNNNNNNNNNNNNNNNNNNNNNNNNNNNNNNNNNNNNNNNNNNNNNNNNNNNNNNNNNNNNNNNNNNNNNNNNNNNNNNNNNNNNNNNNNNNNNNNNNNNNNNNNNNNNNNNNNNNNNNNNACGGUUUUCGAAUAAAUUCGGAUUAAAAUAUCCAUACGGCCUCCAAAAAUUAUGAAAUUUUACAGAGUGAUAGCCAAGACAUUUUCGUACAACUUUCAUGAAGAAAUACAAGCCAUAUUAUUUUUAGAUUAUUUUAUACAACCUCACGAAGCUUCUGAAUCCAUUACCGCAUCGUCCAGUGAACACAUCUCUGAAAUAUUGAGAUUUAACCUACCUAUUCUCUUUCGUUUCAUCUGAAAUUUGGAUAUGUUAUACAUAAAAGUAUCCUAUACAAGUUUUAUGAAGAGAUCUAAGUCAAAUAACCAAAUUAGAGUCAUCAUUUAGGUCCUUGAAGUCUCGAGUAUUUCAAAAUACAUCACCAGAAUCAUCUUCUUCAAGAUCUAGUCGAUUCACUAGGCUAUACUUGUUCAUUUCACUUAAAAUUUGAGUAUGUUGUAUUUUAAGAUGUCUCCUACAACUUUCAUGAAGACAUAAAAGUGAGAUUCUCAACAAAAACCAACAUACAACCAUGAAUCCAGCAAGAGGUCAGUAAAAACUCUCCAGAUCUGAGGUCUCCGUAUAACAAGACUUUAACCCCUCAAAUCUCUAUAGGUUUUCACUAAAUUUCAGUAUGUUAUAGUAAAAGAUGUUAGCUACAACUUUCAUGAAGACAUCGAAGCCAAAAUCGGACUCCAAACACACAUGCAAGCUCAAACAAGUUACUGACUCACACAAUCCGAGCAAGAACAGUCACACGACUUAAGAACAAACCAACCUUACCUCGGUUUUUCUCACUUAAAACACCCAAAAUCUAACAAGCAAACAAUACACAAGCAUGCAAGAGAAGCUAGAGGACUCCACUUGCCUCUAGGAUGAACAAACGACGGCGUACGGCGGACGGACACGGCGGACGAACGGCGGCUCCUCCUCGGCUCCGCCUCCUUCCUCUCUCGGCCUCUCCCUCUUUCUCUCGAAAUCUCUCUCUCUCUCUCGCACCCUCUCUCUCGGCCAAAAGAAAUCCGGCCACCUUCUCUCUCUCCUCUCCUCUUAUACCCCCUAGAGCCCAUCGUUGCUAAUGAUUACAUGCCACUUAAUUGGACCAAUGCAUGGCAUCCUAGUCUAGGCCAAUGCAUGAGGGCCUUGUGCCACUUGUCCAAUUGAAUUUUGAAUUUGGGCUUCUUGGGCUUGAACCAUCUAUGGCCGGCGACUACUCCUCUCUUGGGCCUCUAUUGGGCCGGCUAGCUUGGCCCAUCAAGCUUAGGCCAAAUGGGUUUAAGGCCCAUUCGAAAAUUAACCCCCUUUUUCCUUUUUUUUUUUUUUGAAUUCCUUUCUAUAAUUAUUUCCAAAUUCAAAUUUUAUCUUGGCCAAAGUCUUGGGGCAUCUUGGUUAUUGAAAUUUAAUUUAUAAGGCACAUGGCCAAGUAUAAAUUAUUAAUCUAUCGAAUUUUGAAUUUUCACAACCAUAAGCACAAAUCAUCUAAUUAAAAGACUAAUGGCUAAAACAUAAGUCAUGGAAAUUCUAUCAUCUAAUUAAAGACUUUAACACACCUUAUGGCUUGGCUUUGAAUUUUGGGAUGCCACACGAGAAACCUACUAAGGAUGAAUACGAACGAACCACAAAAGCUUGUUUGGUGAUUGCCAGUGAGUCAGAAGAAAACACUUCAGGGCAUCGCCAAGCUAGAUGGAACUUGCGGGAGUCCUCGCUGACUCCGAACUAGGCUGUAGUGGUUCAAGCGUCCCUGGGUGUGCUGGUUCGUGGUAUUGCAAAAACAGCAGAUCAUGGAUUGUCGGGGAUGCGAGGACUGCACGAGUGAUUGCUGCAAGGAGAAAUUACGAUCCCGCUGGGGCAACAGCGAAUCAAGCAAUAGUUGAGCGCAAGGAAGGCGGUAGCUCCAUCAACGUCUCGGUUGAGCUGGGCUCGUCAAGGCUUGGUCAUAACGGUAGGGGGUUGGCACCAGAUCAGCAGCUCGUUGGAAAGGCAAAUAGGUCACAGCAGUGAGUCCGUCGUCGUUGCAGGGGACAACGCAGCAAAGACGGUGUAGCAAUGGUAACUCAGGCGGCUCGGGUGUGACACUGCGGCAAAGGGCCUCGCACAACUGUUCGGCAGAGAGAGUUCGUUCUCUUUUCUCUCACGUGUAAAUCUCUCAACAUGCCUUUUAGCAUAGAAGUGCCGACCCCCCUCAACAAUGUUAGCGUUCUCCUUAUUUAUAGGACAACCAAGGCCUUCAAAGGAAAGGACACAAUACAAUAUAUUUUAUUCCUUCCUUUCCUCAAAUGCGUGAGUACUCAUAACUUUGACCAUAUAUUCAUGAUUUUCGGCCACGAAUUCUUUCCUUUUCUGCUUACGCCCCUGGAUGCGUAGGACGUAUGAAAUUUUCUUUAUCGGUGCACUCUUUCUUGUUUUAAAACAAGAAAUAUAUGUCCCAAUCCUUAAUUUGGUAGAUUCUUGCGUAGAAAUAUCACACUUCUCUGCACCUAGUUGACCGAGAUUAUCUUCUAUUAAUAAAGAUAUUUAUUCUUCCUCAAAGAUUUUUCAUGCCUUGUUAAGAUCCCAUGUGAAAAUUGUGCUCAAUCUUUCCCAAAUUCGUGUUAAACUUGGUUAUAUUACGAAGCUUACUCCAAUCUUUCACUUUCUGCGGGCUUAACUUCAAUAAAGCUCAAAACCAUUUACCCGAGUUCAUCCGCCGCCAACCCAACCCAAUGCAAUUAUGUUAAGAACUUAAGCCCAUCCGCUACCAGUCCAUAAAUAUGCAAGUAUAUUGAGAUAUGCUCCUAAUAACUAUAUGUCAUGCGAUUUAUUAUUUUUGUUUAGGGGCUAAAGUUUAGUCCCUAAUUUUUGUGCAAUAAAUGAAUGAUAGGGUCGUCAAAAUUUAGGUAUCAAUAAAGAGGUAAAGCCUUCCAUGAGUUGCCCGGGGAGGGGGGGGGAGAGAGAAAUUAAGCUUGCACCUCAUUGGCUAAAUUUAAGUCACUAUGAUAGGUGACAUAUCAUUAUGCAUGGCCUAGAUCAAUUAGUGAAAGAAUGGCUAGGAUUUAAGCUCAUGUAGAUUGAUGACUUGGCUUUCGGAGCAUUUCGGUAAUUCUAGGCAAAGGGGAGGGAAAGGGUCGGCCGGCCAUGGUGGCUUGGUAGCGUGACUUAAUGGACUGACCUGUCAGAUGAGUUUUGUAAAUUUUGGUCCGAUUGUAUACAAUUGAAUGCAAAUUGGAGCGAUUUAGCUUGAACGGGUUGAUUUUGAUACUCUAGUUAUCCAAUUUCACCCUCAAUUUCACAAUUUGACUUGACAUUUUUGUCAAUUUGAUUGAAUGAAAUUAGGUUCAAAUUGGUAAAAUUGAUUUGGCCGGGUAUAAAUUAUAAUUGACUUAUGGUGGGCGAAAUGCCUUAAAGAUACCCUAAUUGCAUUAAUCUCUUUGAAAUUUGACAUGGCCAUAGCCAAUUCUGUCCCAAUUGAUUUAAUUCAGCCAAAUCGAGGCUUGGUUCAAUUGACAUAUCUCUUGUGCUUAAUUUCCAAAAUGAAUUUGAAAUUUCAAUUACCCAUAGUCCGGAGAUCAACUGUCACUAAGGACUCGAGUUUAAAAAAUCAAUAGAAAAGAAUGAAUUUUGGAAUUUUUUAUUAAAAGCCCGAGUCUUCAAUUUAGUUGAAAAUGUUGACUCCUAAUCAUUUUUCAAAAAAAUUGGUAAUUGAAAUUGAAACUAUCUAAGAGAACAAAGCCAUUAUGAAGGUUUUAUAUAUUUUUUUGUGGAGAGUUGACCAAAAGUUGACCUAUCAAUGAUUUAAGCCUUAAAGUCAAUUGAGUCACACUUUGACUUUUUUUUUUUAAUUUUGAAAAUUGAAAGUAAAAAAGUGAAAUUAACUAAUCUAUGUCUUUUAAUGCAAAAUGCUAAAUUUAGACCAACGGUGAUUUUUUGACAAAACUUUGACAAAAGAGUUAAUUCUAAGUCAACCUUUGACUUUUUGAAAUCAAAGUGUACAUGACAUGAAGACAAAUUGCUUAUACAAGAAAGAAUGUUAAACGACUAUGUUUUUUAAGAACUAGGUUCUGUCAUGAUCAGGAAUCUAAAUCUCAAGUUUUUACCUUUAAAUGAUUGAUUGGCUAAAAAAUGACAUAUAUAUAAUUUUCAUCUUAAAGUAGAGAACGGACCUUUUCUACUAUUGCUAAUGGCGUAUAUAUAAUUUGCAUCAUAACUGCACAUAGACUUUAGGAUUAAACAUAUAGACCUCUCAUAGAAAAAAAGGAACCAAUCUUGGCGCUAGGGUGGACUAAUGUAAUCAUAUCACCGUACUUUGAAUAUAUAGUUUGUACCGACCAAUGAGUUAAGUCUAGGCUCAAAACGUUUCUACCACAUUAGCACUAGAUCUUAAUAAGUACCUAAACGACCUUAGAAUGGGCUAGUGGUGACUUCUAUAUAGAUGUGCAUUACGAAAUCAUAAGUUGUAAUAGACGUUAUAUUGGGAGAAUGCGAAUGAGGCAUGCACCUUCUUUAUAUGUAGGGGAGAAGUGCUAUCAUGUUGCACAUCGACCUUCUCAAACCGUACUAAUAGGCCAUUUUGAGAGAGACAUUGACUUUGUGAGACAUGAUUAUAUUAAGCAACCUAUUGGAUUUAUAUUGGUACUAUUAAGAAAAUUAUGGCAAUCAAGUUGUGAUUGACAUGGGUUUCGUUAGUGGGAGUUUGGCAUGUACAAGAUUAGAAUUGGCAGUUUGUAAACAAUGCCCACUCGGAGAAAGAGAAGUAGAGGCAAUUACACAAUCUUGAGACGUGGGUAUCACAAUCUAAUAUGUGGCACAUGUGGUUGGCAUAAACAUCGCAAAAGUGUUCAGCAUGAUGCGGUUAAAAGUUCAAGAAAAUUGUGAAAACCUUUUAUUUUUAGGUGAAAUGUCGCUUCUAAAAUAUAAAAGUUAUGGCGAUAGCGGUCGGACAUGUGCCGGAAGUGGAUUGGCAUAGUGGAGAGGCGGCUGGCAUUAUGCCAAACCUAAGCUGGUACUAUAGUCCAUGGAAACGGCCAAAACGCGUGGCACCCAUCCAAAACUUGAGGUCGAUCGCCAGCCUUGGGAAACGAGUCCUAGAAUGUGAGGGAGACAGUUGAGGCUCAUAAUUAUAGAAAGAACGUCUCAGGAGAGAAGAAGAGCACACACUCUCGACCAAAUCAUGAGAUUUUAAUUAUUUCGCUAUUUCAUUCCUAUAUUUACUAAACUUUCGCAAGAUCUUCUCAUGUAAAAAAUAAAGAAUACAAGUUAUAACAUUUUUUAUCCAUAAAAAAGAAACAGAAUAUUUUCGUCUUAAACAAUUUGCAAAUUAUAUGAUUAUUACUGGAAAAAAUAAAAAGGUCGUCAACCUAUGAUCAGCUAACUCUAUCCACAGAAAUGAAAAGAAAAAGGUAACUGGAAUAAUUGAAGUCAAAGAACAAUAUUAUUUUAUGGGAUAGUUGUAUGGAAAAUUUUAAAACUUAAUGUAAAAGUACAAAUAAAUUCUAAAAUUUUCAAAAAGUAUAAUUAAGUUAUAAAAUUUAUCAUGAAAAUACAAUUGAGUUCUAAUUUUUUAUUAUAAAAAAAAUACUAUCAAAUCAUAAAAUUUAUCAUUUUAGUCUAAUCAAAUCCUUCCAUUGAUUAAUUUUUUUUUAAAUUAAGACUUAAUUAUACUUUUAUGACAAGUUUUAGGAUUUGAUUAUACAUUUCUAAAAAGUUUAAAAUUUCAUGUGCACUUAUCCUUUAAUUUAAUUAGAAGGAAUUCUCUCCCUUUUCUUUUUCGACUCUUCUUUCAUCUUCAAGAAAAGAAGAGACGUACAGAAGAACACACUACACACAUAGAUGCCAUUUAUGUAAUGCACAGCCGCUUUGCAUCCUUUUCUACUCCCACGGAAGUUGGAGAGGCUUCUCGCCUUCUAGUUCUGAUAAAUCAUGAAAGAGCAUUGAAUUCGCGUAUGAAACGGAGAUACUUAGCUAUUCAACUUUUCAUAACAUGUUUACCUAUACGGGGGCAAUGAUUUUACCAAUGUUCAUCCGAAUUCAAUCAUGACAACUUUUAGAGUUGGUGUAAUUGGUUGGAGUGUCAGGGAUUUAGGUUCAACAACCAGAGGUCAUUUGUUCAAAUUUCACAAAUUGCAUACAAAUAAUAAUUUGAAUUUCUAGGCAACUUACAAGGCUUCAAGGCCUGGACUUAAUUGAUUAAUAGGCUUGCCGUGUAUUUUAUGUAUUUCUCCAUGCUUGUGUCUUGGGUUAUCAAAGUCAUUCUCAUACAACCCGAAUCUGCACCAGCCACUACAAGUAAUUGCGUACUCCUCGUGUGAGGACUUUUCGUUGUGAAUAUAGACAAGCGAAUCAAAUAAAAUAGUUAGAAAGAAGGAAAGAAAAUUAGAUACUAAAUUUACAUGAUUUAAUAAUAUUAGAAUUUAUGUUCAUGAAAAGAGCAACACGGAAUUUUAUUAUAGAAACAAACGAUAUACUAGAGAUUAUAAUAACUCGAAUACUAAAAUACUCACUUAGUAUUUUUUAAUCCUCAAUUACACUCAAAUUCAUAUAGUAUGUAGCCCUUUUAUAAUUUCUAAUGAAACCUUAUUUUAGGAAUUAAAUAAAUAUUACUCAUAAGAAUUUAACUAGUUAAAUCACUUUUGGAUGUAAUUGCAACUGGAGAUUUCUCCCUCUGUCGAGAGCUCCCACAGCUUGCUUCCGGAAAGCUCUAAGAGCUCCAUCCAUACAUGUCCGGUAUUGUUGCGACUUUCUUAUUCUUUCUUUUCAAGAGCUCUGCAUUAAAUGCAGCACGUGAGGCUCCACUUGUUCUUUCCUUUCGUCGGCCACAAUAGAAGAAAAUAGCGAAGGAAAGAAACAAAAGAAGUUUAUCAAAGAGUAGGGGUGUGCAACUGGACAGGAUACGCAGGAAUCGGACUAGCCCACCUGAAAAUAGGGUCGGGAACUAGUUUCCGCUGAAAUCGGUCCGAGAAUCGGUUCCCAAAAUUAAAAACUAGUUUAAACCGGUCUGGGAACCGGUUCUGAGUGAUUACCCACUCAGAAACCAGUUCUUGAGCUGGUUUUGGAACCAAUUUUGUAAGUAAAGGUCUAAAACUCUAUUUUUUUCCCUAAUUUCUAUUCUUACUCCUACAAUCACACAUUGUUUUUCCUCUUGGCUCUCUCAGACACAUAGGGCAUUCCUCCUUCGUUGUUCCUCUUCCUCACUUGCUUCCCUCCCUUACCGGCUCCCUCUCGCACCAUACGACGGACAUAUGGCAUUCCUUGCCGCCAAAUUCUUGUGUACUACGUGGAUUGGCUCGACUAGAGGAGUUAUACUUACAUAAAUGAACAACUUCAUGUAGUAAUUGUGAGAAUAAGACUAAUACUAGACCCGUGUUUGUUGCUAGUGUUUAUGUAAUGUUAUGAUUUUUGCUUUGCCUUAUAAUUUUAUUUAUGAUAAUUAGUCCCGUGGAUCAUUAAUUUUUCGUUUAGUCAAAAAUUUCAUAUAUUUAUUUAUUACAAAUGCUUAAUGUUUUAAUACAAAUUAGGAGGAUUACGUUAUUUUAUUAGGUAUUAAUGUAAAAUUUGAAGUCACAUAGGAUAUUGGGGGGUUGCAAAACGGGUUUAAGUGAAAAUAGGGUUGACCCUAGAAUCAAAUCGGAAAAAACAGAAUAGGUCGGGUAUAGGAUCCAAUACAAAUAUGGUCGGCUAUAGGAUUUAAAAAGGGGAAACCGAUUAUAUCAGGAUCGGGUAUAGGGUUCAAGUCUAGACCCUACUCAUUCUGGACACAAUCACUCCUAUGAAAAAGGACAAAUAAAGCCCACAAUUUUUUUAAUUUGACAAAUCCUCUCUCUCUCUUCUCAUGAUGGUCUUCCCUGCUUUUUGACUUCCUCUUCUUCCACUAUCUUCAUUUUCACAUUCACAUGGAUGCAGAGAUGAGAUGAACGCAACAAAAGAAGCCUCUUCACGAUUUCGGCUCAUAAACGAAAUCCACAUGUAAUAUUCUUCGUCUGAUAAUUUCAGCUGAUCAAUUCACAUAUGCGUUGGCCAAAAGAAAAAUUCACAUAUGCCAAUAAUUUGACUUCCACGUGAUCGAGUUCCCAUAAUCUCAUCAGUCCGAACUGCAGAUAUAUUUCCUACGGUUUUGAAGAAAUCGGUGAAAGAAUUGCCCACCGUCGAGCAGAACUCCCCGUCUACUGCGGCGGCAUUUAAAAAAAAAAGAAAAAAAUCAAAAAAAUCAAAAUAUUAUUAAAAGUUAUCUACGUCAGCGCCGAUGAGGCCACGUCAGUUGGUCGGUGUCCAGUUAGCAAAAUCCGGCCAAAAUUGAUUGGAAAUGACUGAAUUGGCACAACGUAAAAAUGUUUAGGACUUAAUUGACAUCAAAAAAAUGUUUAGAAUUAAAUUGGCACAAAUGCAAAAUGUUUAGGACUUUUUUGACACUUUUCCCCUACUCUUUCUUUAUUAUGCCCACAACACAAGAGCCUUAGAUGCACAUACAAAAGACCUCCAGUUAUAUUGGUUUCCUUUGCUCAUACAAAAAGAAACAUUCAUUUUCUCUUGGUUAGAUAAAGACGCUGGAGUUUAAUCUUAACCCAAAGCAUAAAAAUAUGAAACUUAGAAGGUCAAUUGGUGACCAGAAAAUUUGAAUUUAUAUGAACUUUUGUGAUAUUAUUGUCGAUUAUUCUAAAAAUUUAAGUUAUUAAAUGAGCAUAUGAUUUAUUAUCUAAAUAUUUCAAGAGAUUAAUGUCCAUCGGACCACAUUUUCCGCUCAUUUCCAUCCAGCAGUUUCUGAUUUGGUGGUUUUCUCGAGAUUUUUUCACCAAGUCGCGAUCCCAAACUCCACACAAGUCAAUGUCUGGACUCCAUGCCUAGCAACGAAAGCUGUUGGACAGCUCCAAAUGGGGCCUCCAUGUACUGAAACAUCAGGACCGGACCCGUGACCACAAGCGUCUGGUCAUAUCAUUUAACCUUGUCUGUUCUCGUAUCGAUUGCGACUUCGUGAAAUUUCCAAGAAACGGGGAAGCGUGACUCUCGUUUCCGAGAUAUUUUUACGCGGUUUUAUUACCCGUGUAAAGAGAGGCAAGGGUUGGAGCGCUCUAUAAAACCACUGGAGAACUCGUGCAAUACCAUAUUCACCAUCCUCGUUUCUACACAUAUCUCGAGAGGCAAUCCAAGCAUGAAGGUGGAAAUACAGUGGAAGAAGCUGGUCAAGCCAUCAGUGCCCACACCGAGCGACCAGCGAAAAUGGAAGCUAACAUCAAUAGAUGAGCUUCAGAUGCCAAAUUAUGUGGGCGUUAUCUUCUACUAUAGAGAUAAUGCCGGGAACCCCGGAGUUGAUAUCUCUCAAAGGCUUCACCAGAUGGAGGAGUCACUUUCCUAAACUCUAACCCUCUUUUAUCCUAUGGCAGGGAGAUAUAUUGAGGAUGACGACGGUUGUUUUAUCGACUGUAAUGACCUUGGAGUGGAGUUCGUCCAUGCCAAAGUGGAUGGCCAGAUUGAUCAGCUUCUCCAUAGAGACCCCAACAUGGAUUUACUCGAAUAUUUGUCGCAAUUCCCAAACAACCUAGUAGGCAAUCCACUAGUGGUGAUUCAAGUGAAUACGUUCGAGUGCGGCGGAAUAGCAAUUGGCUUGCGCUCUACACACAGGAUCAGCGACAUUUACACCAUGGCCAUAUUCGUUAACUCGUGGGCCACCGCUUGCCGAGGUAAUGUAGAUGUUACAGUCUGUCCAAGUUUCGAGUUGUCAUCUCUAUUCCCAAGGAAAGUGUCGGCUGUUGCGAAUUGGCCUCCGCCACGGAUUAUUGGCAGCAAGGAAUUCACGAUGUGUAGGUUCAGGUUCAGCGGUGAUGCUGUAUCGAAGCUGAGAGCCCUAGCUAGGGAUGAUGCAAAGGAUUCAAUGGCCAACAACUUCCAGCCUUCGAGGGUGGAGGUUGUUUCGGCACUAAUAAGUAAGGCUCUCGUCAAGAUUGAUCGAGGUAGACAGGGCGAAGAAAGGCCUUUCGCAGUUUGUAUGGCGUUUAACUUGCGCGAUAAAGUCAAACUAAACAUACCCGCAAAUUCUUGUGGCAAUUUCUUUAGCGUGAUUUCUGGGCAAUCCGCUCAACCCACGGUCGGCAAAACGAAUCCGGAGUUCAAUGAGAUGGUGAACAUAAUCCACAACAUGAUAUCAGACGCUAAAACGAAAUAUGCAACAAUAGUAAACAAGGAGGAGCUCUGCUCGGCGGUGGGGAAUUCUAUAGCCGAACUUGUCAAAGUCGCGUCCUCAAGUGAAGUGUUUAUGAUUUCUUUUAGUAGCUGGUGCCGUUUCGGGCUAUAUGAGAUCGACUUCGGGUGGGGAAGGCCGGUUCCCGUCAGCAACAUAUCAUUGAAUCUCAGAUCGGUCAUUCUUAUCGACGAUGAAGAGGGCAAAGGAAUUGAUGCAUGGACAACCACCACUGGAGAUGAGAUGAUUCUUCUUAAACAAGAUCCGGAUAUUCUGGCAUUCACUUCCUAGAUGGAGGUGGAGAGGUUGCACGAAUAUUGGAUCUGCGAAGUCAUCGUAUCUUACUAUAAUGUAGACCAAGAAAAUGAAAAUGGACUUGGUCUAUAGUAUUUGUUACAUUUGUUUCGUUUCUUUAAGAAGGAUGGUUCUUGUGGACAAGGUUAAUCAACUUAUUAAAUACCUUAGAGCAAACUCCUCUAUUGUGUUCAAUUUCCUUAGGUUGACCCCCUCAAUCCAUUGUACUAGAGCUAUCUGAGAAGAAUGAUUAGGGUCAUAUUCUAUCAUUUCUACAAUGCCCAUAGGGCAUGCUUGUUGUAAGCUUUAUCAAGACACAUGCGGUUGUAAUUUUUGUCACUGGAUUGAAAGUUUCAUCAUAGUCCAAACCGUACUACUGUGAGAAUUAUUGUGUCACUAGUCAAGCCUCAUCUCUUUCAAUUAUUUAAGGGUUGAUGUAAUGGCAUAGAUGGUACGAUAGUGGGUGAAAGUUCAUUCAUUUAAUGUUUUGAGUGGGUAUAUAUUAUAAAUAAGAGUGGGACCCUCUAAAAUUUUGUGAAUAAAUUGACACUUUAAAAUUACUUUCUCAAAAUGAAUGGUGUAUCAAAACAUCAAUUCAUGAUUCAGAUUAACCUGGAAUACUCAACUUACCAAACUGCCCUUGCCUUUGGUGGAAAAUCAUAUACCUACCAAAAAGUCAGCUUCCUUCUCUUCUUCUUUUUUUUUUUUUUUUCGUUUUUUUUAGAUCAAAAGAAAAUUGUGUUCAUUUCUCAGAAGGACACAUGAGAGGUAAUAAAAUUUAUGACAAAGAAAUUUAAGGAGAGCAAAACCUAGAAAACUACAAAAUAAAGCCAAAUCUAGAAAUGAGGAGGAUUAAGAGAGCACCAAUAAAGUUAAGCACACAAUCGAUGGCGGAUCACUGGAUCUCAUAUCAUUAUAUAUGAUAAUGCACAUUGGAAAUUCAUUCUCCAAUAAUAAUGACGUCACUAGUAAGCAGUACACAUCUAAAUUCGACUUUCUUUACAUCAUCUCCGUACGGAGACAACCAAAACAGGUUGAGCAAACAAACAUACAUCUAACAUGUGGAAGAGCAAACCAUCUGGUUUGGCAAUAUGACCAUUGAAGCUAGAGGACCUAUACUUGAAUAGAGCACAGGGAUAUCGAGUUCCAAAAAUAAUAAUAAUAAUAAUAAUUUGAAGAUAGCUCUUAAAUGUAUAACUAGAUCGGGAGAGCUCAAACUUAGAUCUAGAACAAAAUCAACAAGAGAGUUCAGGGAGGGUGAGAGUAGCUCAAAUCAUUUCUUAUGGCUAAAGGUCGAAGAAGAUGAGCGAAAGAGGAAAGGAAAGGGAGAGAGGGAGAACAAAAGACUUUUCAUCAAUGGCUUUUUAUGCAUUGCCCUCCUUCCAUUCCUUGUCCUUUGCGUCACUUAUCGGCUACUUCGUUGUCUGCGGACCACUCACUUGGAUGUCUUCUACCUUGGAGGUCAUAAAUUUGUGGACAAACGAGGUAGUAAAUCACAAGUCCAAGCUCGAGGUUUGUGACCUCCGUAUUAGAGGUACCCAGCUCCAUACACACAGACACAUACAACGGUCAUAGCCAAGGUCAACCAAAGAUGAUGGCUUCGGCAACUAGAGGAGUGUGGACGAGGACUAGUAGAGGUUGUGGCGGGCUGGCAACGGCACAAUAGGGUCUGCUAUCGUCAGGUAUGCAUUAUUCGAGGUUGCCGGAAUAAUAAGGGAGAGCGAAGAGAAAUAGGAAGAAAAUGUGAACAACGCAAAUAAAAAGACUAGAAGAAAUUUCAACCAUGAAUACUAGGGAUAAACGGUCCUAAGGUGGGCCAGUUCCUAGUUUAUGAAAUCAGGAAUCAGCCCCACCUAAUUUUGGAACUAGAUUGAAUCGGAUCAACCAACUGGUUCAGUUCCCGGGUGAGUCUACGAACUGAUGGCAUGGGAGGAAAGACAACAACCUCGAAGUAAAGUAAUCAAACCACACAAACAAGCGGACAUGUAGAGGGUGUCUUGGUCCUCCAAAGGCUAGAUCUAAGUGAGAGUGUGAAACUCAGAGAGAGCUACGAAAAUCACAUAUAUUAGAUGCAGAUUCACGGUAAUUCUUAGCCUACACUUUGUAUGAAGAAUGACCAAAAGUAGAGCAUUGAUUAUUUACAUUGAUGAGAUUCCGUUACGGUUACGAACGGCCAAAACCAAAGCAAGAGACGAAGAAGAAUGUUAGGACUCGAGAUGAGACUGCGAGAGGGACGCAACUUAGAUGAGAGGGACUAAGGGAGGCAUCUAGUAAAGGGAAGUGACUCAAGUGAGAGGGACGCAUCGAGGAGAGAGGCAUAUGUCACGGGCCGAUCGAUUGGGAUUGUGACCGCGCGACGACUUAGGCUAUUUUGGAUCACCCAAGCCAAGCCUUUCUCGAUCGAAUGCUCACUCGCCCGUAUACCAGGAUCAUAGAGAGAGAAAGUUUAAAGAGAGGGGCUUUGGAAAGAAAAGAGCUUUGUAUUGCUUGAAAGGAUUGGAUGGAUACAAAUGAGGGGGAGACUCCCGUUCUUAUACUCGAGGUCCUCGUAUUACAUCCGUUGAUUGAGAAUUUAACUGGCAGAUGAGAUUGCACCGCCUCAACUACCGACAUAAAUGUCAACUACCGUCUACCGACAUAAAUAACGGAAUAGACUUCUAGAAUAUGACUCAAUGACGGUUUCGCCCGCCCUUGGAAGCUUCGGGGAGAAGCCUUGAUGGGAAUCCGAGUGAGAGCAGGAGGUCUUCCACGGAUGAGACAUGGUCGUCCUCUAGGAACCUCUUGGGUUGACUCUCUUUUAGCCCGUGACACAUGACUGACGAGUGAGAGUAAGGUAGAGGUGUCAGCAACAAGCAUGAUUGAGAGUGACAAUCACAAGCGACAAGCAUGAUUGAGAGUGAAAACUAGACAAGUAGGAUUUUUAGCGUGAAUGAGAUUGAAGAAUGGGCAAUUAAUAAUUAGGGUUUUCAGUUUUGUAAUAAUAAGAAUUAAAAAAAUAUAUAUUGGUCCAGUCCAAGUGGUAUAAAUGAUUCAGUCUACACCUGAAAUUAGCAAUUAGAUUGAUUAUUAUUGGUUUCAGGUUUUAGAAACCAAGAAUUGGAUCGGAUCUAAUGGGAAUUGCCCAAAACACAUCGCAGUCCAAAUCUUUUUCUCACCCUAAUGAAUACUCAAUUCUUGAGGUGUUACUUACUCAUUAGACGGGACAAAAUUUAAGAUGUAAAUUGGGAUCCCUAUCCAUAUUUAUAUAGAUGAAUACCCAAUAAAACCCUCACCCUUCUCGCACUUAGCCCCUUAUCACACACCUCUCUCUCUCUCUAACCUUGUGGCCAUGGUCGCUCUCUGAAAUUGCGUCCAUGGCCACCAUAUAUAAACUAAGUGGCGUUGGCGACAGAAGAAGAGAAAGGAGGGAAGAGGUCGACGGCAACGGCGGACAAAGGUGUGUGCUGGAGGAGACAUGAGAGGUUGUUUGAGUGAUAGAGCUUGAGGAUUCAUGGGGGAGUUUGGGAGCUUGGCGAUUUACAAGGUGGGGGCAAUUUGACCUUUCUAGAGUUUAGUUUUAUCCAGCUGCAGCUGGUUGGUAUUUUCAAAGUAAGUAGAGUUGCCCUUCGAGCAAAAAUAUGAAAUAUGAAACCGGCACAAUUUGUGAAGAUAUACCGGCAAAGGCUAUGGAUUCGAAUGAAAAAACAUAGGAAAAUACGGCAAAGCUGGUUGGUAUUUAAUGAUAAAUGUGUAAUCUAAAGCCACCAGUGUGAGCUUCCAUUAUGGGUUAUAACUAUGACUGAGAGUUUUACUUUGUUAAUAUUUCAUAAUCUUUGUGUGUCUAAAAAUGAAUUGUGAUCAAUAGAUUAUAGCAAAUGAUGAUCAUUAGAAGUGAUGAUUCACUAUAAUUAUUUAAUGAAGAGUAUAAAUAGAACUUGGGUAGAUCUUGGAUCCUAUGACAUUGUAGUUUCCAAGGUCCUGAAUAUGCAUGUAGGUUACAGAUUUCAAAAACAGGAAAUCUGUUCCAAUGGUUUCAGGUAAAAUCUAGACGAAGCCUGAAACCACUCAUCUCUAAUCUUGAAACUGAAGUUGAGCACCAAUACCUAGGUGACAAUACUUUUGUAUCAGUUGCUUGGCGAGAUAAGAGCGCAUUCCAUUGCAUGCUCCAUGGCCGUAGCAGGUAGGAGUCAAGAAAUCAUCCCGCUCAUUCUAAUAAUUGAAGCCGGAGUUCGAUGUAUUAUUGACCAUAUCUUGAAGGAGAUCAGUGACCGCGUCUUUGUACGCUCAGGUUGCACCCGCGUCUUCAUUGCAGAUUUUUUAUACCAAUGUUUCAUCAGGAGCAUCUUUUAUAACGUUAAAUGAGCGAAGCAGUGCAAUUGGUGUAGCUGCAAUUUUGUGGAAUGGAGCCAUGUGUCUCUUACCUCGUUCUCUUGACAAUACUCAUCCUAUAUUGCCCCUCAAACUGAGGGUCGUAUCCAAGGAAAAUAAGCUUCUCGUAGGUUUCUCCACUCUUUAAAAAAAAAAAAUCUGCGAUUUGUUUGGUGAACAAGUUUACUCCUAGAAGUUACCAACAGUCAGGAAUGUAAUAAAUAAUUGAGUUCUUGUUUUAGCAGUAGUUUAGAACCUUUGCCUCAUCAAUUUGGGAAGCCGUCGUCAUCUUAUUUAAGCUCCGUUUAUUUGAUGAAAUAUAUUUUUCUCAGUUUGUAACAUUUGGAUAGUUUAGGAAAAUGAGUUAAUGAAAAAAAAAAUUUCCCUAUUCAAUAGAAAAACUAUGUUUUAAUUUAGGAAAAUGAUUUACCUUAAAAAAAUCAUUUUCCAAAAUAUUAUUAGAAAAUCUAUGUUCAGGAAUAGGAACCCUAAAGCUUGUUCUUGAGCCCUUGGCUGCGGACCUAAGUCUAAACCUGGGGCCGAGUCCACCAAAGUCCAUCAAGGCCAAGCUUGGGACGAAAGACACUAGGUCUGAAACCUUGAUGCUCAAGCCCGAGUUCUAUAGAGGUUAAGUUUGAGAUACCAGCUCUAGUAGUUGAGCCUAGGGAUCCAAUACCAUUGCUUAGCUCCCUAGCACCCCAACUCGAGUCCACGAAGGUCAAGCCCACAAAUACAUUUUGAAUACAAUUGAUUUUUUUCUUCGUUUUUUACCAACAAAGCCGUGGUCAAAAAUAGGAACCCUACAGCUCGAGUCCAUCGAGGUUGGGCCAGGACUUCAAUGCCUGUGCUCGGAUCCUUGAUACCCAUGCUCGAUUCCAUAGACCCGGGCAUGAGACCUUGAAGCUUGUGCCCUAGUCCCCGACACUUGGGUCCAUGGAGACCGAUCACGAGCUUGGGAAUCAAAUACCAAUGCCCAAGUCAGGGUCCAUUGAGGCCCUAGUGCUUGUACUCAAUUUCCCAACUGCCCAUGUGCAAGCCACUAACACCUGAAAGAGAUAUGUCUAUUAACUAAACAAUAGAAAAUAUUUUUCAAUUCAUUUUCAGAUUGCAGCCAAACAUCAGAAAAUUUUUGUCAUUUUUCAGGAAACAUCUUCUAAAAAUGUCAGAUUUUUUUCGUGAAACAAACUUAGUGUUGAUAGUGAGUAUGUUUUCUGCCGUCCUCUUAGCACAUUUUGUUUCGGAUUGUGACUUUUUCUUAAUCAGCCUCUUCCAAAGAUAUACUGGAAUUGUUAGUCAUAUGUCCUUAACAUUUUUCCUUCAUUUUGGGCGAGUGUAUUUACAAGAUGCAUAUUUGCAUGCUAUGUUUCUCCUCGACUUUCCCAUCAUAAGGUUCUUUGCAAAAGCCGCUUAACUCCAACCUCCAUUUUCAUUCAAAAACUCAUUAAUAGUUUACAGCAAAAUACACUUUUGUAUUCCUAUGCUUGAUGGGAAGACUUUUGCACGAGUGACCCAAAUCUUUGCUGGCGAUAACAUCGUUUUACUCCUAUUUUGAUGGGUACAUGUACUUAAAAAAAAAAUUAUAAUCAGCAUAAGAGGUUAGCGGUGACCUCCUGCGUCUUACGCGGUUCCUUACCAACUUAAAAUAGGUUAGGGACAACUCUAUGUUAUUACUAACAAAUAAGAAUUGAGAAUCAGUGUUGUGAUCGGUAAUUGGGAGAGUCCAUGCAAAGAGCAAAGCCACCUCGUGUGAGAGGAUUAUCCGAGCUCGCAUAACAAUCCGAUGAUCUGCUCAAGGUCCUCUUCUGGAGGAUCGUGACACACGCAUAGCAAGUUUGCUCACUCAAACAACUACAAUUGGACCAAUAUGUUUUUCAAAUUCAACAGGGUAAAAAUAACAGGAGCGCCAUAACUUUCGUUAUGAUACUUAAGUGAGUGAUAAUGUGAGCGCUGUAUGAAAUUUAUGACAUUUUUAGUGUACUUACCCUCAAAUCAAACAAAAGUAUCUCCAUUGGAGUGCCUAGCUAGCUGGUACGUAUCAGGGAAAUAUCCUCACCAUCUACAAUGUUAUCCACUCAAAUGUUUAGUUUAGCCAUGGAAUCAGAGCUAAAGACAAAGGCUAGAGAUCCCACAAGAAUAUGACUUGGAUUUGAUUUGUUAGUAUUUGAAGGCGUGUCUAAAUAACUUCGCACUUUUUAUUUUUUGCUUAAUUUAAAUCUCGAGAUAGGACGUACUUCAGCUUUUUCUUGGUUCAUAACUCCCCAAACUUUCACGACAUACCAAUUUUGACACGUGGGAUUUUACAGGAUUUUUUUAAAAUUUAGGUGACAUUUUAUAAUUUGGCCAGAAAACAAAAUUUUAUUUUUAUUUUUGCUGAAGCAUAGACAUAGAUGUCCAGAUUAUUGAGCCGUAACAACUUAGAGGCAGUUUAUUUACUAUUACAUCCUUUAGAUUAUUAUGGAUAAAAUCAAUUAUCUGAAAUGUGAUUAAGAUUUUCUCUAGGUUUUCAACGUUUUUCAACUAUUAAAUUUUGUUUAGUAGAUAAACGUCGUCUUUAGAAAAACUAAAAAGCAAGUUAAAUGAUCUUAUUAUUGUUCAUAGAAAAAAUUAAAAAAGCACGAGUCCAAACGGCACUUUAUUUGUGCACUAUAAAAAUGUCAUUGACAAUAAUGAUAACAGUUGAAGUUGAUUUGCUCAGUACUUAAAAUUCUUUUAUAAUCACUUACAUGUGUCUCUAUCUUGUUCAAACACAUGGUACUAUGUUGUCUUAUCUGGAUUUAUUCACCAAAUGACACAUGAGGCUCAUGGGAAUUCACAUGGACCUCAAAUAAUUGAAAAUUGCAAGAUAGUGCAGUCAUUCACCUAUGCUAUAUUCACAACAUAUUGAUAAAAACCCAUGUCAAUUUACCACAAAUUAUGAUAAGUCCGUAAAUUUUGAUGUAAAUGUGACACGGAUGCGCCGAUUUAGGGUAAAUAUUGCAGGAUGUAGAAGUUUGGGAUUUUUAUAACAUAAAAAUUAAUUUGAGAUAAAUGAAAUAUAAAUGCACUAGUUUGGAUUAAAAUGGUAUGAAUAUACCAGUUUGUGAUUUUUGGGUAAAUAUAGCAUAAAUGUACCAAUUUGAGGUUUUUGACAGCAUUAAUCGUAAUAAUAAUAAGCAUCAGCCGGUGCUAGGCUUUUCUUUAAUGCUACCACCAAAUUUUUUUAAUAGUUUCCAUAUAAAUAUUAUAUAUAUAUUUAUUACAACCCAAAAUGAAGUAAAAAAAAAAGUCAUCGCCAAGUGUAGUGCAAUGUUAGUGCAAAAAAAAAAUCAAAUCUUGUAAUUAAAUUAAUGUGAAAUCAAUAGAGAAAUAAAAAAAUAAACAAUAAAGAACACUGGAGAUUUACUUAAUUCCAUCCAAUUGUCAAUCCAUACUCCACAAGGAGAGUUAUCAGCAAAUAAUUUAGUAAUAAUCGAAAAAUUAAAGUUAUAAUCGGUCAUACACUUGGUGCUUUCCUCGCCUACAUUAAACCUAAAAAUGCGAUAUUUACAAAUAAAUAAAUUAACUAGUUGUGAUGAUCAAAGCACAAGUCAUAGCGCCUGGCUAAAAUCAAGCUCCGAACGCUUGGCCCUAGUUUCGCCCUUUUGCGGCUUUCUCUCUUCCUAAGGGGUCUCUUUUUCUUGUACGGAUCUUUUCCCUACGCUUUUCACGGUCAGAAAUGGGCAACAAUAAAUGAUGAAGAACUAGACCUACUAUUAGCGAAAACAUAGAACCACCGACCAACAAGAAAACAAACCUAAUUCGACUUAAGGGCAUGAUAAAUGAUGAAGAACUAGACCUACUUUUAAUGAAAAUAUAGAACCACCGACCAACAGGAAAACAAACCUAAUUCGACUAAAGGGCAUGAUAAAUGAUGAACUAGACCUACUUUUAGCGAAAACAUAGAACCACCGACCAAUAGGAAAACAAACCUAAUUCGACUAAAGGGUAUCCCAGAUUCUGACAAAUCAAAAUAUUUCAGCUAACUCGGAUCCCAUACAUGAGUCAAACUCAAUACAUAAUUUAAUAAAAUAGAUAUACCAAGAAAGAAUGUUGCUCAUCAAAAUAACUACAAUAAGAAGAGCUCGAUGUGUGAUCAGUCAUGUCUUGGAGAAGAUCAUUGAUGCCUCGACCCCCAUUCUUCUAUAUUAGCCUUCUUUCCCUUUGCUACUCUUUCUUUAUUAUGCUCACAAUACAAGAGCCUUGGAUGCACAUACAAAAGACCUCUAGUUAUAUUGGUUUCCUUUGCUCAUACAAAAAGAAAAUGUCGUUCUCUCCUCGUUAGAUAAAGACGCUGGAGUUUAGUCUUAACCUAAAUCGUGGAAAUAUGUAACUGGUAAAAUAGGUGCUCGAAAGAUCUUGAUUUAUAUGAAAUUUUGUGAUAUCACUUUCGAUUGUUCUAAAAAUUUAACUUAUUAAUGUCGCGACCUAAAUUUCGGGUGUACUACCUAAAACUAGGUUAAUGGAUUACUAAGUUUUUAACUUAGCUUGGGCUCUCCCAAGCCCAUACCAAUUCGCGACUUAAGGUUCAAGUAUUUAACAUGCAAAUGAUUAAUAUCUAGGAGUCGCCACUAAUCAGUUCACAGUAGGUCGAUUAGACACCUAAGUAAAAUAAUGGGAGAUUUAUUUUACUCCUACGAACCAGAGACUAAAGGUACAGAGACUUGGUUACACUAGAUUGCUCUAAUGCCCUUUCGGUACUAUUUCUUUUUUAAUUUUCAAAAACGUUUUUUGGAGGCAGCUGAUUUAUUUUAACCUAAAUUACUAUCAUGCAAAUGUGGUGACCACACGGGUGCUCAUCCAUUAUUAAAACAUUCAAAUAGGAAUAAUAAAUAAAUAAAUUGCAUCACACGAAGCAAGCAAUCAUUUUAUGGGUUUUCUUAAAAAUUAGAAUUCUUUUUAGAAAAAUGCAUUUUAAAACUAAAUGACUUAAUCUUAUUAAUAUGCAAAUCCUAAUUAAAUGGGUCUAUUAUGCAAACUAAUUAACAUGCACCUCAUGACCUAAUUUCACUAAUAAAAAAAUUAUGAUUAAAUGAUCCUAUUAUGCGAACUAGUUAACAUGCACCUAGUAUUUUUGUAUUUUUUUUUAUUGAAACUUUAGAAUUUAUGAAAUCCCUACUUAAUCUAUCUAAAAAGGGAUAAUUUUCUAAUUUAUUCUAAGGAUUCAUUUAACUUAAACCCUAUCCUAUCUUAGAAAACUAUUUAUUGAAAAAUGAGAUAAUUAAAAUGUGCGAACACUAUCUAAAACCCUAAAGAAUUUACUUAGGUUCAACCCUAACUUAUUUCUAAAAAUGCAAUCCUAAAAAUGUAAUCCUAAGAAAAAUCUAAGUUAUUAAACCUACAUGUUUGAUUUACUAAACCUAUAUGCUCAUGCAGAAUUUUGAUUUUUGAUUUUAUGAAUUUUUUUAGUUAUUUUAAAAAGAUAAGUAAUUAUUAAAUAAAUAUUAAAUCUAAGCUAUCAACAAAAUAAAGGAUUAAAAUAAUCGAAAAAAAUAACAUGUUGUCUCACAGGUCAAAUUAAGUCACAUGUCAAAUUAACGAUUAUCCUAACUCUAACUAUCACGACAAAGAGAUCAAAAUAAUUAAAAAUCUGAUCCGAAGUCUUACGGAUCAAAUUAAUAAUUAUAAUGAUUUAACAAUUUAAAUUCUACCAAAAAUAGCCCAAAAAUUAAUAUAAUUAAAAAAUAAUCCGAUAUCUCUCGGAUUAAAUUAAUAAUUACAAUAAUUCUGGACAAAAUCCUAGCGGAUAAUGCCUACAAACUGCACAAAUAUUAACAUUCAAUAUUACAAUUUAAGCCAUUACAACUAAACAUGAUAAAUAAAAAAAUAAUAAUAAACUACCUUGAUUUUUUUUUAAAUAAAAAAGGGGCCGGAGCACGGGCGGUUUGGGCAGUGACGAUGCUGGUGCUCGGAGGUGAGGCAGGUGCCACGGACGGGCGGAGGCGCGGCGUGCUGAACGGCGAGGGUGCGGGAUCGCGGCGGCGCGGGACCGGUGCAGGCGCGGGUGAGGAGCGGACGCACGGCGAUGAGCGGCGCGGAGGCAACGCGGGCUGCUGGCGCGGCAGCGUCGGGCUCCGAGGUCAGGUGCGGGGGGCGACGCGGGCAGCGGUACUGCGGAGACGAGCUGCUGAGGCGGAAGGGUUCAGUCAGGUGAGUAGCAGUCGGCGGUGGUGCGGGCUGCUGAGGUGUAGCGACGGAGUCGAGCUCUGGCGCAGGGACAGCGGGUUGCUGGUAUCGGAUGAACAGAGGCGCGCAGUGAAGGGCGCUGCAGAUCGCGGAUGAAGCGUGGCGACGCCGGGCCUGGUGAAGCGGCGGCGGCGCUCGUGGAGUCGGUGCGACGCGAGAGCGGGUAGGGGCGUCCACGCGAAGAAGACGAACAGUUGCUGCUGCUGCUUUUUUUUUUCUUUUUUUUUUUCUCUGGCCACACAUCACUUCUCUGCUCUUUUUCUCUUUCUUUUGCUGACUUUUCCCCUUCUUUUCUUCUGCAGGUUGUCAGAAGGGAAAAAAAGAAAAAGACCCUUGGAUGAGAAAAUGGGGUUUCCUCUCUUUUAUUUUUUUUUCUCACUUUCACGAAUGCUCUCAGCUUUUUUCACGAAAAUUUUUUGGCCGAUUCUUCCCCCUCAAACCUUGUGCAGGUCCACAUUCCGCACGACCACUUUCUAUGGUAAAUUUCAAACUUUCAUCUUCUGUUACAUUAAAUUAAAUAUGCAAAUCGGAACAUGAUUUGGCAAUUAGCUCAAUUUUACACCGAUUCCUUCCAUUUUAUCAAAAUCCUUAGCCUUUGUUCACCUGAUUUUAAAAUUGUUGCUGCAUUUAACAAAAUCCGGACAUCCAUCAUAAUUCCAUAUUUCCUUGCAUACUUACAUCAAAUCAAUUUCCCUCAUUUUCAUUUUAUUAUUUGUUCAAAAUGCAAUUUUAUUUUUCCAAAAUUAGGUGUCAACAAUUAAAUGAAUGUACGAUUUAUUAUCUAAAUAUUUCAGUAAAUUAAUGUCCAUCGGACCACAUUUUCCGCUCAUUUCCAUCUGGCAGUUUCUGAUUUGGUGGUUUUCUCGAGAUUUUUUCACCAAGUCGCGAUCCCAAAGUCCACACAAGUCAAUGUCUGGACUCCAUGCCUGGCAACGAAAGCUGUUGGACAGCUCCAAAUGGGGCUUCCAUGCACCGAAACAUCAGGACCGCACCCGUGACCACAAGCGUCUCGUCAUCAUUUAACGUUGUUUGUUCUCGUAUCGAUUGCGACUUCGUGAAAUUUCCAAGAAACGGGGAAGCGUGACUCUCGUUUCCGAGAUAUUUUUACGCGGUUUUAUUAUCCGUGCAAAGAGAGGCAAGGGUUGGAGCGCUCUAUAAAACCACUGGAGAACUCGUAUUCAUUAUCCUCGUUUCUACACAUAUAUCGAGAGGCAAUCCAAGCAUGAAGGUGGAAAUACAGUGGAAGAAGCUGGUCAAGCCGUCAGUGCCGACACCGAGCGACCAGCGAAAAUGGAAGCUAACGUCAAUAGAUGAGCUUCAGAUGCCAAAUUAUGUGGGCGUUAUCUUCUACUAUAGAGAUGAUGCUGGGAACCCCAGAGUCGAUAUAUCUCAAAGGCUUCACCAAAUGGAGGAGUCACUUUCCAAAACUCUAACCCUCUUUUAUCCUAUGGCAGGGAGAUACAUCGAGGACGACUAUGGUUGUUUUAUCGAUUGUAACGACCUUGGAGUGGAGUUCGUCCAUGCCAAAGUGGAUGGCCAAAUUGAUCAGCUUCUCCAUAGAGACCCCGACAUGGAUUUGCUCGAAUAUUUGUCGCAAUUCCCGAACAAUUCAGUAGGCAAUCCACUAGUGGUGAUUCAAGUGAAUACGUUCGAGUGCGGCGGAAUAGCAAUUGGCUUGCGCUCUACACACAGGAUCAGCGACGUGUGCACCAUAGCCAUAUUCAUUAAUUCGUGGGCCACCGCUUGCCGAGGUAACGUAGAUGUUACAGUCUGUCCAAGUUUCGAGUUGUCGUCUCUAUUCCCAAUGAAAGUGUCGGCCGUUGCGAAUUGGCCUCCGCCACGGAGUACUGGCAGCAAGGAAUUCACGGUGUCUAGGUUCAGGUUCAGCGGUGAUGCUAUAUCGAAGCUGAGAGCCCUAGCAAGGGAUGAUGCAAAGGAUUCAAUGGCCAACAACUUCCAGCCUUCGAGGGUGGAGGUUGUUUCGGCACUAAUAAGUAAGGCUCUCGUCAAGAUUGAUCGAUGUGGACAGGGCGAAGAAAGGCCUAUCGCAGUUUAUAUGACGUUUAACUUGCGCGAUAAAGUCAAACUAAAGAUACCCGCAAAUUCUUGUGGCAAUUUCUUCAGCGUGAUUUCUGGGCGCUCCGAUCAACCCGCGGCCAGCAAAAGGAAUCCGGAGUUCAAUGAGAUGGUGAAUAUAAUCCACAAUAUAAUAUCGGACGCUAAAACGAAAUAUGCAACAAUAGUAAACAAGCAGGAGUUCUGCUCGACGGUGGGGAAUUCUAUAGCCGAAUUUGUCAAAGUCGCGUCCUCAAACGAAGUGCAUACGAUAUUUUUUAGUAGCUGGUGCCGUUUCGGGCUAUUUGAGAUUGACUUCGGGUGGGGAAGUCCGGUUCCCGUCAGCAACAUAUCAUUGAAUCUCAGAUCGGCCUUUCUUAUCGACGAUGAAGAGGGCAAAGGAAUUGAUGCAUGGACAACCACCACUGGAGAUGAGAUGAUUCUUCUUAAACAAGAUCCGGAUAUACUGGCAUUCACUUCCAAGUUGGAGGUGGAGAGGUUGCACGAAUAUGUAAUCUGAGAAGUCAUUGUAUCUUACUAUAAUGUAGAGCAGGAAAAAGAAAAUGGACUUGGUCUGUAGUAUUUGUUACAUCUAUUUCAUUUCUUUAAGAAGGAUGGUUCUUGUGGACAAUGUUAAUCAACUUAUUGAAUACCUUAGAGCGAACUCCUCUAUCGUGUUCAAUUUCCUCAGGCUAACCUGUCACACCCCAAAUCUCGAGCACGCGUAUAUCCAUCGGUGGUCGAUAAAAUUGCGACGUCCCAAGACGCGUCGCCAACCCGUUAAUUUUAAGGCACAUGUGGAAGCAAAAUAAAAACCCCUAACUGUAAACAGUAUGAGAUAAAAAAAACAGGACAACAAAUUCACAAACAAAACACAUUUUUAUAAACAAACUAGUCUAUUUAUGAAAAGAUCAGCUCUCCAAAAGAAGUUAUCCUACAACCCACUAAUCGGACAUAUUCGCCGAUCCUUCGGACUCCACUUCAAUAGGCUCUGGGGGCUUCAGGUCCUCCACAACCCCAUCAAGAGGGUCAGCUGCACCCUUACCCAGAGCAGCGUUGACUGCAAUAGCGAAGAUAUCAAAACCCUGAAGGGGACCAUCCCAUUAUCCAUUGAACCCAUGGCGAAAUCAUGCCCUAAAUUGAUGAGGUACCCUCUGAGGUAGGCUCUCAUCAACCCAGACAGUGGUCACUAUGAGCUCAUAGACCCAAUGACUUCCGGGGACAAGGACAUUCGUGCUCCACUCAGUAACCCCUCAAGGCUGACCAAAACGAACUGGAGGUACCGCCAUCUAAGGACCUGAAAAUGUUAAGCCCAUGACGGGGUGAGACAAUAUCUCAGCAAGUUUACUCCCUAAACCCCUAUUUAGGAAGAAAAUACGCAUAGAGGUAAUCUAACCACACAUCACAUAAGACUUACCUUGCCUCAGUUCAUUCCUAUACAUCAGUACAAUUCAUAUCGCAUAUAAUUGCAUUAAAAGCACUCAUCAAUCGGGACGUCUGAACUUAUAACCAAACAAUUAUAGGGGUUCCGAUUAUAAGGCCAAAUCGUUAUUACCCGUCUCAUUCCGUGCCACACAAUUUUCUCCUAUAAUCAGGCGUGUCAAUUCAAUCAAUCACACAUCUCAAUUGAUUACGACCCAAUGGCCACGAUCAAAUCAAUAGUCAGCGGUCUUCCGGUGUAGCUGGGCAUCGUCUCGCACCAUUGAGCACGGCAACUUCUAUACAUAGACGGUAUUUCAUUAGGAAGCAUCGGUCCAGCCUCCAUUACAAUUGACAUUUGUUGACUUGGGGCAUCCCAUGUAGAGCAUCGUCCGGCUUAACAGCUUGUGACGGAUUUUCAUAGCCAUCACACGAUCAUUCAACCUUGGGCAAGGACAUCAUGCAUUGUACUCAAAUGUCUCAAUUAAAAUAUUGAAUUUGGCAUAUUUUCUUCAUAUUAAAAACACCUGGUAAAAAAAACCGUGUGGGUACAUGGUCAGAUCGAACUAAAAAAAUUGAUAUUCUUCCUUUUUAAAUUUCACUAUUUAAUAUAGUAUUUAAAAGCAUUUUCGGUGUCAAAACCUGACACCCGGUAUUUUCUAAUUAAAUACCAAAAUUUCACAAUUUUGAAAUAAUAACUCAAAAUCACAAUCAUCACUCAAAUUGUACAAAUUAACAUUCAAUUGCAUAAACUAAACACACCAUUGCAAUCAGCACGAAAUUCCGGUCACUGACUAUCCUAGUAUAAUUUUCAAAAAAUAUUAAAUAAUUAAAUAAAUAACAAAAAUAAUUAAAUUAGUGCAAUUUAACCAAAUAAAUACAAACCUAGGCCGGAAACACUAAUUUAACCACCUAACCGGGCCUAAAAAAUUAAUGCACCUAUCCACAUAAAUAUUACAAUCUAUUUAGCUCUUAAUCAAUCUAUUCUAACAACCUAACAAUCAUAAUUAAGCAAUUAAAUCACUAAUCCAUACUAACUAAUCACAUAAAUCAUACUUAGCCUAAUCUAAUUACCUACUAAACGUCAUUAACUCCAUAAAUAGAGUUUAGCAAGUAAACUCAUUGGAUUAGUGAACCGGUGAGUCCAUGGCGAUCGCGACGUAGAGGCGAGGGGAACAUGAGCUUGCAGCUGUUGGAGAAAUCUUCUUGAAGUGUUUUGAAGCUGAAAAAACGUUUCCAUCAGUCUAGUCUGAAGGCUUGCAGACUCUGCUAUUUAAAGUCUGAAGACCUCCGGACAGCCAGACUCAAGACUCAAAGUCUAUCCUCAUUGACAGUCUUUAAUCCGUUGAAGAAAUGUUAUCAAGAACUUGAUGUUUCGUUAAGGAUUUAACCUUAUCAACUGGAGAAGAUCUCGUGGCUGGAAAAGACAUAACGGAGUCCUUUGAUUGAUCGAAGAUUGACUCGAUAAAUUGAAGAUCCGGUGAUUGCCUAAAUAUUAUUGGAAGGUUCUACUUAUGGAAACCGAGAUUCUGAUUGUAUGGGCGAACAGGAUUGAUGAGCUAUCGACACGUUCCUUUAAUAGCUCGAACAAUCUUCCUAAUUGAUUCCGUCCAACGGGUAGAUUGGAGGAAUUCCUUUGGUAAGUGCCAACGGGUAUGAUGGCAUAAAGGAGUAUAUAAGGAAGACGGUCUUAGUUGUUCAAGGUGUGCGCGAUAGAAGAAUUCCAAAGUCUGAAGCUCCUUUUUGUUUAGACAAUUACUUUGAGCAAAUACUUGUAUACAAAAGAGAGUCUAUAUUUGUGAGAAAUCUUGAGGAGGUGUGGUAGAACAUCUACACUGUGGAAUCAAGGCAAAGCUGUGCUGUAACUUCUCUUUUGUUCAUAGUGGAAUCUAGCCAAUAAGCUGUCAGUGAAGAAGAGUGGACGUAGGCUUGAUAUAAGCCGAACCACUAUAAACCGCGUGUUCAAUUUUCUCUUCUCUCAGUCUUACUUUGAUUAUCGUUUGUCUCAAAUCCAUCAACUGUCUAGUAUUGUGCAAUUAUCGAAGAAAAAUCUUUUAUAUACCUAUUCACCCCUCUCUAGGUACUUAUACUAGCAAUAUCAAUUGGUAUCAGAGCCUGUGUACUUACUUUAUUUGAAGUGUUUUACUUCGUAGUAAAAGAUCCAUGGCUAGUAUGCUAGCACCAGGGCUGAUGGAAGGGCAAAGCAAUACCAGACCACCCUACUUUGAUGGAAAGGAUUACAACAUCUGGAAGAAGAAGAUGAAAGCUUUCCUACGAUCAAAGGAUCCUCUGGAAUGGGACGUUGUAGAAAAAGGAAUUACUCCUAUCACUGCAUCAGUCUCUAAAAGAGGGAAAGAAACUAUUGAGACCAGCGGAUUGACUCAGGAAGAGAUAAUCAAGAGACAAGCACUCAACGCAAAAGCAAUUUACUCUUUAUAUUGUGCUUUGUCACCAACUGAAUAUAAUAGAAUAUCUUCUUGUGUUACAGCAAAAGAAGUUUGGGACAGAUUGUAUAUCACCUAUGAAGGAACAGAUCGAGUGAAGGAAACCAGAAUUAACAUUCUUCUCGGUCAAUAUGAAGCCUUCAAAAUGAAACCAGGAGAAUUUAUAACUGACAUGUUUAGCCGUUUUAUAGAUAUUGUCAACGGUCUAGAGAAUCAAGGACAAACAAUUUCUGAUCCCAUGAAGGUAAACAAGCUAUUGCGUGGACUCUCCAAGGAUUGGAAUCACAUAAAGACUUCGAUAAGAGAGACGCAAAGAAUUAUGCCACUAUCUGUCGACGAGCUAAUUGGAACUCUUCAGUCUUAUGAAGUGGAACGGAUCAAUGAAGAUGAAGAUCCAAAAGGUAAGAAAUCCAUUGCAUUAAAAUCAAAUGAUGAUUAUGAUGAUACAGAUUCUGAAGAUGAUAUGGACGAUGAAGAGCUUGCUCUCAUGAUAAGAAGAUUCAGAAAACUGAAUAGAAAAGGAAGAAGGUUCAACUCAAAGAAACAAAGCUUUCAAAGACAGCAGACCAAGUCUGUUGAUGAUGAGGAACCAAACAAAGAUGUAGUCUGCUUUGAAUGUAAGAAAAAGGGACACAUCAGACCCAACUGUCCUCUUCUGAAGAAGAAGAGAGGAAAAGCUGAAAAAUUUCGAAAAGCUCUCAAAGCCGAAACCUGGAGUGAUACAGAGUGUGAAGAAAGUGAUAAUGAAUAUGCCAAUCUAUGUCUGAUGGCACAAUCAGACUCAGACUCUGGAUCAGACUCAGACAGUGAAUUUGAGGCAAGUAAUUUUAAAAUUCCUGUCAAAGUUUCUAAAUACAUUGAUGAACUGUGUUUUAGUCUUAAGACUUCUCUCAAAAGAAUUUCCGAACUGAAAAAGGAAAACUCAGCUCUAAAACAAAAGGAAAACAUUUUAGUAGAAAGAGUUAAAAGUCUAGACUUGACUGUUUCCACUUUUAAAGAAAAUGAAGAUAAUCUUUUAAAAGAAAAUGCUCUUUUAAAAAAUGACUUAUCAAAUAUUUCAAAGAAAUUUUCAAUAGGGUCUGAAAAACUUGAAAAAAUUCUUUCAGCUCAAAGACCUUACUUCAAUAAGUCCGGUCUAGGUAUGACAGCAGAAACAAUUCCCUUAAUUGAUUUUCCUAAAGUAAAAGAAAGAAUUAAGAAAAGACUCUCGAGAGAGGCUUACAAAAAUCAUUUCAAGAAAGUUUUUGUAAAAUCUGUAGGUAGAAAUGCUCUCAGAUGUUCAAAGUGCAACAGUCCGGAUCACUUUGAAAAAGAGUGUCCUAUGGUUUGGAAACCUGUUAAGAAAAUAUGGGCUAAUACUGCUUAUGUUACUAACACCAAAGGACCCAAGAAAGUUUGGGUACCAAAGAAAGCUUGAGACUUUAUUUUAAAUGCAGGUCACUGUCAAGAAAAAGGUAAAGUGGUAUCUUGACAGCGGAUGCUCAAGACACAUGACAGGAGACUCAAAUUGUUUUAUAAAGCUUACUCAAGUAAAUGGUGGAAAAGUUUCAUUUGGAGGAAACAACAAAGGAAGUAUUGUGGGAUUUGGAACUGUGAAAAUUGGAAAUCUCACAAUAAGUAAUGUUUCCUUAGUGGAAGGACUCAAUUACAAUCUUCUCAGCAUUAGUCAAUUGUGUGAUACUGGUUUCAAGAUCUUCUUUCAAGAAGGAAUAUGUUCUGGAAUCAGUAAAGACUCUACUCAGUCUUUCAUGGGUCGAAGACAUGGAAACAUCUAUCUUCUGGAUAUGAAACCAAAUGAAUCGCAAUGUCUUAUCUCAAUUCAAGAUGAAGCAAGCUUAUGGCACAGAAAGCUUGGUCAUGUCAACAUGAAGUAAUUAGCCAAAAUCUCAUCAAAGCAGCUUGUUCGAGGACUACCCAAAUUACCUUAUCAAAAGACUGAUCCAUGCACUCCAUGUAUUCUGGGAAAGUAGGUAAGAAAUUCAUUUAAGCCAAUAAAUCAUGUCUCUACUAAUCAUGUACUACAGUUGCUGCAUAUGGAUCUCUUCGGACCAACCAGAACACAGAGUAGUGGAGGUAAGAAAUAUUGCCUAGUAAUUGUGGACGAUUACUCCUGUUUUACUUGGGUAUAUUUCCUUGCAAGUAAGUCCGAAACCUUCUCGUAUUUUGAAAAAUUUGCUAAAAAGGUUCAAAAUGAAAAAGGAUGUGUUAUCUCAAGUAUAAGAACAUAUCAUGGAGGUGAAUUUGAAAAUCAAGAUUUUACAAAAUUUUGUGAUGAAUCUGGCUUUAAGCAUGUGUUCUCCUCUCCAUAUACUCCUCAGCAAAAUGGAGUUGUGGAAAGAAAGAACAGAUCUCUUCAAGAAAUGGCUAGAACUCUUUUAAUUGAAAGUAAGAUUUCUUCACGAUUUUGGGUUGAAGCUAUUUCAAUAGCUUGCUAUAUCAUCAAUAGAGUCUUCUUAAGACCUAUUCUAGAGAAAACCCCUUAUGAGUUAUUCAAAGAUAAGAAGCCUAUUGUUUCAUACUUUCAUGUAUUCGGUUGCAAAUGUUUUAUAUUGAAAAAUGCAAAAGAUCGAGUUGGUAAGUUUAAAGAAAGAUCAGAUGAAGGUAUCUUCCUUGGAUAUUCUACAUCAAGCAAAGCCUACAGAGUCUAUAACAAGAAGAGCCAGUCUGUGGAGGAGUCAAUGAAUGUCAAAUUUCAAGACUCAACGCAAGAUGAAUCAAGUCAGACUCAUCAAGAAGAGUCUGAACCUGCUUCAGACCCUCCAAAGCUUACAACUCAAGAAGCAUAUCAGACUCUGGAAGACCAGCAUCAGGUUGUUCGUGAAGAUCCAAAUAAAGAGAGAGAUCAUCAACCAGACAAAUCAACAAGUAACUGGAAGCAUAAGUCCAGUCAUCCCAAAGAUCUUAUAAUCAGCGAAAUUAAUGAAGGAAUUCGCACCAGAUCCAAAAGGGGAGAAGAGUCUAGUGCUGUGGCUCUUGUUUCUGAAAUUGAACCAAAGAGCAUAGAAGAAGCUUUAUCUGAUGAAAGCUGGAUUGAAGCUAUGCAAGAAGAGCUCAGACAGUUCAACAUUAAUGAUGUCUGGGAAUUGACAUCCAAACCAAAAGGUAAAACUGUUAUUGGAGCUAAAUGGGUGUUCAGAAACAAGAUGAAUGAGAAAGGAAGAGUCGUACGAAACAAAGCAAGACUCGUGGCCAAGGGAUAUAUGCAAGAAGAAGGAAUAGACUAUGAUGAGACUUACGCACCAGUAGCAAGGUUAGAAGCUAUUCGACUAUUACUUGCGUUUGCUUGUUAUAAGAAUUUCAGGUUAUUCCAAAUGGACGUCAAAAGCGCCUUCCUAAAUGGAUUUAUCCAUGAGGAAGUUUAUGUGGAACAACCACCAGGGUUUGAAGACCCAAAGAAGCCAGACUCAGUCUUCAGACUGAAAAAGGCUUUGUAUGGUUUAAAGCAAGCACCUCGAGCUUGGUACGAUAGAUUAAGUAAGUUCUUAAUACAAAAUGGUUUUGUCAAAGGUAAAGUAGAUACAACUUUAUUUAUCACAAAGGAAAACAAAAGUUUCUUACUUGUUCAAAUAUAUGUGGAUGACAUUAUUUUCGGAUCCUCUAAUGAAAAUCCGUGCAAGAAAUUUUCUAAGUCUAUGCAGGAUGAGUUUGAAAUGAGUAUGAUGGGAGAGUUAACAUUCUUUCUUGGUCUUCAAGUAAAACAAUUGAAGGAAGGAACUUUUAUUUAUCAAGAAAAAUAUGUUAAUGAUCUUGUCAAAAGGUUUGGACUGGAAAAGUCCAAAAAGACUGACAUACCGAUGUCAAGUUCUUUGAAGAUAGACAAAGAUGAAGAAGGGAAGAAAGUUGAUCAAAAGCUGUACAGGAGCAUCAUUGGUUCACUUCUUUAUCUUACUGCUUUUAGACCUGACAUUUUGUUGAGUGUUUGCAUCUGUGCUAGGUUUCAAUCGGAUCCUAGAGAAUCCCAUCUCAGUGCUGUGAAACGUAUCAUUAAAUAUGUUGCUACAUCAUCAAGCAUCGGUCUUUGGUAUCCUAAGAAGGGAGACUUUAAUCUUCUGGGAUAUUCAGACGCAGAUCUGGCCAGUUGCAGUUUGAUAGAAAGAGCACUUCAGGAACUUGCCAGUUACUUGGAAGCAGGACAGUGUCUUGGUUUUCAAGGAAACAAAGCACUGUGUCUCUUUCAACAACAGAAGCAAAGUAUGUAGCCCUUGGAAGCUGCUGUUCGCAAAUUCUAUGGAUAAAACAACAGCUAAGAGACUUUGAAAUUGAAGACUCAUGCACGGAGAUUAAUUACGACAACACCAGCGCUAUCAACCUCACCAAAAAUCCAAUUCUCCACUCAAGAGCAAAACAUAUAGAGAUUCGACAUCACUUUAUUAGAGACCAUGUUCAAAAUGGAGAUGUUUCAAUUCAAUUUGUUGACUCAAAGAACCAACUAGCGGAUAUAUUCACAAAGCUUUUGGAGAAAAAUCAAUUUGAAUAUAUCCGUUCCAGACUCAACAUUUUGAGGUAUGAGGAUAUCAAAGUCUAAAGACUUUCAGACUCAGACUUACAAGACUUUAUCUUUAAGAUAGUCUUGGUACGAUCGUCAGACUGUAAGUCUUUCUCUCUUGAAUCUCAUCUUGAAAAGGUACGAUCGUCAGACUGUGUUUAAAUUGUUGCUAUAUUUAAUUGACGUAAUUAUUGCAUCGUUUCAUUUUCAAAAAGGAAGUUAUUUUUGAAAUGGCUAUUUUUGCGGAAAAAGACAGUUGUUUUGAAAAGGCAUUUUUUUAUUUCCUUUGUGACGGUUCGUUUAUCUCUCUUUUUAACCGAUCGAGCACUGUCGAUUCCUCUUCACUUUAUUCUCAAAAACCCUAGAAAGCAUCGAUCCUCCAUUUUCGUUUGUCUUCUUUGUUUAAUCUUCAAAAAAUUGUCAUCUUUCUUGGGAAAGUCAAGUAAGGAAUCUUCCAAAAAUUGAGAAAGAUGUCAUCUUCAAGAAAGUCUUCGAGAAUCGCAAGCAGGGGACCACGGCGAAUAAGUGAGGGGCCUACGCACUUCGAUCUUACUGAAGAAGAAGUGUCUCCAGAACAGCAAGCGAGCCCACAACAUUCUCAGCAGCGUCAUUCUCCUCCACCUAGUCCUCAAGGCGUUGAUCAUCACCAACAAGAAGAAAUCAUCGAGGAUGCAGACCCUGUAAGAGUUCAAAAGCCUGCUUAUAUUUACCAGCUAUAUUGUGCCUUAAAAGGAAUUCGUACUCCUUUGAACUAUGUUGAUGAUUUUCUUAAAGACAAAGGACAUGGGAACGAAUAUAUCUUUCUGCGAAAAAUGGAAAGUUUGGGAAUUGCUCGUAAAGGGGUGGCUGAGGAAACCCUUGCGAAUAUCCCAAGUGAUCCUCGUGAUUGGGGGCCGAAUCCUGUAGAUGGGAAUGAUGAUGACAAAUUGUACAGUCAAUUUCAACCGAAAAUGGGUGUUGCGGUUGAAAAUCAAGGAAAAAUGGGAGAUUUGUUCAGAUCGAAGGAACAAAAGGAUCUGUACUCGAAAUUGCUGAAGCGUGGGGUAAUAAACCCUAGGAGUGUAGAUUUUGAUUUUCUAGAUGCUGUGAAUGUGAACUUGAGGGAAAAGUUCAGUUAUCUUCAACUUAAAAAGUUCUGCUCUGACACUACAGAGGCCUAUGCUGAAUUAACUGCAUAUUUCUAUUCAAAUCUUAGCUUUUUGGAUGCGAAUAGAUUCUCUUUCAGCGUUAAAGACCAAGACUAUGUUGUGGAUAUGAAUAUGCUGGCAGAUGUGUUAGGAGUUGAAAGAGGAAGAUAUCAACCAAUCAAAGUUUCCAUUGCUCGGGCCACACUGGAACUGGUGAAGGACAGGAGAACAGAUGAAAAGAUCACCUACUUAAGGAUGAGUGCAUUCAACAUCUUGCUUCACAAGAUUGUGAUUAAUUGCCUCCGACCGAAAUCAACUUCCAAGACUGAUGUUUCAAGUUCAGAGGCCAAGCUGAUGUAUGCCAUCCUCUUUGGGAAAAGGUUUUCUCUCCCUCACACUGUUAUGUUUCACAUGUAUAAAGCAAUGAUGAAGGACAGAGGUCAACUCCCUUACCCAAGCCUUGUUACGAAGUUAUUUAGACAUCUGAAUAUUCAGCCUCCGCAAAUCUUUUAUGUUCGACCAUGCGAUCAUAUGGUGGUAGGACUGAAAAUGGUGACCAAAAUGCGUCUGAAGGAACUGAGCAAGGAGUUGGAGAAAUUCAAGGAGAAGACUCCUGCCAAAACUCAUCAAAUCUCUUCUGCAGCUAAAAGAAAAGGGAAGGAGCCCAUGGUUGCUCCAUCCAAGAGAAGAAGAGCUCUCCUCAUUGAGGAUGAAGAUGAUGAGGAAGACAUCACCAUCUCUACAAUGGCUUUGAAGAAUUUAAGUUGUCCUGUUCCACAGAAAGAAUCGGAACAAAUGACGAAAAAAGCAGAGGAGAAGGAAGAAGAAGAAAUAGAAGCUGAAAAAGAAGCAGAGGAGGAAAGACCUGAAGAAGAAAGAAGAGAAGAAGGAGAACCUGAGGAACACUCUUCUCCACCUGUAGGCAUGGAAACAGGGGGAGAUCAGGAGAAAGGAGUGAAGUCUUCAUAUCCUGAUGCAAGUGAAGGAGUCAGUCGCUUACCUGCAGACCCAGAGGAUGUUUAUGCCUCUCAGUUUCCAGAGGAAGGUCAUGAAGUUUCAUCGCCAAAUCUGCGAGAUUAUGCUGAUCUACCAUUGUCUGCAUUUACUCCAUCAGAUCGAGCCGAAGCAAGUACUCAGACUGAUAAUGCAGCAGAUUUUCACAGAAUCAUGGAUAUUCUCUUGGAGAUGCGAGGUCAAAUUUAUGCCUUGGGAUGCGAGGUUCAAAACUUGCAGAAUGCGGGUCAAGUUUCUUCAUGUUCAUUGAAUGAUAAGAUCCAAGCCCUCUUUGUUCAGAUUCAGGCCAAUGCCAAGGGUGAGGAGAUUGCACAACUAAAGGAAGACUUGAAAAGGCUGGAAGGCAUCGUUCAGUCUAUGGAAGAUUUCCAGCUUGUCCGCGUUCCCAAGCAAUCUUGACUUCAUCUCAUCAUUUUUAAUGUUGACAAAAAGGGGGAGAGAUGCAAGAUUUGAACAAACUUUCAAUUGUUAAACUUUUUGUUGGAUUGUUUUGUUGUUUGAACUCUGUUUGACUUUGUUUUGUGUCUGGAUGAGAACUGAACUAGACUUGGACUUGACUGCUUCUAUUAACUAGUAUUGAUUUCUUAUGGAUGACUUUAUCGUAUACUAGACUAACCUAUUUUCUGUGGUUGCAGAUUCUAGUGUUAUUCAUUUAGCCAUUUAUCUCUAUAAGAUAUGCAUAUGUGUUUGAGAAAUGUUUUGCAGGUCAAAGUUAUCCAAAUCUGUAGGAAAUUUUUGUCACCAUCAAAAAGGGGGAGAUUGUUGGAGAAAUUUUCUUGAAGUGUUUCGAAGCUGACAAAACGUUUCCAUCAGUCUAGUCUGAAGGCUUGCAGACUCUGCUAUUUAAAGUCUGAAGACCUCUGGACAGCCAGACUCAAGACUCAAAGUCUAUCCUCAUUGACAGUCUCUAAUCCGUUGAAGAAAGGUUAUCCAGAACUGGAUGUUUCGUUAAGGAUUUAACCUUAUCAACUGGAGAAGAUCUCGUGGCUGUAAAAGACAUAACGGAGUCCUUUGAUUGAUUGAAGAUUGACUCGAUAAAUUGAAGAUCCGGUGACUGCCUAAAUAUUAUUGGAAUGUUCUACUUAUGGAAACCGAGAUUCUGAUUGUAUGGGCGAACAUGAUUGAUGGGCUAUCGACACGUUCCUUUAAUAGCUCAAACAAUCUUCCUAAUUGAUUCCGUCCAACGAGUAGAUUGGAGGAAUUCCUUUGGUAAGUGCCAACGGGUAUGAUGGCAUAAAGGAGUAUAUAAGGAAGACGGUCUUAGUUGUUCAAGGUGUGCGCGAUAGAAGAAUUCCAAAGUCUGAAGCUCCUUUUUGUUUAGACAAUUACUUUGAGCAAAUACUUGUAUACAAAAGAGAGUCUAUAUUUGUAAGAAAUCUUGAGGAGGUGUGGUAGAACAUCUACACUGUGGAAUCAAGGCAAAGCUGUGCUGUAACUUCUCUUUUGUUCAUAGUGGAAUCCAGCCAAUAGGCUGUCAGUGAAGAAGAGUGGACGUAGGCUUGAUAUAAGUCGAACCACUAUAAACCGCGUGUUCAAUUUUCUCUUCUCUCAGUCUUACUUUGAUUAUCGUUUGUCUCAAAUCCAUCAAUUGUUUAGUAUUGUGCAAUUAUCGAAGAAAAAUCUUUUAUAUACCUAUUCACUCCCCUCUAGGUACUUAUACUAGCAAUAUCAGCGGCAACACCAAGCGAGGCCCAGAAGAGACCUAAAACGGGCCACGAAGCCCGACAGCCUUUGUUGCCUUCGGUUUUGUCGAAGGACCGAAGGGCUGGGCUAAGCGGCGGGUUGGCUGGAAACAGCCACAAGGGCGGCAAACGGCAGCAACGAGACAAGGUGGUGGCUCCGGCGGCUUGGAUGGCUUGGACGGCAACCAUGGCGAGCUCGAGGACUUGUUAGCAGACGCGAGAUAAUGGCCUAGGCUCGCGGGGGAUGGCGAGCAGGCGUGGGACGAGCAGGAUGCGAGUGGGAGGAUGGCGACGGCUUGGGAGGAUGACUGCUACUUGGACAAAUGGCACGGGUGGUUGACGGCAUGAGGUCCUGAUUUCUCUAGUUUUCUUGAGCUCACAACACUUCAACAAUGGAGAAAGGGGCAACAAGGAGGAGGAAGAAGAGAGCUCAGCUGAAAGGGUGCCUAAAAUGCCUUUAAAGUCUCUUCAAAAUUUCGAAACACUCAUCACCAAUGCCCCACCAUGCUCAGCCAUCAUCCUCAGCCAUUAGCCACACCAAAGCUUCUCCAAGAACUAUCCCAAGGUGGCUGAAAUGUUGCUCCCCCCUUAGCCUAAGAACUUUGUAACAUUUCUCCUUAAAUUUCAUUCAAUUCCUCUCCAAAAUAACCCAAUUGAUGCCCCAAAAAUUCAGCCAAGGUGUCCACACUUAAUUCCGCACUUUUCCUUGCUAAAUAAUCCAACUUGAUGGCCAAAUGUGCAACAAAAAACGGUCUUCAAAUUUUCCCGGUCAAAAAUAGCCAUACUUAGAAUUUUUGUCGAAAACUCGAGUUUAUAGAAAAAAUUUUGAAGGAUGAGUCGACGUUCCUAAAAUAAAUUGUGACAUGACAAAACUUUCAAUUUCUGAAAUCGGGUUCAAUUUCACGGUUAAUUUCAAUUGGACGCGAAUUUAACGUGACCUAACCUACCGGGUAGCUUUUAGGAAUUUUUAGCGCAUUUGACCCAUGGUCGAUUAUUUUCGAGCGACAUUGUACUUUUUCGACACAUUGACGACUUUCGGUUGUCGUGAAAAUCUCGAGGUUUUAAAUACAGACACAGGGUACAUAAAUGACAAAUAAAUCGGUCUAGUCCGUUUGAUGAGAAUUUUUCAAUUAGGUGAUAUCACCCACUCUUUAAUCACAUGCCUCUAUCGAAAUGACCUAUCUCUGGUCUCUAAUCGAUUGUGACAGUGCCGUAUUGACCCUUGCAGAUUAGCAUAGUCAAGCAAUCGAUUUCUGGUUGAAUUCUCAAGUCUAUUGUGUUUAAAUUCCUUAACGACUUCACCUGAUAAAUUAGUUAUCUCGUGAGUGAUCAGUUCAAAGAAAAAGACUAUAGGCGUGUCGAUGAAAAGCCCAACUCAUUUAAUUGAAAACAUAAUCAGAAAAUCAUGAUGUCACAACUCUUCCCCUCUUAUAAAAAUUUCGUCCUCAAAAUUUAAACCAUUAAGGUGGGGGUAUUGUCGUCUCAUCAAGUCUUCACUUUCCUAGGUUGCUCCUUUUGUCUCGAGUUGUUGCCAGACCACUUUGACUAACGGGAUUAUCUUGGUGCAUAGAACCUACUCCUUCCAAUCCACAAUCUGAAUUGGUCUCUCCAUAGAUGACACUCUAUCGUACACAUCUAACUCUUCAAAAUUCAGCAUGUGGGUCGAGUCAGGCUUGUACUUUCUCAACAUCGACACGUGGAAGACGUUGUGCACUUGUGCUAGUCUCGACGGCAACGCAAUACGAUAUGCUAGAGUCCCUAUCAUUUCUAGAAUCUCAAAAGGACCUACGUACCUCAGACUCAGCUUCCCUUUCUUACCGAAGCGCGAAGUAUCCCUCAUCAGUGACACCUUCAAAAAGACAUGCUCACCAACUUAGAAUUCUAAAGGUCUUCGAUGCUUAUCUGCAUAGCUUUUCUAGUGACUUUGAGCAGUCUUUAACAUGUCCCUGAUAUCUGCAACUACAUCCACUGAUUACUGAACCAACUCUGGGCAUGUGAUCUUCUGUUCUCCGACUUAAUCCAACACACUGGCGUUUUGCACGCUCUGCCAUACAACGCUUCAAAAGGUACCAUACGAAUACUCUCCUGGUAGUUGUUGUUGUAGGCAAACUCGACGAGAUGAAGUUGUUCCUCCUAGCUUCCCUUGAAAUCCAACACGCAAACUCGCAGCAAGUCUUUGAGGGUUUGAAUUGUCCUCUCAGACUAACCAUCCGUCUGAGGAUGAUAAGCCGUACUAUACUGCAGUUUCAUUCUUAAGGCAGUCUGCAAAUUUUUCCAAAAAAUAGCUAUAAAUCUUGGGUCUCUAUCAAAUGUAAUCGUCAUCUGCACUCCAUGCAAACAAACAAUCUGACGCAUGUACAAUUUUGCAUAUCUUACUAAAGCAAGGUCCUUCCAUACAGCAAUAAAGUGAGCCGACUUCGUUAAUCUAUCGACCGCAACCCAAAUGAAUUCAUUACCUCUCUGACUCCUUGGUAAGCUCAUGACAAAGUGCAUUAUGAUGUAUUCCCAUUUCCACUCGGUAAUCUUGAGAGGUUGCAAAAGUCCUCCCGACUUACAAUGUUGUGUCUUUACUUGCUGACACGUCAGACACUUGGCGACAUUCUUGGCGAUAUCCGCUUUCAUAUCGGUCCACCAAUAGUGUUGACACAGAUUCUGAUACAUUUUCGUACUACCUCGAUGAAUGAUGUAACUAUUACGAUGAGUUUCUGACAAAAUCUCUUAAGCGCUACAUCGUUAGAGACACACAAUCGUCCUUGGAACCUCAGUGUUCUGUCUUCAGAAAUCUGAAACUCAACCUUUCUCUUUUCGGUAUCCUCUUGUAGGAUCUUCUUAAUCUCUGGGUCUGUCAACUGAAGUGUUUUGAUCAUUAUGUGCACUUACGGUUCAAUUCUGAGGAUGGCCCAUAAGAUUUGAAAGGUGGCCUACCUCAAAUUUGAAAACCGAAUCUCAAGCUCUUUCGAGUAAGACCCACGCUUUAAGCAUCAUCUGCACAACCGAAGACUUCAAAUUCAACACAUCUGCGACCUUAUUAGUCUUUCUAGGAUGAUACAAGAUGUCGCAAUCAUAGUCCUUGAGAAGUUCCAUCCGGCAACGCUAUCUCAUAUUCAACUCCUUCUAAGAGAAUAGGUACUUGAGACUUUGAUGGUCUGUAAAGAUCUGGAAUCUUUCUCCGCACAAAUAAUGUCUCAAAAUCUUUAGAGCAAAAAUAAUCGCUGCGAAUUCCAAGUCAUGCGUUGGAUAAUUCAGCUCAUCAGAUCUCAACUGACGGGACGCAUAUGCAACAGCUCUGCCAUGCUGCAUUAACACACAACUCAGUUCUCUAAACGACGUAUCGUUGUGGAUCUCGUACUCUCUAAGACCAGAUGGUAUGGUCAACAUUAGUGCGGUAGUUAGCUUCUGUUUAAGCUCUUGGAAACUACACUUCCACUUAUCUAUCCACACAAACUUCUCUUCCUUCUUCAGCAGUCAAGUCAAAGGCGAGGCUAACUCUGAAAAUCCUUCCAUGAACCGUUUGUAAGACCCUGCCAAUCCUAAAAAGCUUUUGAUCCCCGUCACUGUCGUCGGUCUUAGCCAGUUGAUAACUGUUUCGAUCUUGGUCGGGUCCACAGAGAUUCCUUCACCUGAAAUCACGUGACCUAGGAAUGCCACACUAGUCAACCAAAACUCGUACUUACUGAACUUGGCGUACAGUUCAUGAUUCCUUAGUGUUUGAAGCAUCAUCCUCAAAUUUCUUUCGUGCUCCUCAAGACUACUCGAGUACACCAGGAUAUCAUCGAUGAAAACGAUCACAAACUGAUCCAAUACUACUUGAACACCCUGUUCAUCAGAUCCAUAAAAGCGACUGGGACGUUCGUCAAACCAAACGGCAUUAUAGUGAACUCAUAAUUGUCGUAUCACGUACGAAAUGCUGACUUCGGUAUGUCCUCAUUUUUUAUCCACAGUUGAUGAUAUCCUGUCCUCAAGUCGAUCUUAGAAAAUAUCGAUACUCCUUGCAGCUAAUCAAACAAGUCGUCGAUCCUUAGCAGCGAGUACUUGUUCUUAAUUGUCACCUAAUUGAGUUGACGAUAGUCAAUGCAUAGACACAAUGAACCAUCUUUCUUUUUCACAAAUAAAACCAGUGCUCCCUAAGGUGAUGCACUAGGGCGUAUGAAUCCCUUAUCUAACAACUCCUACAUCUGCACCUUCAGUUCAACUCUAAGAACGUCAUCCAGUAAGAAGCCUUAAAGAUUGGCUUUGUCCUAGGGAUCACGAACUCUAUCUCCCUUUCUAAAGACAGACCUGGUAAUUCCUUCGGAAACACAUUUGGAAACUCCUAAACCACUGCGAUAUCUUCAAUCUUUAAUCUUCAACUCCUUAACUGUCAUAUCCACGAUAGUCACCAAGUAACCUUAACAACCCCAAUCUAACAAACAGGUUGUCUCAAGCGACGAGAUUAAAGUAAUCGAGGGUCCUCCUCAACUCUCAAUAAACUCGAAUUUCACCCGCUAACAGGUUAAACUGAAUUACUUUACGAUAGCAGUCCAUCUUAACUUGUUGCUUGGUGAGCUAGUCCAUGCAAAUUAUCACAUGAAAAUCAUACAUGGUUAGGACUAUCAAAUCUAUCCUCCCUUCUCGCUCACCAAUCACUAACUUGCAACCAAGACAGCCUACUGCAGCUAACACUUUAUCCUUUAAUGGUGUAGAUAUACUAACCAUUGACUCCAACAUUUCAAGACUCAAUCCUGCUAGCUUAACAAAUUGCUCAGCAAUACACAAAUGAGUUGUGCUAAGGUCAAAUAAAGCAUAAGCAGCAUGAUCAUUUAGCGAGAUUGUACUUGUGAUCACAUCAGGUGAGUCCUCUGCCUGUCCUCUGGUAACGGCGUACACCUUGCCCUAAGCUGAAGGUUUGUUCUGUCUACCCUGCUGUGCAUUCUACAACACAAAACCUCUAUUCUGACCCAUCAGCGGUAGUGGCGGCAACUGCUGCGAUCCCAUCGGUUUGCAGGGAUAAUCUCUAACUCGGUGGCCCUGUUGUCCACACCCAUAGCAAGCACCCAUCCUAGAAUGGCACAGAGCCUAUCCAUGUCGCUUCCACAGAAGCGACAUACUCCACUAAGGCUUAACGCUGACUUACUUAUCCCACCUUUCCUAUUAGGUGGAAUAGAGUACCUUCCUCCGGUCAUGGGCUUCUUCCCAAACCAGUUUCCAUCUCUGUUCGAAUUGAAUCUCGACCCAGAAGUGGUUACUUGCUCAAUCAGGUUCAUCUCUAUUAAUUGGGCCCGACCAUAUAGCUCGUUGUAAUCUUUUAGGUUGAAUGGCACCAGCGGUUUCUUCAACUCCAGCCGGAGGCAUUCCUGAACCUCUUAACUCUAUCAAUUGGAUCCUCUAUCAGCCGUGGGGCGUACUGCGAUAGCUCUACAAACUUGGCCUCGUAUUGGUCCACAGUCAUUGAACCCUGAUGAAGGCACUGAAAUUCCUCCAUCUUUUGUUCCCUUGCACUAUCGCAGAAGUACUUGCCAUUGAACACUGCAACGAAGGCGUUCCACUCCAAAACCACACCUUCUGGGAACACUACUCCUCCGGUGGCCAUCCACUAAGUGCUUGCGUUACCUUGAUGCUGAUAGACUGCAAGGACGACCUUCUCUUCCCUUGUGCACCUCAAUAGUGCAAAGGGCUUUUCCAAGUCCUAAAUCUAGAGGGCUGCAGCCUUGGGAUCUUUUACACUUGUGAACCUCGGCAAGUUCAGCUUUAGGAACUGCUCUAUGAGCUUAUGCAUUGCCCUCUCAACAACCACAUUCCUAAGUUGAACUUUGGCAAGUGCCGUAGCAACGGCAUCAGCGGCGGUGGCAACAACAGCAUUAGCGACGGUAAUAGUGAUGGUGGUAAUGGCGAUGGCUUGGUUCUGGGCCUGCUGCCCCAUCAAAGUUCCAAGCGUCUCAAGCGCUUGAAUGAUCCCAUCAAUUCUAGGAUCACCAAAUGCUGCUACCCCAGAACCGAUCGGCGGUGGCGCUAAACCAUUUGCGUUGGUCUGAGCCUGUGCUCUACCUCUACUACCACGGGUAUCGACCUUAGUUAGCAUCCUACCCCGAGUCACAACUCCUAUAGUCCUCUUUCUAGGCGUCCUCAGCUCUUGAUCACUCAUUAUGUAGACUUUCUACAUAACAUGUUCCCAAUUUCAUACAGAAUUAGAAACUGAGUGAUCCUUACAAAACAAUCUACCAAACAGCUAUUAAUCACAUGCAUCAAUAUAAAAUAAAGGUCGUUCCUACUAAUUAUCCCAUAACCCAUCGCACCUUAUCACUCUAACCGCUGACCAACUCUAAUAUCACUUCGAACGAGGAUGUCACGCCCCGAACCUCUAGCGCGCGCGCAUCCCUUAGUGGUCGAUAAAAUUGUGAUAUCCUAGGAUGUGUCGUGACCCAUUCAUUUUAAGGCACAUGCGGAAGCAAAAUAAAAACCCCUGACAACAAACAGCAUGGGAUAGAAAAGUAGGACAACAAAUUCACAAACAAAACACACUUUUAUAAACAAACUAGUUUGUUGACAAAAAGAUCGGCUCUAAAAAAGAAGUUGUCCAAUGACCCACUAGUCGAACAUAUUCGCCGAUCCUUUGAACUCCACUUCGACAGGCUCCAGGGUCUUUGGGUCCUCUCAAGAGGGUCAGCUGCACCCUCGCUCAGAGCGGCGUUGACCGCAAUGGCAAGGAUAUCAAAAUCCUGAAGGAGACCAUCCAUAUAUCCAUUGAUCCCAUGGCGAAACCACGCCCUAAAUUGAUGAGGUACUCUCUGAGGUAGGCCCUCAUCAACUUAGAUAGUGGUCACUACAAGCUUAUAGACCCAGUGACUCCUGGGGGCAGGGACGUCUAUGCUCCACUCAGUAACCCCCCAAGGCUGACUAAAACAAAUUAGAGGUACCGCCAUCUAAGGACCUGAAAAGGUUAAGCCCACAACGGGGUGAGACAAUGUCUCACCAAGUUUACUCCAUAUACCCCGCUUUAGGAAAAAAAUACGCCUAGAGGUAAUCUAACCACACAUCACAUAAUAUUUACCUCACCUCAAUUCCUUCCUAUACAUCAACACAGUUCAUAUCGCAUAUAAUUGCAUUAAAAGCACUCAUCAAUUGGGACGUCUCAACUUAUAACCAAACAAUUACAAGGGGUCUCGAUUAUAAGGCCAAAUCGUUAUGACACGUCACAUUCCAUGCCACACAAUUUUGUUCCAUAAUCAUGUGCGUCAAUUCAAUCAAUCGUGCAUCCCAAUUGAUUAUGACCUAACAGCCACGGCCGACUCAAUAGUCAGUGGUCUUCCGGCGUAGCUGGGUAUCAUCUCGCACCAUCGAGCACGGCAACAUCUAUUCCUAAAUGGCAUUCCACUAGGGGGCAUUGGUCUAGCCUCCACUGCGACCGGCAUCGGUUGACUCGGGGUAUCCCAUAUAGGAGCAUCAUCCGACUUAACAACUCGUGAUGAAUUCUCAUAGCCAUCACAACCCGGCCAAGGACACCGUGCAUUGCACUCAAAUGUCUCAAUUAAAAUAGUGAACUUGGCCUAUUUUCUUCACAUUAAAAACACUCAGUGAAAAUAAUCGUGUGUGGGUACACGGUUAGAUCGAAUCAAAAAAAUUGAUAUCCUUCCUUUUAAAAUCUCACUAUUUAAUAUAGUAUUUAUAUUCAUUUUCGGUGUCAAAACUCGACACACGGUAUUUUCUAAUUAAAUACCAAAAUUUCACAAUUUUGAAAUAAUAACUCAAAAUCACAAUCAUCACUUAAUUUGCACAAAUUAAUAUUCAAUUGCAUAAACUAAGCACACUACUGCAAUCAACACGAAAUUCCGGUCACCGGUUAUCCCAGUAUAAUUUCGGGAAAAUAUUAAAUAAUUAAAUAAAUAGCAAAAAUAAUUAAAUAAAUGAAAUUUAAUCCAAUAAAUACAAACCUAGGCCAGAAACACUAAUUUAACCACCUAAAUGGGCCUAAAAAAGUAAUGCACCUAUCCACAUAAAUAGUACAAUUUAUUUGGCCCUUAAUCAAUCUAUUAUAACCACCUAACAAUCAUGAUUAAGCAAUUAAAUCACUAAUGCAAACUAACUAACCAUAUAAACCAUACUUAACCUUAUCUAAUUACCUACUAAACAUCAUUAAACUCCUUAUGUAGAGCUUAGCAAGUAAACUCAUCGGAUUAGCAAAGCGAUGAGUCAACCGCGACGUCGAUGCGAAGGGAGGCAGAACACAAGCCUGCGGCGACACCAAAUGAGGCCCGAAAGAUACCUAAAAUGGGCCUUCAAUUCGGUCCAAGGACCAAAGGGGCUGGGUUGAGCGACGGCUUAGCUGGAAACAACCACACGGGCAACGGACGGUAGUGGCGGGACAAGGCGGUGGCUUUGACAGCUUCGACGGUGCCCAGGGCAAGCUCGGGGACCUGCGAGCAGACACGAGACAGCGGCUUGGGCUUGCGGGGGACGGUGAGCAAGCGCGGGAUGAGUGGGACGCGAGCGGGAGGCUAGUGAUGACUCAAGUGGAUGACUGCUGCUUGAACGGGCGGUACGGGCGGUCGACAACAUGAGGGGUUGGUUUCUUUGGUUUUCUUGAGCUCACAACACUUCAACAAUGGAGAAAAAUGGUAGCAAGGAGGAGGAAGAGAGAGGUCAGCAGAAGGGGGGCUCAAAAUGCCUCUAAAGUCUCCUCAAAAUAUCCAAACACUCAUCACCAAUGCCCUACCAUGCUCAGCCAUUAUCCACACCAAAACUUGUCCAAGAAGUCUCCCAAGGUGGCUGAAAUGUUUUUUUUUUUUCUGGUAAGGUCAAGGUGGCUAAAAUGUUGCUCUCCCCUUGGCCUACCAAUUUUGUAACAUUUCCCCUCAAAUUUCAUUCAAUUCCUCUCCAAAAUAACCCAAUUGAUGCCCCCAAAAAAUUCAGCCAAGGUGUCCACACUUAAUUCCACAUUUUUCCUUGCCAAAUAAUCCAACUUAACGGCCAAAUGUGCAACCAAAAACGGCCCUCAAAUUUUCCCGAUCCAAAAUAACCUUGCUUUGAAUUUUUUUCAAAACUCGGGUUUGUAGAAAAUUUUCGGAGGAUAAGUCGACGUUCCUAAAAUAAAUUGGACAUGAUAGAACUUUAAAUUUCUGAAAUCGGGUUCAAUUUCGCGGUUAAUUUCAACUGAACACAAUUUUUGCGUGACCUAAUCUACCGGAUAGCUUUUAGGAAUUUUUAACACAUUUGACCCAUGGUCGAUUAUUUUCGAGCCACAUUGUACCUCUUCGACACAUUGACGAUUCUCGGUUGUCGUGAAAAUCUUGAGGUUUCAAAUACGGACAUAGGAUACAUAAAUGACAGAAAAAUUGAUCUAGUGCCGUUCAACAAGAAUUUUGCAAUUAAGUGGAAUCACCCACUCUUUAAUCACAUGCCUCUGUUAAGUUAACAUAUCUCCGAUCUCUAAUCGAUUUUAAUAGUGCCGUAUUGACCCUUGCAAAUUAACACGGUCGAGCAGUUGAUUUUUGGUCGAAUUGUCAAAUCUAUUGCGUUUAGAUUCAUUAACGGCUUUACCCGAUAGAUUAGUUAUCUCGUGAGUAAUCAACUCAAAAAAAAAAAAAACUAUAGGCGCGUCGAUGAAAAGCCCAACUCAUUCAAUCGAAAAUAGAAUCAGAAAAUUAAGAUGUCACAUGACCCCCUCAAUCCAUCGUACAAGAGCGCGAUCCGAGAAAAAUGAUUAGGGUCAUAUUCUAUCCUUUCUACAAUGCCCAUAGGACUUAUUUGCUGUAAGUGCUAGCAAGACAUGUACGGGUGUAAUCUUUGUCAGUGGAUUGAAAGUUUCAUCAUAGUCCAAAACCAUAUCGCUGUGAGAACCCAAUUUGGAAUGCACAGAGAUCUAAACAAUUUGGAAUUCCAGCAAAUCACAAACUUCAACAAACAUGUAAUCUAGCCAUUUCAUGCAUCUACACAUCAAUUUCCAGUACUUUCAAGCCAUAUUCAACCUUGUUCAUCAUCAUUCAACAAAUUUCCAGCAAGAUUGAACCUUACUCAUCCAUGAUCCAUCAUCACUAUCCUAAACAUUCAUUUAAGCAUGCUUUGAUCACAAUCAAGUUCAAUCCUGAACAUGAUUGUCUAACAUUCAUCGCUUGAAUCAACUGUGGUCAUCGAAGAUUGAACAGCAAAAUAGGGAAAAUGAGAUUUGACGGAAGCUACCUAUGAAGCUCCUGCAUCACACUCUUACUAAAAUCAACGAAAUCAAUCAAUCAAAGCUUGUUCUAAAAAAUCGUAUGGCUCAUCAUCAUGUUACACAAUAUAAACAAAUUGACAAAGCAACGUCGAAAUUGACAUCAAAUAAGUUAUUGACAUGCUUAGCCAAAGAGGGGUUGAUUUUUCCUACGCAUGCAAUCUAUUGAAAAUUUAAUGAAAUUGAACUAAUUCUAGAACUAGUUUUCUAUUUGAUUUUUGAAAUGUCCUCACAUCCUAGCUCGGCAAUGAUCAUGAAUUGACAUGAUCAACCUCGAGCGUCAUUGGAUGAUCCUUGGAGCAAACAACAAAAAAUUAGGAGGUCCUAACUUGUGAAUGAAGGUAGGCUAGUAAUCAAGGAAAGUUAGCUUGAUCGGUGGGCUUGCAACAAGGAAUCAAGGUGGUGUCGACCACCAUGACGCUAUGGAAGAGCCAAGGGAGACCAUCACACAAGGACGUUAAGGCUAGAUGAUUAGAGUGAGGCUGACGACCAGUGAGAACAAGAGUGUCGCAACUUAAAUUUUGGAUGCACCACCUAAGUUUAGGCUAAUGAACUACUAAGUCUUUAAACUUAGCUCGGGCUCUCCCAAGACCAUACCAAUUCACGACUUAGGUUCAAAUAUUUAGCAUGAAAAAGAUUAUUAGCCAAGAGUCGCCACUAAUCAGUUUGCAGUAGGUCAAUUAGACACUUAAGUAAAAUAAUGGAAGAAUUAUUUUUACUCCUAUGAACUAGAGACUUUAGGUAUGGGGACUUGGUUACACUAGAUUUUCUAAUGCCAUUUCGGUAUCAUUUCUUUUUAUUUCAAAAAAAAGUUUUUGCAGGCAGUUUGGAUUGAUUUUAAAUCUAUUUCCCUAACAUAUGAGGUGAUCAUACGGGUGCGCAAACCACCAAUUUAACACCCAAGAAAACAAUGAAUAAAUUACGGAACUUACCUCGUAGCAACGGAAUCUUCUGCAUUGUUAGAUCAGAAUUCACAUCAACAACUUUAGAUAUGAUUUCUAAUUAACACGCAAUUUCUUUUUGUUUUUAUAUAAUUAAUGAGAAUAUGCUUUAUGCAAUGCAAUAUAACUAAAUGACCUAAUUCUAAUGACAGGCAAUUGUUAAUUAAAUGGACCUAGCAACAAUCACUAAAUGACAUAUAUUUCAUGAAUCUAAUUUUAUAUGACAUGCAUAUGACAUUUUUAUUUUUAUUUUCUUAAAAAAAAAAAGAAUGCAAUCUAUUCUAGAGAUUGAAACUAAUUUAUCCUAAGACAUUUUUUUUGUAUAUUUUUUUCAUGAAAUUCGAAAUUAGGAAAAAUGUGAAAAUUGUCUAACUAAAUUAAGAUUCUAUUCAAUUUGUAUUAAGGAUUAGAUCAAACUAAAUCCUAAUUUAAACCAAAAUAUUAUCUUAACUUAGCAAUCUCUAACCUAAGAUGCAAUCUAUCUAAAUCAAUCUAAACUUAAAAUGAAUUUUAUCCUAAUGUGGAAUGACAUGCAAAUGAUGCCCUAAUUCUACAUGACGUAUGCAUGAUGAUUUUUUUUAUUUAAUUUUUUUUAUUAAUCUCGUAUUAAAAAAAUGUCAAAUAAUUAAACAUGCAAUUUAAGCUAAUGAAACAAAAAUCUAACAUCCUAGAUUUAUUUUUUUAUUUCGAAAAUUCAUGAUAAAUAAAAUGCUUAGUCUAAAUAUGGAAAUAACCCUAAAGCAUGCAAUAUUCUAACUCAAACAUAUUUCAAGAUAAAUAAAGCAAUCAAGACAAGAUAGACCAUUCAAAAUCAUCAAAGAUAUCACACACCAUUUAGAUUAAGGGAUGAUAUUUCGCUAGUAAAAUCGAUAAAUUGAUCUUAAGCUUUAAAGAUCAAAAUAUCAAUUUUAUUGUCGCUUGAUUAAUUAUUUCAUCUAAAGCCUUAUAGAUGAAAUAAAAAACCCAGGCACCAUUAUGAAUUAGGCAAUAAAUCUUAAUUGGGAGAUAUGCCUAUCAUUCAAAUAUGCUUAAUGGAUAUCAGAUAGACAAAUUAGGGGAUAAAAUAUUCAUGGAACCGAGUAAGGAGUAUUACCUAAUUGUGACAAUAACUUUCCAAAUUCGAGCGUCGGGCAAUGGAUCACAAACGGUGACCGAUGGUGGUUUGCAAUGCUCGAUGGUAUGAGCAAAGGCUUGCAGCGAGCGACACGGUGGGGCGAGUGACUGGCAGCAACGAGGAUGCCUAAGAUGGAUCACAGUGGACCGCUCAUCUAAAGUUGAAGACGUCGAGGUGACUCCGCAGAGAGGAAGCUUUGACAAUUUUUUUCUUUUGUAUUUUCACUUCUGGACAAUACCUGCAGAAGACCAAUUCACCACUUAAACUUAUUUCAUCAAAAUUCUAGCAACUCUUUUGACUAUGGACUCCAGGCUUGCAAGUGGUGGCCACAGUAUAUGACGUGGUAUUCAUGCUGGUCAGGAGAUGUUGGCCUCUUUGGACUUCAACGAAACCUACAAAUAAUGAAUACGAACGAAGCGCUAAAGCUGGUUGGUGAUUGUCGGUGAGUCAGAAGAAAACACUUCAGGGCAUCGCCAGGCUAGAUGGAACUUGCGGGAGUCCUCGCUGACUCCGAACUAGGCUGUAGUGGUUCAAGCGUCCCUGGGAUGUGCUGGUUCGUGGUAUUGCAAAAACAGCAGAUCAUGGAUCGUUGGGGAUGCGAGGACUGCACGAGUGAUUGCUGCAAGGAGAAAUUACGGUCCCGCUAGGGCAACGGCGAAUCAAGCAAUAGUUGAGCGCAAGGAAGGCGGUAGCUCCAUCAACGUCUCGGUUGAGCUGGGCUCGUCAAGGCUUGGUCAUGACGGUAGGGGGUUGGCACCAGAUCAGCAGCUCGUCGGAAAGGCAAAUAGGUCACAGCAGUGAGUCCGUCGUCGUUGCAGGGGACAACGCAGCAAAGACGGUGUAGCAAUGGUAACUCAGGCGGCUCGGGUGUGACACUGCGGCAAAGGGCCUCGCACAACGUGGGGGCAGGCCCCAGUUCAGCAGAGAGAGUUCCUUCUCUUUUCUCUCACGUGUAAAUCUCUCAACGUGCCUUUUAGCAUAGAAGUGCCGACCCCCCUCAACAAUGUUAGCGUUCUCCUUAUUUAUAGGACAACCAAGGCCUUCAAAGGAAAGGACACAAUAUAAUAUAUUUUAUUCCUUCCUUUCCUCAAAUGCGUGAGUACUCAUAACUUUGACCAUAUAUUCAUGAUUUUCGGCCACGAAUUCUUUCCUUUUCUGCUUACGCCCCUGGAUGCGUAGGACGCAUGAAAUUUUCUUUAUCGGUGCACUCUUUCUUGUUUUAAAACAAGAAAUAUAUGUCCCAAUCCUUAAUUUGGUAGAUUCUUGCGUAGAAAUAUCACACUUCUCUGCACCUAGUUGACCGAGAUUAUCUUCUAUUAAUAAAGAUAUUUAUUCUUCCUCAAAGAUUUUUCAUGCCUUGUUAAGAUCCCAUGUGAAAAUUGUGCUCAAUCUUUCCCAAAUUCGUGUUAAACUCGGUUAUAUUACGAAGCUUACUCCAAUCUUUCACUUUCGGCGGGCUUAACUUCAAUAAAGCUCAAAACCAUUUACCCGAGUUUAUCCGCCGCCAACGCAACCCAAUGCAAUUAUGUUCAGAACUUAAGCCCAUCCGCUACCAGUCCAUAAAUAUGCAAGUAUAUUGAGAUAUGCUCCUAAUAACUAUAUGUAAUGCGAUUUAUUAUUUUUGUUUAGGGGCUAAAGUUUAGUCCCUAAUUUUUGUGCAAUAAAUGAAUGAUAGGGUCGUCAAAAUUUAGGUAUCAAUAAAGAGGUAAAGCCUUCCAUGAGUUGCCCGGGGAGGGGAGGGAGAGAAUUUAAGCUUGCACCUCAUUGGCUAAAUUUAAGUCACUAUGAUAGGUGACAUGUCAUUAUGCAUGGCCUAGAUCAAUUAGUGAAAGAAUGGCUAGGAUUUAAGCUCAUGUAGAUUGAUGACUUGGCUUUAGGAGCAUUUCGGUAAUUCUAGGCAAAGGGGAGGGAGAGGAUCGGCCGGCCAUGGUGGCUUGGUAGCGUGACUUAAUGGACUGACCUGUCGGAUGAGUUUUGUAAAUUUUGGUCCGAUUGUAUACAAUUGAAUGCAAAUUGGAGCGAUUUAGCUUGAACGGGUUGAUUUUGAUACUCUAGUUAUCCAAUUUCACCCUCAAUUUCACAAUUUGACUUGACAUUUUUGUCAAUUUGAUUGAAUGAAAUUAGGUUCAAAUUGGUAAAAUUGAUUUGGCCCGGUAUAAAUUAUAAUUGACUUAUGGUGGGCGAAAUGCCUUAAAGAUACCCUAAUUGCAUUAAUCUCUUUGAAAUUUGACAUGGCCAUAGCCAAUUCUGUCCCAAUUGAUUUAAUUCAGCCAAAUUGAGGCUUGGUUCAAUUGACAUAUCUCUUGUGCUUAAUUUCCAAAAUGAAUUUGAAAUUUCAAUUACCCAUAGUCCGGAGAUCAACUGUCACUAAGGACUCAAGUUUAAAAAAUCAAUAGAAAUGAAUGAAUUUUGGAAUUUUUUAUUAAAAGCCCGAGUAUUCAAUUUUGUUGAAAAUGUUGACUCCUAAUCAUUUUUCAAAAAAAUUGGUAUUUGAAAUUGAAACUAUCUAAGAGAACAAAGCCAUUAUGAAGGUUUUAUAUAUAUAUAUUUUUGUGGAGUUGACCAAAAGUUGACCUAUCAAUGAUUUAAGCCUUAAAUCAAUUGAGUCACACUUUGACUUUUUUUUUUCUUUUAAUUUUGAAAAUUGAAAGUAAAAAAGUGAAAUUAACUAAUCUAUGUCUUUUAAUGCAAAAUGCUAAAUUUAGACCAACGGUGAUUUUUUGAUAAAACUUUGACAAAAGAGUUAAUUCUAAGUCAACCUUUGACUUUUUGAAAUCAAAGUGUACAUGACAUGAAGACAAAUUGCUUAUACAAGAAAGAAUGUUAAACGACUAUGUUUUGUUAAGAACUAGGUUCUGUCAUGAUCAGGAAUCUAAAUCUCAAGUUUUUACCUUUAAAUGAUUGAUUGGCUAAAAAAUGACAUAUAUAUAAUUUUCAUCUUAAAGUAGAGAACGGACCUUUUCUACUAUUGCUAAUGGUGUAUAUAUAAUUUGCAUCAUAACUGCACAUAGACUUUAGGAUUAAACAUAUAGACCUCUCAUAGAAAAAAAGGAACCAAUCUUGGCACUAGGGUGGACUAAUGUAAUCAUAUCGCCAUACUUUGAAUAUAUAGUUUGUACCGACCAAUGGCUUAAGUCUAGGCUCAAGAUGUUUCUACCACAUUAGCACUAGAUCUUAAUAAGUACCUAAACGACCUUAGAAUGGGCUAGUGGUGACUUCUAUAUAGAUGUGCAUUAUGAAAUCACAAGUUGUAAUAGACGUUAUAUUGGGAGAAUGUGAAUGAGGCACGCACCUUCUUUAUACGUAGGGGAGAAGUAAUAUCAUGUUGCACAUUGACCUUCUCGAACCGUACUAAUAGGCCAUUUUGAGAGAGACAUUGACUUUGUGAGACAUGAUUAUAUUAAGCAACCUAUUGGAUUUAUAUUGGUACUAUUAAGAAAAUUAUGGCAAUCAAGUUGUGAUUGACAUGGGUUUCGAUAGUGGAAGUUUGGCAUGUACAAGAUUAGAAUUGACAGUUUGUAAACAAUGCCCACUCGGAGAAAGAGAAGUAGAGGCAAUUACACAAUCUUGAGACGUGGGUAUCACAAUCUAAUAUGUGGCACAUGUGGUUGGCAUAAACAUCGCAAAAGUGUUCAGCAUGGUGCGGUUAAAAGUUCAAGAAAAUUGUGAAAACCUUCUAUUUUUAGGUGAAAUGUCGCUUUUAAAAUAUAAAAGUGAUGGCGAUAGCGGUCGGACAUGUGCCGGAAGUGGAUUGGCAUAGUGGAGAGGCGGCUGGCAUUAUGCCAAACCUAAGCUGGUACUAUAGUCCAUGGAAACGGCCAAAUCGCGUGGCACCCAUCCAAAACUUGAGGUCGACCGCCAGCCUUGGGAAACGAGUCCUAGGAUGUGAGGGAGACAGCCGAGGCUCAUAAUUAUAGAAAGAACGUCUUAGGAGAGAAGAAGGGCACACACUCGACCAAAUCAUAAGAUUUUAAUUAUUUCGCUAUUUCAUUCUUUUAUUUACUAAACUUUCGCAAGAUCUUCUCAUGUCAAAAAUAAAGAAUACAAGUUAUAACAUUUUUUAUCCAUAAAAAAGAAACAGAAUAUUUUUGUCUUAAACGAUUUGCAAAUUAUAUGAUUAUUAUUGGAAAAAAUAAAAAGGUCGUCAGCCUAUGAUCACUGACUCUAUCCACAGGAAUGAAAAUAAAAAAGGUAACUGGAAUAAUGAAGUGAAAGAACAAUAUUAUUUUAUGGGAUAGUUGUACAGAAAAUUUUAAAACUUAUUGUAAAUGUACAAAUACAUUUUAAAAUUUAUCAUGAAAGUACAAUUGAAUUCUAAAUUUUUUUUUUAAAAAAAUACUAUCAAAUCAUAAAAUUUAUCAUAUUAGUCAUAAAAUUUAUCAUAUUAGUCUAAUCAAAUCCGUCCAUUGACACUUAAUUAUAUUUUUAUGAUAAAUUUUAGGAUUUGAUUAUACUUUUCUAAAAAGUUUUAGAAUUUCGUGUGCACUUAUUUUAAUUAGAAGGAAUUCUCUCCCUUUUCUUUUUAGACUCUUCUUUCAUCUUCAAGAAAAGAAGAGACGUACAGAAGAACACACUACACACAUAGAUGCCAUUUAUGUAAUGCACAGCCGCUUUGCACCCUUUUCUACUCCCACGGAAGUUGAAGAGGCUUCUCGCCUUCUAGUUCUGAUAAAUCAUGAAAGAGCAUUGAAUUUGCGUAUGAAACGGAGAUAUUUAGCUAUUCAACUUUUCAUAACAUGUUUACCUAUAUGGGGGCAAUGAUUUUACCAAUGUUCAUCCGAAUUCAAUCAUGACAACUUUUAGAGUUGGUGUAAUUGGUUGGAGUGUCAGGGAUUUUGGUUCAACAACCAGAGGUCAUUUGUUCAAAUUUCACGAAUUGCAUACAAAUAAUAAUUUGAGUGUCUAGGCAACUUACAAGGCUUCAAGGCCUGGACUUAAUUGAUUAAUAGGCUCGCCGUGUAUUUUAUGGAUGUCAAAGUAGACAUGCCUCCAUGCUUGUGUCCUUGGCUUAUCAAAGUCAUUCUCAUACAACCCGAAUCUGCACCAGCCACUACAAGUAAUUGCGUACUCCUCGUCUGAGGACUUUUUGUUGUGAAUAUAGACAAGCGAAUCAAAUAAAAUAAUUAGAAGGAAGGAAAGAAAAUUGGAUACUAAAUUUAUGUGAUUUGAUAAUAUUAGAAUUUAUGUUCAUGGAAAGAGCAACACAGAAUUUUAUUAUAGAAACAACAAUAUACUUGAGAUUAUAAUAACUCGAAUACUAAAAUACUCACUUAGUAUUUUUUAAUCCUCAAUUACACUCAAAUUCAUAUAGUAUGUAGCCCUUUUAUAAUUUCUAAUGAAACCUUAUUUUAGGAAUUAAAUAAAUUUUACUCAUAAAAAUUUAACUAGUUAAAUCACUUUUGGAUGUAAUUGCAACGGGAGAUUUCUCCCUCUGUCAAGAGCUCCCACAGCUUGCUUCCGGAAAGCUCUAAGAGCUCCAUCCAUCCAUGUCCGGUAUUGUUGCGACUUUCUUAUUCUUUCUUUUCAAGAGCUCUGCAUUAAAUGCAGCACGUGAGGCUCCACUUGUUCUUUCCUUUCGUCGGCCACAAUAGAAGAAAAUAGCGAAGGAAAGAAACAAAAGAAGUUUAUCAAAGAGUAGGGGUGUGCAACAGGAUGGGUAUACGCGGGAACCGGACCAGCCCACCUGAAAAAUAGGGUUGGGAACUGAUUUUCGUUAAAACCAGUUUGAAAAUUGGUUCCCAAAAUUCAAAACCGGUUUAAGAACCAAUUUCGAGUGAUUACCCGCUCAGGAACCAGUUCCCGAGCCGGUUUUGAAAUCGGUUUUGUAAGUAGAGGUCUAAAACUUUAUUUUUUCCCUAAUUUUCAUUCUUACUCCUAUAAUCACACAUCAUUUUUCCUCUUGGCUCUCUCAGACACAUACGGCACUCCUUCUUCAUCGUUCCUCUUCCUCACUUGCUUCCCUUCCUUACCGGCUCCCUCUCGCACCGUAUGACGGACAUACGGCGUUCCUUGCCGCCAAAUUCUUGUGUAUUACAUGGAUUGGCUCGCCUAACUGCUCUUUUGUAAGAGGAAUUAUGCUUGCAUAAAUGAACAACUUCAUGUAGUAAUUGUGGGAAUAAGAUUAAUACUAGACUCGUGUUUGUUGCUAGUGUUUAUGCAAUGUUAUGAUUUUUGCUUUGUCUUAUAAUUUUAUUUAUGAUAAUUAGUCUCGUGGAUCAUUAAUUUUUUCGUUUAGUUAAAUUACAAAUGCUUAAUGUUUUAAUACAAAUUAGGAGGAUUACGUUAUUUUAUUAGGUAUUAAUGUAAAAUUUGAAGUCAUAUAGAUAUUGAGAGGUUGCAAAACAGGUUUAAGUGAAAACAGGGUUGAUCCAGGAAUCGAAUCGGAAAAACAUAAUGGGUCGGGUAUAGGAUCCAAUACAAAUAUGGUCGGGUAUAGGAUUUAAAAAAGAGAAACCGAUUAUAUUAGGAUCGGGUAUAAGGUCCAGAUCUAGACCCUACCCACUCUAGACCCAAUCAUUCCUAUGAAAAAGGACAAAUAAAGCCCAAAAUUUUUUACUUUGANNNNNNNNNNNNNNNNNNNNNNNNNNNNNNNNNNNNNNNNNNNNNNNNNNNNNNNNNNNNNNNNNNNNNNNNNNNNNNNNNNNNNNNNNNNNNNNNNNNNNNNNNNNNNNNNNNNNNNNNNNNNNNNNNNNNNNNNNNNNNNNNNNNNNNNNNNNNNNNNNNNNNNNNNNNNNNNNNNNNNNNNNNNNNNNNNNNNNNNNNNNNNNNNNNNNNNNNNNNNNNNNNNNNNNNNNNNNNNNNNNNNNNNNNNNNNNNNNNNNNNNNNNNNNNNNNNNNNNNNNNNNNNUAUCAUAAAUAUAAAUAUAUAAAAGUAUCACGUCAGCCGGCCGGCGUCCCAGUCAACAAAAUCCGGCCAAAAUUGGCCGGAAAGGACUGAAUUGGCACAACGUAAAAAGGUUUAGGACUUAAUUGGUACCAAAAAAUGUUUAGAACUAAAUUGACACAUAUACAAAAGGUUUAUGACUUUUUUGGCACUUUUCUCCUGCUCUUUCUUUAUUAUGCCCACAACACAAGAGCCUUAGAUGCACAUACAAAUGACCUCUAGUUAUAUUGGUUUCCUUUGCUCAUACAAAAAGAAAAAGUCGUUCUAAACGCUGGAGUUUAAUCUUAACCCAAAGCGUGAAAAUAUGAAACUUAAAAGGUCUAUUGGUGCCCAGAAAAUUUGAAUAUAUGUUAAAUUUUGUGAUAUUACUGUUGAUUAUUCUAAAAAUUUAAGUUAUUAAAUGAGUAUGUGAUUUAUUAUCUAAAUAUUUUGAAGGGAUUAAUGUCCAUCGGACCACAUUUUCCGCUCAUUUCCAUCCAGCAGUUUCUGAUUUGGUGGUUUUCUCGAGAUUUUUUCACCAAGUCGCGAUCCCAAAGUCCACACAAGUCAAUGUCUGGACCCCAUGCCUAGCAACGAAGGCUGUUGGACAGCUCCAAAUGCGGCCUCCAUGCACUGAAACAUCAGGACCGGACCCGUGACCACAAGCGUCUGGUCAUCAUUUAACGUUGUCUGUUCUCGUAUCGAUUGCGACUUCGUGAAAUUUCCAAGAAACGGGGAAUCGUGACUCUCGUUUCCGAGAUAUUUUUACGCGGUUUUAUUACCCGUGUAAAGAGAGGCAAGGGUUGGAGCGCUCUAUAAAACCACUGGAGAACUCGUGCAAUACCAUAUUCACCAUCCUCGUUUCUACACAUAUCUCGAGAGGCAAUCCAAGCAUGAAGGUGGAAAUACAGUGGAAGAAGCUGGUCAAGCCAUCAGUGCCCACACCGAGCGACCAGCGAAAAUGGAAGCUAACAUCAAUAGAUGAGCUUCAGAUGCCAAAUUAUGUGGGCGUUAUCUUCUACUAUAGAGAUAAUGCCGGGAACCCCGGAGUUGAUAUCUCUCAAAGGCUUCACCAGAUGGAGGAGUCACUUUCCUAAACUCUAACCCUCUUUUAUCCUAUGGCAGGGAGAUAUAUUGAGGAUGACGACGGUUGUUUUAUCGACUGUAAUGACCUUGGAGUGGAGUUCGUCCAUGCCAAAGUGGAUGGCCAGAUUGAUCAGCUUCUCCAUAGAGACCCCGACAUGGAUUUGCUCGAAUAUUUGUCGCAAUUCCCGAACAACCUAGUAGGCAAUCCACUAGUGGUGAUUCAAGUGAAUACGU
Molecule: long non-coding RNA, 104521 nt
Filed under: Eucalyptus grandis
Lineage: Eukaryota; Viridiplantae; Streptophyta; Magnoliopsida; Myrtales; Myrtaceae
Description: long non-coding RNA (EGRA_LNC004254)
Source: RNAcentral